Molecule: long non-coding RNA, 107071 nt
Filed under: Triticum aestivum (bread wheat)
Lineage: Eukaryota; Viridiplantae; Streptophyta; Magnoliopsida; Poales; Poaceae
Description: long non-coding RNA (TAES_LNC000940)
Source: RNAcentral
AUUGGUGGCUGUUGUGAAAACGGUGGUUGGUGUUGCUGCAAAAAUGGUGGUUGUUGUUGUUGUUGCUGCGAAAAUGGUGAUUGUUGUUGUUGCGAAAAUGGUGGUUGCUAUUGCUGUGAAUAUGGUGGCUCUUGUUGCUGCGAAAAUGGUGGUUGUUGUUGCUGCGGAAAUGGUUGUUGUUGUUGUUGUUGCUGUGAAAUUUGCGCAACGGCACUUGCCGCCGCAAGAGCGAGGAGGGAAAAGACGAGGAAUGUCUUCAUUGUGGAUUGAUGUCAACUAGUGUUGCUUGGUUUUGAUGCUUGUGCUUGUGAUGAUCUUUAUACUUCAUGCCUAUUUAUAGUAGCCCGGGCACCACCUCUUUUCUUCUUUGCAUCAGCUUUAAUAAAUUUGUUUGGCUGCAUCUGAAAUGAAUUUUUUUGGUACAUUGUGUUUGGUUGCGCUAGCUACAAGCGUACUUUUGGAUUAAUCAUCAAAGUUGCUUUUUAGUUGUGCAUAUGAUCACACACGAAGUACAGAAACCCUGAUGUUUGUUAUAUAUGACUCAUCUUAUUCACUUUACAUGUCACACACUUAUCAAGAUAGUAUCACUUUUGCAACCGAGUUUGGAACCUUGUAUAGGCUAUCAACCAUAAACUAAAAAGGCAAAACUUUUGUAGGACUAAGUUGCAAUCGUGUGUGGGCUGUUAAGAUAUGCUCGAUUAUUAAAGCCUUGCGUGUGGAGGGUUCUUCUAGAGUUGGUUGCUUUUUAUAACUAAUUUUGUAUUUUCCACUAAGAUGAUAAGAUGAACCGACGCCUAUAGAGCAUGACAUGACUCAUCGAAUUCCCUUUAUAUGAAAAGGAUGAUAAUUGCUUACAAGAUACUCCUACUAGCAUAUAUUCGGUCCUAAGUCUAGACAUGUCAUCAUUAGUUCCGUGUUUUUGUUUAGAUAAAUCAUCAGUUCCAUCUAUUUGUGAAAGCUUUUGGGGGGGGGUGACAGUUUUUUUUGGCGCUAGGGGAAAAAUCUUUUUUGAUCUAGGGGGAAAUGAUAGAUGGGGCUGGAACAGAGGCCCGCAGCCUAGAGCGAGAGAUUAGGCCCAACAUAAGCGCUGUGUGUUAGGGCACCAAUUCGAAUUGGGCUAUAGUUUUCGUAGGCCCCAAUGUCACAAGCCGAACUCACACUCCGCAGAUCUGCGUCAUCUCCUUGCUCGUCCUCCUCGCCGGUCAGACCUCUCGUCGGCGUAGCCUCUCCUGGAUCCCACCGCCUGCGGCCGGUCACAUACGUCUGAGGCAGCGGAGGCGGAAGCCUCCCUCCUGCCCUCCGCACCCGCUACCACCACCAUUGGUCGACAAAAAGGUCACUUUUGAAGCUCCUUCGUCGAUUGCGGGCCGUACGUCGACGGCAGCCACUCCGGCCUCCCCGCUAAAACAAGGUAUCGAUCCUGGCCGUCUGUCUCCUCCAACGAUUCAAUUCACAUGAAUUCGAGAGGCGUACCCAUCUCCAUGCCAGCCACAUGAAUCAGGAGGGUCAUGAAGCAGGAUUCAUCUGCGUAGCCUGAUAGUGACAUACAUUUGUGGCUUUGGUAGCUAAGCAACUUUGUGCUUUCUAUGGAUGUCACUUCAAAAGUUCAAAUAAUCAUCAAAUUUCCGCCUUUGGGUGCUGCAGGUGGAGUGGAGGACAUUCAGUUUCCCUCUGAUGUCCGAGAAGUCCGUCUUCGGUGCAGCAAUUGUGGGUGUCAAAACCGGGGGAUCUCGGGUAGAGGGUCCCGAACUGUGCGUCUAAGGCGGAUGGUAACAGGAGGCAGGGGACACAAUGUUUACCCAGGUUUGGGCCCUCUCGAUGGAGGUAAUACCCUACUUCCUGCUUGAUUGAUCUUGAUGAUAUGAGUAUUACAAGAGUUGAUCUACCACGAGAUCGUAGUGGCCAAAUCCUAGAAGCUAGCUUAUGAUUAUGAUUGUUGUUGUCCUACGGACUAAACCCUCCGGUUUAUAUAGACACCGGAGGGGGCUAGGGUUACACAGAGUCGGUUACAAGGGAGGAGAUCUACAUAUCCGAAUUGCCAAGCUUGCCUUCCACGCAAAGGAGAGUCCCACCCGGACACGAGAUGAAGUCUUCAAUCUUGUAUCUUCGUAGUCCGGCCGAAGGAUAUAGUCCGGCUGUCCGAGGACCCCCUAAUUCAUGACUCCCUCAGUAGCUCCUGAACCAGGCUUCAAUGACGAUGAGUCCGGCGCACAGAUUGUCUUCGGCAUUGCAAGGCGGGUUCUUCCUCUGAAUACUCCAUAGAAGAUUUCAAACACAAGGACAGUGUCCGGCUCUGCAAAACAAAUUCCACAUACCACCGUAGAGAGUAUAAUAUUUUCACAAAUCUAAUCUGCUGACAACUUUUCAUAACGUGACAUCACGCCAUGGCCUGGUCAUUAUUUGAACCGUUUUUCUCAACCAACUACUACACAUAUUGCGAGGCGGUUUUCUUGACAUGUCUUGUCAAAGCAGAGAUCGUGUCCCCUUAUCAUGAGAUUCUAAUCAAUAUGGGCGUGGGUAACCCAACCGCGCCAUCAAUCACGAUGCUUGGGGAAUAAGCGAGUUUACCAGUCAAGUGGGGAGGCAUAGAAUCCCUGCUGCCUUUAUAAGGGGAUAAGGACUCCCUUUCGCACCCACGCUUUCUUCUUCCCGAUCCAUUCCCCUUUGCCCGAGCUCCAGCAAUAGAGCGUUCGUCUUCUCUGCCCACAAAGGCCUUCCGAAAAUGUCCGGAUCAUGAGCAGGAGGCAAGUGGAUGGCCUCUACUGUCGAGGAGAAGCAUAUCAAAAAGUUUUGGGAGGCCGGGUAUCUGGCCAAAAAAAUCGACCACCGUCUCCCGACGGCGGGACAGAACGUUCCUACUCCGGAACCCCAAGAGAGGGUUGUAUUCCUCCCUCAUUUUGUCUGCGGGCUAGGGUUUCCCCUCCACCCGUUCGUUCGCGGCAUCAUGUAUUAUUACGGGAUCGAUUUUCAUGAUGUAUCCCCCAAUUCCUUCCUCAACUUCUCGACAUUCAUCAUCGUGUGCGAGGCUUUUCUCCGCAUCUCGCCACACUUCGGCUUAUGCCUGAAGAUCUUUAAUGUGAAGGCCAAGGUGGUGAGCGGCGAGCACGCCGAGUGUGGGGGCGCCAUGGUGAGCAAGAUGCCCAAUGUCACCUGGCCAACAUGUACUUUUAAUGAUUCCAUCAAAUAGUGGCAACAACAGUGGUUUUACAUUACUAAGCCACGCAGCACGGAAUGGGCCGCUGCUCCAGAGUUCCGAUCCAGAGCCCCUCUGCGGCUUACGUCCUGGCCCAAGAAGGGCCUGAACUGGUCUUCGUCUGACGAACUGUCUAUGCUCCAGACGCGCAUUAAAGAUAUGGAAGACAAGAACAUCGAACUUGUCAUUGUAGUCCAGGUGAUGUUAGUUCGCGGGAUCCUGCCUUGUCAGCACCAGACUUGCAAUAUGUGGGAAUUCGAUCCGGCCAAGCACCAGACCCUGUGAAAACUCUUUGGAUCCUCGCACGAAGACAUCUGGAAGGUGCUUUUCAAGUCUGGAAAAUCAUGGACGGACUCGGCCGAGGACCGUGGGUAUCAACUGUCCCGCCCUGCAAGCUCGGUAAGUUUUAUGCGUUUUACCCGCAUAACCCAAGGGAAAUGCCUAAUGUGUUUUCCUCAAUUCCCCUAGGGCUGGACGAAGAAGGCGGGGCGGAUCCACUGUCCGGUCCCGUUGCCCGAAGAACCGGCCGGCCCACUUCUGACGAAGAUGCUGGCCCCGGCGCCAUACAAGGCACCGAAGAAGAAGACCAAGGAGGCCAAAAAGACCCGAGGCGGCCUUCGUCGCCGCGGCACUUCAGCCACAAUAUCCGAAGGCUCCAAACCCCGUUCUGCCUCUGAAGAGGACGAGGAGGAGGAAGACGAAUCCCCAGUGGGGGGAAGAAAAGAAGAGGGCGGCCUCCAUACACUUGGAGGCCGAGUCACCUAAAAGGGGAAAAGAUCCUCUUCGUGAAGAGUCCACUGCCGCCGCCGACAGCAGCCCGGCAUGGGAUCCCAGGGCCCAGCCCCUGGUGAACUCGUGAGUAUAAAAUCCGAACACGUUUAUGCGUCCAGACUCAUCAUGGCAUAAUAUUUUAACCUGAGCUAUAUUUUUUUCAGUCCGGCGAGGUCCCGCACCAAAUGAUCCUCAUCAGAGGAUUCGCUAAGCUCGGAUGCUAUAGAGAGCGGGACGCCCCCAAAGGCCCCUUCCCCCAAAUGUGUGCAUAACACCGAGGCUUCGUCCCAGAAGGACCCCGGCCAAGGAGGGGGGGAAGAGAUCGUGAAAGCAGCGCCUGGAGUUCAAACUUCGGGGGCCGGAGACAUGGGGGAGAAGAUUCCCAUGGGAGUCGACGGCGGGAGCCAUCUUGAAUUCGGCUCCCAGCCGGGCGCAAUUCCGGAGACCAAUACGGCUCGAAAAUCAAGCAGGCGGCCUCCCUCGGUUGGAGGGGGCGUGCCUGUUCCACCGGCAAUCUCUGUCCAGCCAGAGGUGCCGGAUGUUUUGUUGGCGGCGCUGAAGAGCGCCUCCAUCGUCGAUGAACACCGUGCCCUGAUGGGUGUGGUGAUUAAGGAGAUUCAGUCUGCUGAGAGUGGACUGAAUGAAGCUUGUAUCAGCCUUAUAAGAGGCUUUGAGGUAUGUUUUAUGAGGUUUCGAAGAGUGUCAUAGUAUGGAUAGUAGCCCCUGAUACACUGUUCGGUGCAAGAAAGGACCGAACAAAGGAUCAAUUUUAUGUUCGCAGGAAGACUCACUUGAUGACAUCUAUCUCUCUUCUUUUAUAAGCAGGUGUCUGCAGUGGCUGCUGCCUCUCAUGCUGCGGAGGUCUCCGGACUAAAUCAAAGUCUGGAGCGGGCCGAAGAAGAACUUGGCCAGUUGAAAAGCCAGUUGGAAGAUAAACAAGGUAUGCGCAAGCAGGGGCGGAAUUGGGCCUAUGGCAACUAGGGCUAUAGCCCCAGGCGUGGCCCAACUAGUGCUAUUAGAUCCAGAUGAAAAUUUUCAGAUUUUUAGAUUUUAAGAGGCCCAGCCCCAGGCGUGACCACCCAGCUCCAGGCCUCAGCCGCUCAGCCCAUGUACCUUCUGAGGCUCGCAGCCCAACUAGCUCUGCAUAUUUUGCUCCUAACAAAAGCUAUGCAUCGCCAAGCAGCAGGAAGCCAUGCCCACGUUUUGCCCUAAGGAAACGUUUUUGCUAACAAAACAACGCCCACGUUUUCCCCUAAAAAAACCUUUUUGCUAGAAAAACGACGCCCAGGUUUGAUCGUUGGUCUGUUGCGAUUCCAAAGGAAUCGAUCGCACGACGAUUCGAUCGAUCUGACAAAACAUAGUUGCCUUGUUCCGUGCGCCGCCUGAGGUGUUUCCCUUCCCCUCGAUGGCUCGACAGACCUGCGCAUGGCCUCGUCACUUCGUCGGAGCAGCCCCCUCCAAGUCCAACCUUCUGGUCUUUUCCAUCUCCACAACCGGCAACGUCUUGUUCUUCUCCGUUUCCACAACCGGCUAGACUGGUAUUUUCUACUUUGGUGUAUCGUCUAUCUUUUUGCUAGAUCCAAGAUGAUUAAAUUGUACUCGUAUUACUUUAGUCAAUUUUUGUUUCGGUAAUUUGUAAAAGCAAAAAUAGAUAGAAACCCAAGAUGAAUAGGAUACGUACGAUUGUUUUAAGCAACAUCCAGCCAGCCUUCAUCGAACAAUACCAACAUCAUCAUUGUUAAACUAUUUUGUUCUAUUAAAUUUCCUCUUGUGGUAAAAAUGAAUUCAUAUAUCAUUUUUAAAGUGAAGUUGUGAUUCCCGCCAGAAAAAACUGAAUUUGUGACGUACUUGUAACAUGCACUGGUUUGUGUGGUAUAGUUACUUAGUUUUAGUCCUAGGCUUUGAGAAAUCCUGGCUCCGCCUCUGUGCGCAAGCCUUGUUCGCAUUUGGUGCAAACAAAUUCUCAUUAUGAUAAAAUAUGUUUCAUUAUUUGCGCCAGGGGUGAUGACCGAAGUCGAGGCUUUGAGGAAGGCAGUUGCCGAGGCCGAGGAAAAGGCGGCCGCAGAGCAGGCUCUUCGUGAGAAGCACGAGGCCAGGGUUAUUGAAGCUGAGCAGGAGCUUCAAGAGUCCGUGAAGAAAUGCGAGACCUUGGAGCAGAGUUUAGCGGAGAAAGAAUCCGAACUCGCCAGGGCUCAUCAGGCCGCGCGCGAUGCCCAGGGGGAAACCCAAGGCGCCCUGCAGGAGAUCCAAGAGGCGAGGACGAUCACGGCGGGUAAGGCUUUUUUCCAUGUAAAGCAAGUAUUUGAGGAGAAAACCAUGUUUCUAAUUUUGAGUUCGGAUUUCUCCAGGGGUAUUUGCGGAACUACCCCGCAGCAUAUCGGAUGCCGCCCAAUUCUACCGAGCCAAAGAAGGGAACACUGCGGAUAAUCUCUUCUGGUCGCAGUAUUUAGCACCGAUUUAUCCGCUGCCUUUUGCCGACCAAAUGAAACAACUGAUCGAACUGCAUAGGGCGGCCGAACUAGCCAUGAAGGAUUUGAUUAUCCGGCUAUGGCCUGCCGAGCCGAUUCCAGGCAGCUACUUCGGGCUCGUGAAGCGGCUUGUGAGUGCCUGCCCUCGACUUGAUGUCAUCAAGCGGUCGGUCUAUAUAGAGGGUGCGCGAAUAGCCUUCACUCGCGCAAAUGUGCACUGGGGGAAGAUGGAUGCUGAAAAGCUGAUGACCGAGGGACCGCCAGAGGGGAAGGAGCACCGCAAGCCCGAAUUAUAUUAUGAAAGUGUCCUCAAAGGAUCAUGCCUAGCGGCGGAGCAAUGCACCAAGGACAUUAUAUUUCCAUGAAUACAAUCAUGUUGUCAUUUGUAAUGUCGAACAAGGUCAUUUCUAUUAUUUAUUGCCUGUUAUAUACAAGUUUAUCCUCCUACACGGCCGUUUUAUAUAUUAAUCCUGAGAGUUGGCCAGUGAUAUGUCUCCAACAUAUCUAUAAUUUUUUAUUGUUCCAUGCUAUAUUAUAUUCUGUUUUGUACAUUAUUGGGCUUUAUUAUACACUUCUAUAUUAUUUUUGGGACUAACCUAUUAACCGGAGGCCCAGCCCAGAAUUGCUGUUUUUUUGCCUAUUUUAGGGUUUCGCAGAAAAAGAAUAUCAAACGGAGUCCAGACUGAAUGAAACAUUCGAAAGCAUGAUUUUCGGAACGAACGUGAUCCAGAGGACUUGGACCCUACGUCAAGCAAUCAACGAGGAAGACACGAGGUAGGGGGGCGCGCCUACCCUCCCUCAGGCGCGCCCUCCACCCUCAUGGGCCCCCUAUUGCUCCACCGACAUACUCCUUCCUCCUAUAUAUACCUACGUACCCCCAAACUACCAGAUACGGAGCCAAAACGCUAAUUCCACCGCCGCAACUUUCUGUAUCCACGAGAUCCCAUCUUGGGGCCUUUUCCGGAGCUCCGCCGGAGGGGGCAUCGAUCACGGAGGGCUUGUACAUCAUCACCAUAGCCCCUCCGAUGAAGUGUGAGUAGUUCACCUCAGACCUACGGGUCCAUAGUUAUUAGCUAGAUGGCUUCUUCUCUCUUUUUGGAUCUCAAUACAAAGUUCUCCCCCUCUCUUUUGGAGAUCUAUUCGAUGUAAUCUUCUUUUGCGGUGUGUUUGUUGAGGCCGAUGAAUUGUGGGUUUAUGAUCAAGUUUAUCUAUGAACAAUAUUUGAAUCUUAUCUGAAUUCUUUCAUGUAUGAUUGGUUAUCUUUGCAAGUCUCUUCGAAUUAUCAGUUUGGUUUGGCCUACUAGAUUGAUCUUUCUUGCAAUGGGAGAAGUGCUUAGCUUCGGGUUCAAUCUUGCGGUGUCCUUUCCCAGUGACAGUAGGGGCAGCAAGGCACGUAUUGUAUUGUUGCCAUCGAGGAUAACAAGAUGGGUUUUAUAUCAUAUUGCAUGAGUUUAUCCCUCUACAUCAUGUCAUCUUGCUUAAAGCGUUACUCUGUUCUCUUGAAUUUAAUACUCUAGAUGCAUGCUGGAUAGCGGUCGAUGUGUGGAGUAAUAGUAGUAGAUGCAGGCAGGAGUCGGUCUACUUGUCUCGGAUGUGAUGCCUAUAUACAUGAUCAUACCUAUAUAUUCUCAUAACUAUGCUCAAUUCUGUCAAUUGCUCAACAGUAAUUUGUUUAUCCACCGUGAAUACUUAUGCUCUUGAGAGAAGCCACUUGUGAGACCUAUGGCCCCCGGGUCUAUUUUCCAUCAUAUUAAUCUUCCAACACUUAGUUAUAUUUAUUUCCUUUUAUUUUACUUUGCAUCUUUUAUUUCUCUUUAUCAUAAAAUACCAAAAAUAUUAUCUUAUCAUAUCUAUCAGAUCUCACUCUCGUAAGUGACCGUGUAGGGAUUGAAAACCCUUUAUCGCGUUGGUUGCGAGGAUUUAUUUGUUUGUGUAGGUGCGACGGACUCGUGUGUGGCCUGCUACUGGAUUGAUACCUUGGUUCUCAAAAACUGAGGGAAAUAGUUACGCUACUUUGCUGCAUCACUCUUUCCUCUUCAAGGGAAAACCAACGCAAGUGCUCAAGAGGUAGCAGCCAGUCGUCGGCUUCUGCCCCCACGUAGGAAGUACGGGGGUGUUCGGGAUAAACCACGUAAGGCAGCAAAACAUGGGAGUCGGGCAAACCCAACAUUUGACCCAAGACAUGAUUCGGAGCUGAUGCAUGUAAUGCUAUAAGUUCGGGGUGCCGAACUUCCAUGAAGGCGUUCGAACUUUAUUGCCGUAUUAUGGCUAAAACGAAGCCCUUGGCCUAUUUAAAGCAUAUCACGGUGUACGGAUGCCACUUGACAAAAGAAUUUCAAUAAGAAAUAACAACAGAUAAGCGUUAUAUAAACCCACAUGUUGUAUUUGAAUAGUAAGUCGAUGUGUGUGAGUACGGGUAAUGUGAUAAAAAAAGAAAUAUGACUGUGGAACCUGCUGAGACCAGGGGGAAGAAGGUGUGUGCGGAUCCGGAGUAUAGUCGGAUGGUCAUCGCGGGGAAUAUCUAAGGAUUCCCUUGCGCGUUCGAGCUGCUUCCAUAUCGCCAGUCCUGGUCUGCGCAAAGUUGAACCUACAAACAAAAUGUAAGAAAUGCUUGUGUGCCGCAGAGCGGUUGAGCCGCGGUAUGUGGCCUGUCGUGGCUUUCGCCGGAGUGUUUAAUUGAGCUCUGGACGAGCCGGGCUAUCUUGCCGCGAAGUAGUUCGAAGUCCUUUGGCGGUGUCCGGGAAUCGGGUCGUCGAGUCGAGGUUCGGUUGGGAGGUGCCACUUGUAGCUUCUGUUGUUAAAGCAGCAGUAUACUCUUUGGUGUCGUGGGGAAGUUCGGCCUUGCCAUUAACCGUGAUGACGCCUAAUGUCUACUACACAACCUUCUUCUUGUAGACGUUGUUGGGCCUCCAAGUGCAGAGGUUUGUAGGACAGUAGCGAAUUUCCCUCAAAUGGAUUACCUAAGGUUUAUCAAUCCGUAGGAGGCGUAGGAUGAAGAUGGUCUCUCUCAAGCAACCCUGCAACCAAAUAACAAAGAGUCUCUUGUGUCCCCAACACACCCAAUACAAUGGUAAAUUGUAUAGGUGCACUAGUUCGGCGAAGAGAUGGUGAUACAAGUGGUAUAUGGAUGGUAGAUAAAGGUUUUUGUAAUAUGAAAAUAUAAAAACAGCAAGGUAACUAAUGAUAGAAGUGAGUGUAAAUGGUAUUGCAAUGCUAGGAAACAAGGCCUAGGGUUCAUACUUUCACUAGUGCAAGCUCCCUCAACAAUAAUAACAUAAUUGGAUCACAUAAUUAUCCCUCAACAUGCAACAAAGAGUCACUCCAAAGUCACUAAUAGCGGAGAACGAACGAAGAGAUUAUGGUAGGGUACGAAACCACCUCAAAGUUAUUCUUUCCAAUCAAUCCGUUGGGCUAUUCCUAUAAGUGUCACAAACAGCCCUAGAGUUCGUACUAGAAAAACACCUUCAGACACAAAUCAACCAAAACCCUAAUGUCACCUAGAUACUCCAAUGUCACCUCAAGUAUCCGUGGGUAUGAUUAUAUGAUAUGCAUCACACAAUCUUAGAUUCAUCUAUUCAACCAACACAUAGAACCUCAAAGAGUGCCCUAAAGUUUCUACCGGAGAAUCAUGACGAAAACGUGUGCCAACCCCUAUGCAUAGGUUCAUGGGCGGAACCCGCAAGUUGAUCACCAAAACAUACAUCAAGUGAAUCACGUGGUAUCCCAUUGUCACCACAGAUACGCACGACAAGACAUACAUCAAGUGUUCUCAAAUCUUUAAAGACUCAAUCCGAUAAGAUAACUUCAUAGGGAAAACUCAAUCCAUUACAAGAGAUUAGGGGGGCAGAAAACAUCAUAAGAUGCAACUAUAAUAGCAAAGCUCGCUGAGGGAGUCCUGGAUUAGGGAUUCUCCGGAUAGCCGGACUAUAUCCUUUGGCCGGACUGUUGGACUAUGAAGAUACAAGAUUGAAGACUUCGUCCCGUGUCCGGAUGGGACUCUACUUGGCGUGGAAGGCAAGCUAGGCAAUAUGGAUAUGUAUAUAUCCUCCUUUGUAACCGACCUUGUGUAACCCUAGCCCCCUCCGGUGUCUAUGUAAACCGUAGGGUUUUAGUCCGUAGGACAACAUACAAUCAUACCAUAGGCUAGCUUCUAGGGCUUAGCCUCUUUGAUCUCGUGGUAGAUCAACUCUUGUAAUACUCAUAUCAUCAAGAACAAUCAAGCAGGACGUAGGGUAUUACCUCCAUCAAGAGGGCCCGAACCUGGGUAAACAUCGUGUCCCUGCCUCCUGUUACCAUCCGCCUUAGACGCAUAGUUCGGGACCCCCUACCGGAGAUCCGCCGGUUUUGAAACUGACAUUGGUGCUUUCAUUGAGAAUUCCACUGUGCCGUCACCAUAAGGCUUGAUGGCUCCUUCAAUCAUCGCUAGCGAUGCGGUCCAGGGUGAGGCUUUCCUCCCCAGACAGAUCUCCAUAUUCGGCGGCUUUGCACUGCGGGCCAAUUCGUUUGGCCGUCUAGAGCAGAUCGAGAGCUACGCCCCUAGCCAUCAGGUCAAAUUUGGAAACUUGAGCUACACGCCGACAUCCGCGGAGACUUGAUCUUCGGCGGAUUCGAGCCCAGGUCGGACGCGCCGCACAGUCGCGAUGAGCAUGACGUAACUCUGUCAUCGGACAAUGUUCGGGAGAUCGCAUCCGCAACUACUCCGUCCAUCAAUCCGGAGCAAGUCGCACCAUCCGAGAGCGGAGGGAUGGACCCCGCCAUGGAGGCCGCACUGUCAGUGGCGAUAGAGCCGGAUACUGACUUCACCCCUUACGAGAGCCGUGUCGCCGAACCACUGGAUUCAUCUCCGGCCACGGACUCCGAGCCGCUCACAUCCAUGCCCGUCUAUUCCGACUGGGCACCGAUCAUGGAGUUCACCUCCGCGGAUAUCUUUCAGCACUCACCUUUAGGAGAUGGGCUAAAUUCAUUAAGGUCUCUCUCCCUAUCAGGAGAACCUUGGCCGAACUAUGUCCGGCUAGAAUGGGAUGCGGACGACGAAGAAAUUCGCUGCCCACCCACCACCCACUGAGUAGCCACGGUCGACGACUUAACCGACAUGCUCGACUUCGACUCCGAAGACUUCGACGGUAUGGACGACGAAGCUGGAGACGAAUAGGAACCACCGCCCUCAGGGCGCUGGACCGCCACCUCAUCAUAUGAUAUAUACAUGGUGGACACCCCCAAAGAAGGCAAUGGCGAUGAGACAACGGAGGAUGACCCCUCCAUGAAGCAACCCAAGCGCCGACGUCAGCGGCACCGCUCUAAGUCCUGCCACAACAAGAGUAGUGGUACCGGCACAGGAGAUAAUAACACUCUGGAUAGCACCGAAGACAACAAUUCCCUCCAGCACGGUGUAGAGCUAGAGGACGAACAAGCUAGCCCUCCAGAGCAGGCAGCAGAUGCAGAACCGGAGGAGGACAAUUACAUGCCUCUCUCCGAAGACGAGGCGAGCCUCGGCGACGACGAGUUUAUCGUGCCUGAGGACCCCGUCGAGCAAGAGCGCUUCAAGCGUUGGCUUAUGGCCACGGCAAGUAGCCUGAAGAAAAAACAGCAACAACUUCAAGCUGAUCAAGACUUGCUAGCAGACAGGUGGACCGAAGUCCUUGCGGCCAAGGAGCAUCAACUCGAGCACCCGUCCAAAAGUUACCCAAAACGCAGGUUGCUACCUCACCUCGAGGACGAAGCAUUGAAACCUCAUUCACCAGUGUACGAUGUGGUUGACCGACCACUACGCGGCCGAGCCACAGAGGCUUUUCAGCCUAAAGUUCAGACCGCACCCCGUCGCCACUCAGUCAAACAUACUAAGGCCCGGGGCAACACAGAGGACCCGCGAGACAUCUUGGACAGUAAGGAAAAAAUCGCAAGGUCAAUAUACGGAACACGGGCACGUGCGCCCACACGGGACGAUGAUCGUUGCGUCGGAUACACCAAGAGUAAAUCCGGCCGGGCCGAAUACAACAGACAAGACUCAUACGAACUAUGUUGGGAUAUAGCCCGGCACAGAGGUGCCGCACACCCCCUAUGCUUCACUGAUUAAGUUAUGAAUCAUGAAUUCCCGGAGGGUUUCAAACCCAUAAAUAUCGAAUCGUACGACGGCACAACAGAUCCCGCUGUAUGGAUUGAGGAUUUCCUCCUUCACAUCCACAUGGCUCCGGUGAUGAUCUGCAUGCCAUCAAGUACUUCCUACUAAAACUCAAAGGACCAGCUCGGCAUUGGCUGAAUAGCUUGCCAGCAGAUUCCAUCGGCAGUUGGGAGGAUCUGGAAGACGCAUUUCUUGACAACUUCCAGGGCACUUAUGUGUGGCCACCGGAUGCUGAUGACUUGAGCCACAUAACCUAGCAGCCAGGGGAAUCGGCCAGACAAUUCUGGACACGGUUACUGACUAAGAAAAAUCAAUUUGUAGAUUGUCCGGAUGUAGAGACCCUAGCGGCAUUCAAGCAUAACAUCCGCGAUGAGUGGCUCACCCGCCACCUUGGCCAAGAGAAGCCGAAAUCUAUGACAGCCCUCACGACACUGAUGACUCGCUUUUGCGCGGGCGAGGACAACUGGUUGGCUAGCAGCAAAAACACAUCGAGGAAUCCGGAUACCUCAGAUACCAAAGAUGUUAACGGUAGGCAGCGUUGUAACAGACCAAAGCGCCGCAAUAACGGCGAUAACACCAAAGAUACGACAGUCAAUGCCGGAUUCAGAGGCUCUAGAUCCGGUCAGCAGAAAAAGCCAUUUAAAAGAAAUACUCCGGCUCGGUCCAGUCUGGAUCACAUACUGGAUCGCUCGUGUCAAAUCCACGGCACCCCGACAAGCCAGCCAAUCUCACCAACAGAGAAUGCUGGGUGUUCAAGCAGGCCUGUAAGUUAAAUGCCGAGAGCAAGGACAAGGGGCUGCAUAGCGAUGACGAGGAGGAGCCCCGGCCGCCGAACACAGGAGGACAGAAGGGUUUUCCCCCACAAGUGAAGACGGUGAACAUGAUAUACGCAACCCACAUCCCCAAGAGGGAGAGGAAGCAUGCACUAAGGGACGUCUAUGCGAUGGAGCUCGUCGCCCUGAAGUUCAACCCAUGGUCUGCUUGUCCGCUCACCUUCGAUCACAGGGACCACCCGACUAGCAUCCAUCAUGGCGAAUCUGCCGCACUGGUCCUAGACCCCAUCAUUGAUGGAUUUCACCUCACUCGAGUCCUUAUGGAUGGCGGCAACAUGCUGAAUCUGCUUUAUCAGGAUACAGUGCGAAAAAUGGGUAUCGAUCCCUCGAGGAUCAAACCCAGCAAAACCACCUUUAAAGGCGUCAUCCCAGGUGUAGAGGCCCAUUGCACAGGCUCAAUCACACUGGAAGUGGUCUUUGGAUCACCGGAUAACUUCCGAAGCGAAGAGUUAAUCUUCGACAUCGUCCCGCUUCGCAGUGGCUAUCAUGCACUGCUCGGACGGACAACAUUUGCAAAUUCAAUGAAGUGCCGCAUUACGCGUACCUCAAGCUCAAGAUGCCAAGACCUCGCGGGGUCAUAACAGUAAAUGGAAACACAGAACGCUCGCUUCGUACAGAAGAGCACACUGCGGCCCUUACAGUAGAGGCACAAAGCAGCCUGUUCAGGCAGACCACUCAUUCGGCGUCACAACCCCCGGACACCUUCAAACGAGUCCGGAACAAGUUGCAACAGGAUCGCCUAGCACGAUCAGAGAUCGCCUAGCAAUCUGGUCCCCAUCCCAGUCCCAGUGAAGCGACAAAAUCCGUGUGGCGCGUACAUAACUACGCAUUGAAAAUACCAUGGACAUAGGCGGGGGCAGAAUCAGAAUACGCCCCGCAUUGUGGCUUAACCACACUAGGGGUUGUAUACCUUUGACAUUCCGCUGACUCUUUGGAAGCCCUUUCCGGCAGUAUGAUUGCCGGACACAUUCCAGAAGCAACAACCAAGGCGGCAAGAAGCUAAGAUGAACACGGGAACCGCCAGGUGGUCUCUAGUAAUACUUGAUAUACCCGCUUUUCACUAUUUAUGCGUAGCUUUCCCUGGGAUAGGACAUUUCGAAUUGUCCUACUUCAUGCUUAUUGCACUACUUGUACCAGUAUGCUUCGACGUAUUAUUCAAAUAACAAUGCAUAUCAUUAAUCUGUCAUUGCAUUCUUUCAGUUUUUCUCUUUCUCUUAUAUGUCCAUUUACGACAAUCCGCACCCGCAUGUUCGGGUAUGGUCAGUACGCCAGGGGCUCUCGUUUACCCCACAAUACGAUGCAAGAAGUCUGAACACUUUCUACAGUGCGGCACCCCGAACUUCUAGCAUUAUAUGCAUCAGCUCCGAAUCAUGUCUUUGGUCAAAUGUUGGGUCGCCCGGCUCCUAUGCUUUGGUACCUUACGUUCUGCUAUAUCGGCUAAGGUAGCGGUGGGAGAACUACUGCGAUUGUGUCCCGGUUCUUCUGGACGAGCACCUCUGUACAGAAAGCCAAAAACUGACUGUCAUGAUAAGGCGAGAGACUGGUCGCUGUUCGAGAGGUCUCAAGUCCUUAAAGACUUUUUCCGCUUCGGGCGAGGAGUCGGCCUUGUCCGGCUUAGGCAUGUAUAGCGCCCCAAAUUCGGCCCUCCGAAUACCAGGGGCUUCGCCAAAAUUUAAAAUCAUAGACUUCUAUGGCUAAGUGAGAGUGAUAAAGCAUUAUAGUCCGAUUGCCUGGUUCGUUGCGCUGAACACCUCCCUUGAAGGACCCAAAAUUUGGGUAAAGAGUGUUCAGAUUUACCCCGAACACCCCAGUACUAGUUACAUGGGGGUAGAAGCCGAUGACUGGCCAACUCUCAGAUUUUAUAAACAGCCGCAUAGAAGGUAAUAUUUUAAAUUAAGAAAGCGUCGCAUGGCGCAAAAAAACUCGUUUCAUAUUACAGGAUCACAUGGGCAUGUUCAUUCAAAAAUUACAUCCUUGGCACACUCAUCUGCCACUCAGCAGGAACCCUUCAGGACACUUUCAUAGUAAUUCUCGGGGCGGCGAUGCUCCUUGCCCUCCGGCGGCCCCUCCUUCACCAGCUUCACGGCGUCCAGCUUCGCCUAGUGCACCUUCGCCCGGGCAAAAGCCCUGCGUGCACCCUCGAUGCAGACGGACCGCUUGAUGACUUCAAGCCAUGGGCAGGCUUCCACAAACUGCCUCACCAGACUGAAGUAGCUGCCGGACAGGGGCUCGCCAGGCCACAUCCGGACUAUAAGGCCCCUCAUGGCCUGUUCGGCCACCUUGUGAAGCUCGACAACUGCUUCAGCUGGUCCCUCAAGGGCACAGGGUGUUCGGUCCCAGUAUACUGAGACCAGAACAACUUCUCCAUUGAGCUCCCCUCCGCAACCCGGUAAAACUCCACGGCAUCCAGUGCACUACGAGGAAGAUCUGCAAACGCUCCUGGAGAGCUCCGAACUCGGGUAAGAAAAAGGAAAGUCUCCUUCACGUGCUUGCUUUGCAUAAAGAAUGCCUUACCCUCUGCUAUCUUCUUCACCGCGUCAAUCUCUUGGAGGGCCUUGUGGGCUUCGGCCUUGGAGCUCCGGACGCUUUCAAGCGCCUGCGCGAGCUCGGACUCACGCGUCUUGGAGUCAAGCUCCAAGGACUCGUGCUUUUUAACGAGAGCCUCGAGCUCUUGAUGCACCUCGCCUUCUCGGGCUUCUUGUAUCUCCCAUUCCAUGCGUUCUUUGGACGCUUUGUCUUCGGCCUCGGACAAUGCCAUCCUCAGGGUCUCCACCUCGUUCGUGGCCCAUGACAAAUUCAUGAUGAUCCUAUUACUUUACACCCGAACUUCCUUUUAACUAUAUAGACAGGGGUAUAUCUUACCUUUGCUCUCUUCAAGCUGCCACUUGGUAAGGCCGAGCUCAUCCUCGGACCGCUUCAGGGCCUGCUUCAGCGCAGAGACCUCCGCAGUACAUGCGGCAGCGACCAACAGUGAAGCCUGCACAUACACAUAGACAUACUCUAAUUAGACUCCUGAGUUAUCAUUUGAUCCUCUAUUCGGCUUUUCAUCGCGAACACCGAACAGAGCAUCAGGGGCUACUAUCUAUGCGGUAAUAUUUUCUUAUAUUUUGAUUGCUUACCUCAAAGCCUGUUAGGAGGCUGGCGCAAGCUUUGGUCAGUCUGUUUUUGGCGGACCGAACCUUCUCAACCACUGCACUCAUAAUAGUGCAGUGCUCUUCAUCAAUGGAAGCGUUGUGAAGCGCUUCCAGCAAGUUGUCCGGUGCCUCUGGUUGUACAAAGGACACCGACACAGAUGGUUGGCCCCCCUUAAUGGGGGACUGCCUGCCAGAGUCUAGAACCAUCGAAGGUUCUGGCGCAGUGUCCGGCUGGGGCCCGAACUCGAAGCCCGUAGGAGCCUCGCUCCCUUGGUACCCAGGGUCCGGGAGGUCGCCGUGAGGCGCCCCCAAGAUCACCUCCCCUUGGCUCGGUGCCUUUUGAGACAACACCUCGGCGUUGUCCGUAGGGCGAGGGGUGGAAGCGGUCGGAGGAGAACCGUUGUUCAUAUCCGACGAGUCCAAAGAGCCGCUCGACGAAGGUACGUCGAGAUGAGCUCAGGACGGACUGCAUAAUCAUGUUCGGCAUGAGAAAAGCCAAUACAAUAAAACAUUCCAUGAAGUACUAUGGUGUCCGGACACUUACGACUUCGCCGGGGGCUUGUCCCUGGGUAGCCACUCGUCGCCAUUGUCGGCGGCCGUCGUGGCACAUUCCGGAGGGAGGUUCUUUCCCUUCUUGGACCCGUCGGCCUCCCUGGAUGGGUCGGCCUUCCUUUUCUUGUCUCUCCCGGCUGGGGGGGAGAACUUUUCUCCUCCUAUUCAUUUCCGUGGGAGGAGUGCGCGUUGGAGUCAUCGGACGAUGAGUCCGAUAUAACCUUGCGCCGGAGACCCUUUCGGGUCCCCGUGGCCUUCUUCUUGGCCUUCUUUUCCGGCACCUCGUAAGGUGCCGGAGUCAGCAUCUUCGUUAGAAGAGCAUCUGCAGGAUCUUCGGGCAGGGGGGCUGGGCAAUCAAGCUGCUCUGCUGUCUCUAUCCAGUCCUGUUAAUGACAUGAAAUCUUAGAUCCAGCACACAACUAAACCAGGGCAAAUAAAUACCCUGAGAGAUAUAAAAGCCUACCAGACGGGCGCGGCGCUUUGCACUAAGUCCGCGGUCCUCGGUGAAGGAGGGAAGCAUCUCGGCGCUCUUGAACAACACCCUCCAGACGUCCUCGUGCAUCGUGUCGUAGAGCUCUCACAGCAUCUGGUGCUUGGCCGAGUCGAACUCCCACAAAAAAGUGCCCGUCGUUGACACGGAAGGAUCCGGCGGAAGAGCAUAACCUGGACCACGUUGACGAGCUUGAUUUUCUUGUUUGUCAUGUUCUGGAUGCAGGUCUGGAGUUCGGUCAGCUGUACCGAAGAACCCCAGGAUUGGCCCUUCUUUUUCCAGGAGGUGAGCCGUGUGGGGAUUCCGGAUCGAAAUUUGGGGGCCGCCACCCAGUUGGAGUCGCGCGGCUCGGUGAUGUAGAACCACCCCGAUUGCCACCCCUUUAUGGUGUCCACAUAGGUGCCCUCGAGCCAGGUGACAUUAGGCAUCUUGCCCACCAUGGCGCCUCCGCACUCUGCUUGCUGGCCACCCACCACCUUCGGUUUGACAUUGAAGGUUUUCAGCCAUAGGCCGAAGUGGGGCCUGAUGCGGAGGAAGGUCUCACACACGACGAUAAACACCGAGAUGUUGAGGAUGAAAUUGGGGGCCAGAUCAUGAAAAUCCAGCCCAUAGUAGAACAUGAGCCCGCAGACAAAUGGGUGGAGAGGAAAUCCCAGUCCGCGAAUGAAAUGGGUAGGAAAAACUACCCUCUCAUGGGGUUUGGGCGUGGGGACGAUCUGGCCCGCAUUUGGCAGCCGGUGCGCGAUAUCCGCGGCCAAGUAUCCGGCUUCCCGUAACUUUUUGAUGUUCUCCUCCGUGACGGAGGAGACCAUCCACUUGCCUCGUGCUCCGGACAUGCUUGGAGCGGUUUGAGAAGAAGAACGCGAGCUUGGGUGCUAGAUCUCGAGUGUGCGGGAAUGGGUAAGCGAGAAGGAAGAAGGCGUGUGUGAAAAAAGUAAAUCUUUGUCCCUUUAUAAGGGCGGAGGAGGCGAUGUGUCUCCCACUUGCCUGGCAAAACUGCUUAUUCCCCAGGUGCCAUAAUUGAUGGCGUGGUUGGGUUACCCACGUCCGUAUUGAUGAGAAUCCCGUGAUAAAGGGAACAUGAUCUCUGCUUUGACAAGACGUGUCAAGAAAAUCGCAUCAUGAUAUGUGCGGAGCUGGUUAAGAAAAGCAGUUCGAAUAAAAACCGGGUCGUGACGUGAUGUCAUGCUAUCAAAACAUGUCAGCAGAUUAGAUUUGUGGAAAUAUUAUUCUCUCUACGGUGGUAUGUGGAACUUAUUUUGCAGGGCCGGACACUAUCCUUGUAUUCAAACUCUUCCAUGGUGUAUUCGGAGGAGGAACCCACCUUGCAAUGCCGAAGACAACACUGCGCGCCGGACUCAUCGUCAUUGAAGCCUGGUUCAGGGGCUACUGAGGGAGUCCUGGAUUAGGGGGUCUACGGACAGCCGGACUAUAUCCUUUGGCCGAACUGUUGGACUAUGAAGAUACAAGAUUGAAGACUUCGUCCCAUGUCCGGAUGGGACUCUACUUGGCGUGGAAGGCAAGCUAGGCAAUACGGAUAUGUAUAUCUCCUCCUUUGUAACAGACCUUGUGUAACCCUAGCCUCCUCCGGUGUCUAUAUAAACUGGAGGGUUUUAGUCCGUAGGACAACAUACAAUCAUACCAUAGGCUAGCUUCUAGGGUUUAGCCUCUUUGAUCUCGUGGUAGAUCAACUCUUGUAAUACUCAUAUCAUCAAGAACAAUCAAGCAGGACGUAGGGUAUUACCUCCAUCAAGAGGGACCAAACCUGGGUAAACAUCGUGUCCCCUGCCUCCUGUUACCAUCCGCCUUAGACGCACAGUUCGGGACCCCCUACCCGAGAUCCUCCGGUUUUGACACCGACACUCGCGAUACAUCAAGAUCGUACCACCUCAAGAACACGAGAGAGAGAGAGAUCAAACACAUAGCUACUGGUACAUACCCUCAGCCUCGAGGGAGAACUACUCCCUCCUCGUCAUGGAGAGCACCGGGAUGAUGAAGAUGACCACCAGAGAGGGAUUCCCCCUCUGGCAGGGUGCCGGAACAGGUCUAGAUUGGCUUUCGGUGGCUACAGAGGCUUCUGGCGGCGGAACUCCCGAUCUAUUGUGCUCCCCGGUCGUUUUAGGGUAUAUGGGUAUAUAUAGGAGGAAGAAGUACGUCAGGGGAGCCACGAGGGUGGAGGGCGCCCCCAGGGGGUGGGCGCACCCCCUACCUUGUGGCUUCCUCGAAGCUUCCUUGAUGUGGACUCCAAGUCUCCCGGGUUGCUUUCCUUCCAAAAAUAAGUUCCGUGAAGUUUCAGGUCAAUUCGACUCCAUUUGAUUUUCCUUUUCUGCGAUACUCUAAAACAAAGAAAAAAAUAGAAAUUGGCACUGGGCUCUGGGUUAAUAGGUUAGUCCCAAAAAAUCAUAUAAAAUGGCAUAUAAAUGCAUAUAAAACAUCCAAGGUUGAUAAUAUAAUAGCAUGGAACAAUCAAAAAUUAUAGAUACGUUGGAGACGUAUCAGCAUCCCCAAGCUUAAUUCCUGCUCGUCCUCGGGUAGGUAAAUGAUAAAAACAGAAUUUUUGAUGUGGAAUGCUACCUAACAUAUUCAUCAUGUAUUUCUCUUUAUUGUAGCAAGAAUAUUCAGAUCCAUAAGAUUCAAGACAAAAGUUUAUAUUGACAUAAAAAUAAUAAUACUUCAAGCAUACUAACUAAGCAAUCAUGUCUUCUCAAAAUAACAUGGCCAAAGAAAGUUCAUCCCUACGAAAUCAUAUAGUUUGGUCAUGCUCCAUUUUCGUCACACAAGAAUGCUCUCAUCAUGCACAACCCGGAUGACAAGCCAAGUAAUUGUUUCAUAUUUUAGUAAUCUCAAACUUUAUAAACCUUCAUGCAAUACAUGAGCGCGAGCCAUGGAUAUAGCACUAUGGGUGGAAUAGAAUAUGAUGAUGGGGAUUAUGUGGAGAAGACAAAAAAGGAGAAAGUCUCACAUCAACGAGGCUAAUCAAUGGGCUAUGGAGAUGCCCAUCGAUUGAUGUUAAUGCAAGGAGUAGGGAUUGCCAUGCAACGGAUGCACUAGAGCUAUAAAUGUAUGAAAGCUCAACAAAAGAAACUAAGUGGGUGUGCAUCCAACUUGCUUGCUCACGAAGACCUAGGGCACUUGAGGAGGCCCAUUGUUGGAAUAUACAAGCCAAGUUCUAUAAUGAAAAUUUCCCACUAGUAUAUGAAAGUGACAAAACAAGAUACUCUCUAUCAUCAAGAUCAUGGUGCUACUUUGAAGCACAAGUGUGGAAAAAAGGAUAGUAGCAUUGUCCCUUUUAUUUUUUUAUUUUUUAUUAUUUGGCCUUUUUUAUUUUUUAAUAUUUGGCCUUUCUUUUUUCCCCUAUUUUUGGGACAAUGCUCUAUUAAUGAUGAUCAUCACACUUCUAUUUAUUUACAACUCGAUACUAGAACAAAGUAUGACUAAAUAUGAAUGCCUCCGGUGGUUGAUAUGUCUCCAACGUAUCUAUAAUUUUUGAUUGCUCCAUGCUAUAUUAUCUACUGUUUUGGACAUCACUGGGCUUUAUUAUCCACUUUUAUAUUAUUUUUGGGACUAACCUACUAACCGGAGGCCCAACCCAGAAUUGCUGUUUUUUUGCCUAUUUUAGGGUUUCGAAGAAAAGGAAUAUCAAACGGAGUCCAAACGGAAUGAAAGCUUCGGGAACAUGAUUUUCUCAACGAACAAGACCCAGGAGACUUGGACCCUACGUCAAGACACAAAAGAGGAGGCCACGAGGUAGGGGGCGCGCCUACGCCCCCCCCCCCCAGGCGCGCCCUCCACCCUCGUGGGCCCCCUGUUGCUCCACCGAUGUACUCCUUCCUCCUAUAUAUACCAACGUACCCCCAAAUGAUCAGAUACGGAGCCAAAACCCUAAUUCCACCACCGUAACUUUCUGUAUCCACGAGAUCACAUCUUGGGGCCUGUUCCGGAGCUCCACCGGAGGGGGCAUCGAUCACGGAGGGCUUGUACAUCAUCACCAUAGCCCCUCCGAUAAAGUGGAAGUAGUUCACCUCAGACCUACGGGUCCAUAGUUAUUAGCUAGAUGGCUUCUUCUCUUUUUUUUUGGAUCUCAAUACAAUGUUCUCCCCCUCUCUUGUGGAGAACUAUUCGAUGUAAUCUUCUUUUUGUGGUGUGUUUGUUGAGAUUGAUGAUUGUGGGUUUAUGAUCAAGUCUAUCUAUGAACAAUAUUUGAAUCUUCUCUGAAUUCUUUUAUGUAUGAUUGGUUAUCUUUGCAAGUCUCUUUGAAUUAUCAGUUUGGUUUGGCCUACUAGAUUGAUCUUUCUUGCAAUGGGAGAAGUGCUUAGCUUUGGGUUCAAUCUUGCGGUGUCCUUUCCCAGUGACAGUAGGGGCAGCAAGGCACGUAUUGUAUUGUUUCCAUCGAGGAUAACAAGAUGGGGUUUUCAUCAUAUUGCAUGAUUUUAUCCCUCUACAUCAUGUCAUCUUGCUUAAGGCGUUACUCUGUUUUCAUUAACUUAAUACUCUAGAUGCAUGUUGGAUAGCGGUCGAUGAGUGGAGUAAUAGUAGUAGAUGCAGGCAGGAGUCGGUCUACCUGUCUCGGACGUGAUGCCUAUACACAUGAUUGUGCCUAGAUAUUCUCAUAACUAUGCUCAAUUCUGUCAAUUGCUCAAUAGUAAUUUGUUCACCCACCGUAGAAUACUUAUGCUCUUGAGAGAAGCCACUAGUGAAACCUAUGGCCCCCGGGUCUAUCAUCAUCAUAUUAAUCUUCCAACACUUAGUUAUUUACUUUGCCUUUUUACUUUUCUUUUAUUUUACUUUGCAUCUUUAUCAUAAAAAUACCAAAAAUAUUAUCUUAUCAUAUCUAUCAGAUCUCACUCUCGUAAGUGGCCGUGUAGCGAUUGACAACCCCUUAUCGCGUUGGUUACGAGGAUUUAUUUGUUUUGUGCAGGUACAAGGGACUCGCGCGUAGCCUCCUACUGGAUUGAUACCUUGGUUCUCAAAAACUAAGGCAAAUACUUACGCUACUCUGCUGCAUCACCCUUCCUCUUCGGGGAAAAACCAACGCAGUGCUCAAGAGGUAUCAAGAAGGAUUUCUGGCGUCGUUGCCGGGGAGUCUACGCAAAAGUCAAUAUACCAAGUACCCAUCACAAUCCCUAUCUCCCGCAUUACAUUAUUUGCCAUUUGCCUCUCGUUUUCCUCUCCCCCACUUCACCCUUUCCAUUUUAUUCGCCUCUCUCUCUAUCCUACCUCUCUUUUUCCGUUCACUUUUUUUCCGCUUGCUUUUUGUUUGCUUGUGUGUUGGGUUGCUUGCUUGUCGCGAUGGCUCAAGAUAACACUAAAUUGUGUGACUUUACCAAUACCAACAACAAUGAUUUUAUUAGCACUCCGAUAUUUCAUCUUACCGAUGCUGAAUCUUGUGAAAUUAAUACUGCUUUGCUAAAUCUUGUCAUGAAAAAUCCGUUUUCCGGCCUUCCUAGUGAAGAUGCCGCUACCAAUCUAAACAGCUUCGUUGAUUUGUGUGAUAUGCAAAAGAAGAAAGAUGUGGAUAACGAUAUUGUUAAAUUGAAGCUAUUUCCUUUUUCGCUUAGAGAUCGUGCUAAAGCUUGGAUUUCGUCUUUGCCUAAGAAUAGUAUUGAUUCAUGGAAUAAGUGCAAAGAUGCUUUUAUCUCUAAGUAUUUUCCUCCCGCUAAGAUCAUCUCCCUUAGAAACGAUAUUAUGAAUUUUAAGCAACUUGAUCAUGAAUAUAUUUCACAAGCUUGGGAGAGGAUGAAAUUAAUGACACAUAAUUGCCCUACUCAUGGUUUGAAUUUGUGGAUGAUUAUACAAAAAUUUUAUGCCAGAUUGAAUUUUGCUUCUAGAAAUCUUUUAGAUUCGGCCGCGGCAGGGACUUUUAUGGAAAUCACUUUAGGAGAAGCUACUAAACUCCUAGACAAUAUUAUGGUUAACUAUUCUCAAUGGCAUACUGAAAGAUCUACUAAUAAAAAGGUGCAUGCAAUAGACGAAAUUAAUGUUUUGAGUGGAAAGAUGGAUGAACUUAUGAAAUUAUUUGCUAGUAAAAGUGUUUCUUCUGAUCCUAAUGAUAUGCCCUUGUCUACUUGAUUGAGAAUAAUAAUGAAUCUAUGGAUGUGAAUUUUGUUGGUAGGAACAAUUUUGGUAACAACGCGUAUAGAGGAAAUUUUAAUCCUAGGCCUUAUCCUAGUAACCCCUCCAAUAAUUAUGGUAAUUCCUACAACAAUUCUUAUGGAAAUUAUAAUAAGACGCCCUCUGAUUUUGAAUCUAAUAUUAAAGAAUUUAUUACUUCGCAAAAGAAUUUCAAUGCUUUGAUUGAAGAAAAAUUGCUUAAGAUUGAUGAGUUGGCUAUGAACGUUGAUAGAAUUUCUCUUGAUGUUGAUUCUUUGAAACUUAGAUCUAUUCCACCAAAGCAUGAUAUCAAUGAGUCUCUCAAAGCCAUGAGAAUUUCCAUUGAUGAGUGCAAAGAAAGAACCGCUAGAAUGCGUGCUAAGAAAGAUGCCUUUAUAAGAGCGUGUUCUUCUAGUUCCGAUGAAAAUAAAGAUGAAGAUCUCAAAGUUAUUGAUGUGUCCCCUAUUAAAUCUUUGUUUUGCAAUAUGAAUCUUAAUAAUUAUGGGACUGAAUAUGAUCCACCAUUAUCUAGAAGGCGUUCCAAGAAUUCGGAGUCUUUAGAUCUUAAUGCUAAAAUUGAUGAAAGUGGGAUCGAAGAAAUCAAAACCCUAGAUGUUGCUAAACCCACUAUUUUUGAUUUCAAGGAAUUUAAUUAUGAAAAUUGCUCUUUAAUUGAAUGUAUUUCCUUGCUGCAAUCCGUGCUAAAUUCUCCUCAUGCUUAUAGUCAAAAUAAAGCAUUCACUAAACAUAUCGUUGAUGCCUUGAUGCAUUCUUAUGAAGAAAAACUUGAAUUGGAAGUUUCUAUCCCUAGAAAACUUUAUGAUGAGUGGGAACCAACUAUUAAAAUUAAAAUUAAAGAUCAUGAGUUCUAUGCUUUAUGUGAUUUUGGUGCUAGUGUUUCCACGAUUCCAAAGACUUUGUGUGAUUUGUUAGGUUUCCGUGAUUUUGAUGAUUGCCCUCUAAACUUGCACCUUGCGGAUUCCACUAUUAAGACACCCAUGGGAAGAAUUAAUGAUGUUCUUAUUGUUGCAAAUAGGAAUUAUGUGCCCAUAGAUUUUAUUGUUCUUGACAUAGAUUGCAAUCCUUCAUGUCCAAUUAUUCUUGGUAGACCUUUCCUUAGAACGAUUGGUGCAAUUAUUGAUAUGAAGGAAGGAAAUAUUAUAUUCCAAUUUCCGUUAAGGAAAGGCAUGGAACACUUUCCUAGAAAUAAAAUUAAAUUACCUUAUGAAUCUAUUAUGAGAGACACUUAUGGAUUGCCUACUGUCAGUGUCAAAACCGGCGGAUCUCGGGUAGGGGGUCCCGAACUGUGCGUCUAGGCGGAUGGUAACAGGAGGCAGGGGCCACGAUGUUUUACCCAGGUUCGGGCCCUCUUGAUGGAGGUAAAACCCUACGUCCUUCUUGAUUAAUAUUGAUGAUAUGGGUAGUACAAGAGUAAAUCUACCACGAGAUCAAGGAGGCUAAACCCUAGAAGCUAGCCUAUGGUAUGAUUGUUCUUCGUCCUACGGACUAAAACUGAAGGAAAUAUGCCCUAGAGGAAAUAAUAAAGUUAUUAUUUAUUUCGUUAUAUCAUGAUAAAUGUUUAUUAUUCAUGCUAGAAUUGUAUUAACCGGAAACAUAAUACAUGUGUGAAUACAUAGACAAACAUAGUGUCACUAGUAUGCCUCUACUUGACUAGCUCGUUAAUCAAAGAUGGUUAUGUUUCCUAACCAUGAACAAAGUGUUGUUAUUUGAUUAACGAGGUCACAUCAUUAGUUGAAUGAUCUGAUUGACAUGACCCAUUCCAUUAGCUUAGCACCCGAUCGUUUAGUAUGUUGCUAUUGCUUUCUUCAUGACAUAUACAUGUUCCUAUGACUAUGAGAUUAUGCAACUCCCGUUUGCCGGAGGAACACUUUGUGUGCUACCAAACGUCACAACGUAAAUGGGUGAUUAUAAAGGAGCUCUACAGGUGUCUCCAAUGGUAGAUGUUGGGUUGGCGUAUUUCGAGAUUAGGAUUUGUCACUCCGAUUGUCGGAGAGGUAUCUCUGGGCCCUCUCGGUAAUGCACAUCACUUAAGCCUUGCAAGCAUUGCAACUAAAUGAGUUAGUUGCGGGAUGGUGUAUUACGGAACGAGUAAAGAGACUUGCCGGCAACGAGAUUGAACUAGGUAUGGGAAUACCGAUGAUUGAAUCUCGGGCAAGUAACAUACCGAUGACAAAGGGAACAACGUAUGUUGUUAUGCGGUCUGACCGAUAAAGAUCUCCGUAGAAUAUGUAGGAGCCAAUAUGGGCAUCCAGGUCCCGCUGUUGGUUAUUGACCGGAGACGUGUCUCGGUCAUGUCUACAUUGUUCUCGAACCCGUAGGGUCCGCACGCUUAAGAUUACGAUGACAGUUAUAUUAUGAGUUUAUGCAUUUUGAUGUACCGAAGGUUGUUCGGAGUCCCGGAUGUGAUCACGGACAUGAUGAGGAGUCUCGAAAUGGUCGAGACGUAAAGAUUGAUAUAUUGGAAGUCUAUGUUUGGAUAUCGGAAGUGUUCCGGGUGAAAUCGGGAUUUUACCGGAGUACUGAGAGGUUACCGGAACCCCCUCGGGAGCUAUAUGGGCCUUUGUGGGCUUUAGUGGAAAGGAGAAAGGGGCAGCCCAAGGUGGCUGUGCGCCUCCUCCCUUCCCCUAGUCCUAUUAGGACUAGGAUAGGUGGCCGGCCCCCUCUCUCUCUUUCCCCCCUCAAGGAAUCCUAUUCCAACUAGGAUUGGGGGGGGGGGGGAAUCCUACUCCCAGAGGGAGUAGGACUCUCCUGGCACGCCAAGCUUGGCCGGCCAGCCUCCCCCCUCUAGUCCUUUAUAUACUGAGGUAGAGGCACCCUAGAACACACAAUUGAUCAACGUGAUCUAUUCCUUAGCCGUGUGCGGUGCUCCCAGCCACCAUAUUCCUCGAUUAUACUGUAGCGGAGUUUAGGCGAAGCCCUGCUGCUGUAGUGCAUCAAGAUCGUCACCACGCCGUUGUGCUGACGGAACUCUUCCCCGACACUUUGCUGGAUCGGAGUCCGGGGAUCGUCAUCGAGCUGAAUGUGUGCUCGAACUCGGAGGUGCCGUAGUUUCGGUGCUUGAUCGGUCGGAUCGGGAAGAUGUACGACUACUUCCUCUAUGUUGCGUCAAUGCUUCCGCAGUCGGUCUGCGUGGGUACGUAGACAACACUCUCCCCUCUCGUUGCUAUGCAUCACAUGAUCUUGCGUGAGCGUAGGAAUUUUUUUGAAAUUACUACGAAACCCAACAAAAACCCUNNNNNNNNNNNNNNNNNNNNNNNNNNNNNNNNNNNNNNNNNNNNNNNNNNNNNNNNNNNNNNNNNNNNNNNNNNNNNNNNNNNNNNNNNNNNNNNNNNNNNNNNNNNNNNNNNNNNNNNNNNNNNNNNNNNNNNNNNNNNNNNNNNNNNNNNNNNNNNNNNNNNNNNNNNNNNNNNNNNNNNNNNNNNNNNNNNNNNNNNNNNNNNNNNNNNNNNAGAGUCGGUUACAAUGGUAGAAGAUCUACAUAUCCGUAUCGCCAAGCUUGCCUUCCACGCCAAGGAAAGUCCCUUCUGGACACAGGAUGAAGUCUUCAACCUUGUAUCUUCAUAGUCUAGGAGUCUGGCCGAAGGUAUAGUCCGGCUAUCCGGACACCCCCUAAUCCAGGACUCCCUCAGUAGCCCCUGAACCAGGCUUCAAUGACGACGAGUCCGGCGCGCAGAUUGUCUUCGGCAUUGCAAGGCGGGUUCCUCCUCCAAGUACUUCAUAGAAUAUUUUGAACACAAAGGUAGUGUCCGGCUCUGCAAAAUAAGUUUCCACAUAUUGCCAUAGAGAGAAUAAUAUUUACACAAAUCUAAUCUACUGACGUAUUCCGUAGCGUGACAUCACACCACGGCCAAGUUUUUAUUCGAAUCUGUCCCACCUCAACGCGUUUAGUGAGGCGGUUUCCUUGGCACAUCUUGUCAAAGCAGAGAUUGUGUCCCCUUAUUCCGGGAUUCUCAUCAAUACGGGCGUGGGUAACCCAACCGUACCCGUCGGUAUGUUUCCUCGAUCAAAGGAGAGUCCCAAACGGUCACGGGAAGGGCCCUUGGUAUUCAACCUCUUAUAAAGAGACCAAGGCCUUACUCCUUUCUUUCAAUCUCAAAUGAGUUCGCCCUUCGCCUCUACUUCCAACACCCAAGGCUCUAGAUUUCAGGCGCUUCGGACCUUCGACAAUGUCCGGUUCCGACCUUCGAGGCCGAUGGAUGCCCUCCUCCGUCACGGAGGAGGACGUGCUGAAGUUGAGAGAGGCCAGGUUCUUGACCGGCGAAAUCUCGCAUAGGCUGCCUGCUCAAGGGCAGGUCAUUCCCACUCCCAAGCCUGGUGAGAGUGUGGUGUUCAUGUCUCACUUCCUUCGGGGGUUAGGCUUCCCGACGAUCCCUACGUGAGGGGGCUCAUGUUUUAUUAUGGGCUGGAAUUUCAUGACUUAGCUCCGGAGUCCAUCCUCCAUAUUUCUUCAUUCAGCGUCGUGUGUGAAGCCUUCCUCCAUAUUACUCCUCACUUUGGACUAUGGCUCAAGACCUUCAAAGUAGAGCCGAAGAUGAUCGAGGGAUGGCACGCGGAGUGCGGAGGUGCUUUUAUAAGCAAGAAUGCUGGUGCUCCAUGGCCCGAGGGCUCUUUUCAAGGGGAGUCCAGCUUACGGCAACGAGAGUGGUUUUAUAUCACAGCUCCCAGGAGCACCAAGUGGGUGGCGCUGCCUGCUUUUCGCUCGGGUCCCCCGCCACGACUGGCGUCAUGGGUCAACAAGGGGCUGGACUGGGGGCCGGCAAAGGACGUGCCCCUGUUGCAGGGCCGCAUCCGAGAUCUCCUAGAAAGAGACAUCAGUCUGGUCGUGGUGACGCAGGUUAUGUUAAUUCGCCGAGUUCUGCACUGCAAACGUCGGCCCCUUCGGUUGUGGAAGUUCAACCCGGAGGGACCACGAGUUCUCCAACAUUUUCUUGGCAUGACGCCCAUGGAUAUGUACAAAUUAUUCUUUGGACCACAAGUAGUGUGUCUGGAUUCUACGGAGGACGCAGGUCUGAGCUGCAAUCGUCCAGAUACUCAAGUAAGUAGCCUUGUGCCCGGACUUGCUAUCCAUAUAUUUAUCAUAAAGUUUCCCCUAAAAGAGUUGUCCUUUAAAUAGGAGUGGAUAGCGAAAGCAAAGCUAAUCAGAUGUCCGGCCCCCCUCCCCGAGACCAUGCCGGGUCCCAUGCUAGUCAAGAUGUUGGAGGUUGUGCCUUCAAAGGAAAGAGAGGGAGGGGACAAGGAAGCUACCGCCUCCUCGAAGGAGGUUGUCCAGAAGGGAGGAAUCGAAAAUUCCUCUCCUCAGGGGAAGAAGAGGACCGCCUCUGAAGACCCGGAGACCAUGGCCUCAAAGCGGGGGAAGAAAUCUUCGCUAGAGGGUCCUGUGCUGGGGGAUACUUCGGCCGAAUUAUGCCCUCAAGGGGAUCAGCCCUCCAUCGAGCCGUAAGUAGAGAGGAGUUUUAUUUUUAAGAAACGAGAGAAAUCCUUGCUUUAUAUCUGAGAAAAGUAAUCGAAAAUUUACCUUGUAGCUCGGACCUUAGCUCUUCUCAGCAGAGCUCGUCUUCGGGGGAUCUUCUUCCGGAGAUGAUGGAGAGCGGAAUGCCUCCCCCUGCCGUAUCACCUCGCGAGGUGGGCGACCCCGAGGUAUUGUCGCGGAGGGUUUCUCCGAAUCCGGCAGGGCCGGAAGGCAGUCAUAUGGCCCCCCAAAGUCCUCCUUGUCCGGCCUUCUAAAAGGGCCAUCGGACGAGUCCGGCGUCGUCUGGUGCGUGGUCGGAGGAGCUGAAGGAUCUGCUAGGGAGAGCAUCUAUCUCAGAGGAGCACCGUGCAUUGAUGGGUACGGUGAUUGAGAGGAUUUCAUCCACGGAGAGCGGAUUGCACGAGGCCGUCAGGAGUGUACUGACAGGUUUUGAGGUACGCGAAAUAAUGUACCCUUUUUGGACAGUUGCACAUAAAUAAGAUGCGACCUGUGUAGAUAGUAGCCCCUGAGACUCUGUGCAUUGUCAAAAGUGACGGUGCGCAGAGGAUCAUAAUCCCAGGUCUAAUAUGCCGCCUUCAUACGUAGGUGGCUAAGUGUCCGGUGGCAAGCCGGACUGAUGAAUUUGCCGAGCUAAAGCGGCAACUUGACGUGGCAGAUGCCGACAUCGCGCUUGUCAACAAGCGGCUUGACGAGGCGCAAGGUAUGUAAUUCCUCCGGCGGCUCCUGGUAAGAGGAGCUUUAUGCUAGUAUCUUACAAUGUGUGCGCUUGAUGCAGAUGGUGCGGCCGCCAUGGAGAAUCUUCGGGCAGAACUUGCCCGAGCCAAGGAGCAAUCCAGGAAAAGUGAUGCGGCUGCCGGAAUGGCAAUUGAAGAGCUGAAAGCCGAACAGGCUGCUCACUGCCAAAGCAAGAAGGAAAUGGCCGAGAUGGCCGUGAAGCUGAAGAACGCUGCUGACCGUUGCAAGCUUCUUGAAAAAUAAGAUCGGGCAAAACAAACGGACCUGGAGAAGGCCGUUGCCGAUGCCAAGGAUGCUCGCUCUGCGAUGAGAGCUGUGAAGGAGGAGCUGCGUCAGGCCGGAGAGAUCGCGACUGGAAAGCCCUUUAUGCUGCAGAGGAAGUUCCGUGAUCCUAAACAUGCUCCGUUGGACUGGAUGUGGAGUACGACGGACACCUAUAUGGAUUUGGCAGCGGCCGCGGAUGCGGCCGAACACUUCCGAGAUCAAGAAGAUCGCGAAGUGGAAAAGCUCUUUUGGUUGCAGUUCCACAAUCCGGAGCGUCCGCUGUCAUGAGCCGAUCAUUUGGCCGAAUGGGCCGAGCUAAAUAGGUUGUCCGGACUUGCCAUGAAGUAUGUCAUGAGUCAUCUGUGGCCAGAGAGGCCAGAGCCGAAAAGUUAUUUCAACUUGGUGCAGCAGUUCCUUGGUGCGGCGCCACAUAUCAAUGCGAUGAAGAGGUCAGCGUGCAUAGAGGGUGCGCGGAUGACUCUUGCCCGUGUCAAGACAUACUGGGCAGAAAUGGAGGCCGCCGCUGUUGCAUCCCCAGACUCGGAUGGAAGUCGAGUACCUGCCGAGCACUAUUUUCAGGAAGUUCUGCAAGGCGCUCGUUUAAUAGAGACGUAGUGCUCGAAGGACACUAUAUUCGAGUAGCAUUAUUGUAAUACAAUAUUUUGAUAAAUUGUAGAAGCUUUUUAUACUUGUGCCUGCAAGUAUUAUAAUACCUCCUGUGCGGCCGUUUAACAUAUAUGUUUAUACAAUCUGAAUGAUGGCAGUCGUCGGCUUCAGCCCCCACGCACAUAAUGCGGGGGUGUUCGCAGAAGGCGCAUUUUCACACUUGAUCCAACGUCUUGGUCCUACAAAGGAGGUGAUAGCGCAGCGAACUAGGCAAUCAUACUAUGAUGCUUUAUCACUUUCACUUAGCCAUAGGAGUUUGAUAGUGAGGCUACUUAUAUAGCCCCUGGUGGCGCCUGCGCUCGCCCGAACUCGGGGCGCGUAUGUGCCUGGCCGGGAAGCGAACCUUCGUUAAUGCGGAGGAAUCCUAAAGAUUCUGGUAAGUCAUCGAGUGGUUGACCAGUCUCACGCUAUAUCAUGACAGUCAGUUUUUGACUUUCUCUACUGAGGUGCUCGCCUCGCUGAACCGGGGCACAAUCGCAGUAGUUCUCCUGGUGCCACCUUAGCCGAUAGAGCGAAAUGUAAGGUAGCAAAACACAGGAGCCGGGCAAACCCAACAUUUGACCAAAGACAUGAUUCGGAGCUGAUGCAUAUAAGGACAAACUCGCGACGCCGAACACUCCCUAAGGUAUUUGGUCUUUAUGAGGGCGGGCGGGAUAACGCCCUUAGUAAUAAGCCCCUAGUGUCCAGGUACGUGCAAAAACUCUGACAUGGCCACAUGCCAAAAUGCCAGCCUCCUCCUUGGUUAUACCAAGAAACCAGGGGAUGUGUAUCAACAAGAGACAGUAAAAAAGGUUUACGCAGGGUCUUAAUCUGAAAAGAAUCCUUGGAACGGGUCCCUGCUGCACGUCUACGCCUGUGUCUCCGUUGUGCCGUAUCCUGGACGGGCGUAGCACGGUGUUCAUCUGUAAAAGGGAGGAACUUAGUUACAUAAAGAUCGUGCCGAACAUGAGUUAUACUAAAUAAAUGAAGUAUAAAUCGAAAUGGGUAAAAUUGAGCUUUAUUGUCUCUUGUUUUAUAUGCGCGGAGCCCCUAGUACAGGGGCAUACGGCUAUUAAGCCUUUAUAAAUUGUAUGUUUAUGCCGGACUCGUCUAGCCGUGUCCGUUGUCUUGAUGACUUGUUUACGUGCUUUGGUUGGUGAAGCCGCUUUAUUGUGGGGCUGUCAAGGCAGCCACACUGUCUUCCGCGUGGGGGGAACACUCAAUGUUUUCCCUUUAAUGAGAUGAUGCCUCGUGGACCGGGCAUCUUAAGCGUGAGAUAUGCAUAAUGCGGUAUUGCGUUAAAGCGGGUGAAAGCUUUGCGUCCCAGUAGUGCUUGAUAGCUACUUGAGAAUGGGGCGAUGUGGAAAGUUAGCUGUUCGUGACGGAAGUUAUCGGGGGAGCCGAACAUAACUUCUAGCCGGAGAGAACCCAUGCAACGGGCAUCCGGGCCUGGCGUUACCCCUUGAAAGGAGGUUUUGCUAUGGCGAAUUUUUGUUGGGUCUAUCCCCAUGUUGCGGAUUGUGUCCUGGUAUAACAGGUUUAGACCACUUCCGCCGUCCAUCAGGACAUUUGUAAAGUGGAGUCCGCCGAUUAUUGGAUCUAAUACCAAGGGGAGACCAUAAAUGCCUUCAUCAAUGAAACCAUAGAUCUGUCAAUUUGCUGUCUCUGUCUGGAGCGGCGCUUACGUCGCCGCUUUGAUUGCUUUCCCCUAAUCCACAACUCUCAAUGAAACCGACGUCCCCGUGCGUCCAAAGAUGGUGAUACCUAAAUCUAUCCUUACUUUUCAUGCCUAGCUAGGGGGCGUUAAACGAUAGCGCUUGUUGGGAGGCAACCCAAUUUUAUUUUUAUUCCUUACUUUUUGCUCCUGUUUAUUAAUAAAUAAUUUAUCUAGCCUUUGUUUAGAUAGUGUUUUUUGUGUUUAAUUAGUGUUUGUGCCAAGUAGAACCGUUGGGAAUAAUUGGGGAAAGUCUUGAUAUCUUGCUGUAAAAAACAGAAACUUUAGCGCUCACGAGAACUGCUGCCAUUUUUAUUUGGAAAGUGAUAUAUAGUUAAUUCUUUUUGCAGAUGAUUAAUAAAUAUAUUCCUCCAUCCAUAAAUUUAUUUUAGAAUUUUUGGGGUUCCAGAUCUUGCGCUAGCUUCAGAUUACUACAGACUGUUCUGGUUUUGACAGAUUCUGUUUUUCGUGUGUUGUUUGCUUAUUUUGAUGAAUCUAUGGCUAGUAAAAUAGUUCAUAAACCAUAGAGAAGUUGGAAUACAGUAGGUUUAACACCAACAUAAACAAAGAAUAAGUUCAUUACAGUACCUUGAAGUGGUCAUUUGUUUUCUUUCGCUAACGGAGCUCACGAGAUUUUCUACUUUGAGUUUUGUGUUGUGAAGUUUUCAAGUUUUGGGUAAAGAUUUGAUGGAUUAUGGAACAAGGAGUGGCAAGAGCCUAAGCUUUGGGAUGCCCAUGGAACCCCCAAGAUAAUCUAAGGACACCUAAAAGCCAAAUCUUGGUAAUGCCCCUGAAGGCAUCCCCUCUUUUCGUCUACUUCUAUCGGUAACUUUACUUGGAGCUAUAUUUUUAUUCACCACAUGAUAUGUGUUUUUCUUGGAGCGUCUUGUAUUAUUUGAGUCUUUAUUUGUUAGUUUACCACGAUCAUCCUUGCUGUACACACCUUUUCAGAGAGCCAUACAUGAUUUGGAAUUUGUUAGAAUGCUCUAUGUGCUUCGCUUAUAUCUUUUGAGUUAUAUAGUUUUGCUCUAGUACUUCGCUUAUAUCUUUUAGAGCACGGUGGUGGAUUUGUUUUAUAGAAACUAUUGAUCUCUCAUGCUUCACUUAGAUUAUUUUGAGAGUCUUAAAUAGCAUGAUAAUUUGCUUAAAUAAUGCUAAUAUGCUAGGUAUUCAAGAUUAGUAAAAAAAUAUCCUAGGAGUGUUUGAAUACUAAGAGACGUUUGAUGCUUGAUGAUCGUUUUGAGAUAUGGAGGUAAUAAUAUCAAAGUCGUGCUAGUUGAGUAGUUGUGAAUUCGAGAAGUGCUUGUGUUGAAGUUUGCAAAUCCCGUAGCAUGCACGUAUGGUAAACGUUGUGUAACAAAUUUGAAACAUAAGGUGUUUUUUUCAUUGUCUUCCUUAUGAGUGGCGGUCGGGGACGAGCGAUGGUCUUUUCCUACCAGUCUAUCCCUCUAGGAGCAUGCGCGUAGUGCCGAGGUUUUUUAUGACUUGUAGAUUUUUUCAAUAAGUAUGUGAGUUCUUUAUGACUAAUGUCGAGUCCAUGGAUUAUACGCGCUCUCACCCUUCCAUCAUUGCUAGCCUCUUCGGUACCGUGCAUUGCCCUUUCUCACAUUGAGAGUUGGUGCAAACUUCACCGGUGCAUCCAAACCCCGUGAUAUGAUACGCUCUUUCACACAUAAACCUCCUUAUAUCUUCCUCAAAACAGCCACCAUACCUACCUAUUAUGGCAUUUCCAUAGCCAUUCUGAGAUAUAUUGCCAUGCAACUUUCCACCAUUCCGUUUAUCAUGACACAUUCAUCAUUGUCAUAUUGCUUAGCAUGAUCAUGUAGUGGACAUAGUAUUUGUGGCAAAGCCACCGUUCAUAAUUCUUUCAUACAUGCCACUCUUGGUUCAUUGCAUAUCCCGGUACACCGCCGGAGGCAUUCAUAUAGAGUCAUCUUUUGUUCUAGCAUCGCGUUGUAAUCAUUGAGUUGUAAAUAAAUAGAAGUGUGAUGAUCAUCAUUUUCUAGAGCAUUGUCCCAAAUGAGGAAAAAAAGAGAAAGGCCAUAUAAAAAAAGGCCUGAAUAAAAAAAAGAGAGAAAAAGAGAGAAGGGACAAUGUUACUAUCCUUUGCCACACUUGUGCUUCAAAGUAGCACCAUAAACUUCAUGUCACUUUGCUUUUAUUUUACUUUGCAUAUUUGUCAGAAAAAUACCAAAAAUAUUAUCUUAUCAUAUCUAUCAGAUCUCACUCUCGUAAGUGGCCAUGUAGGGAUUGACAACCCCUUAUCACGUUGGUUGCGAGCAUUUAUUUGUUUUGUGCAGGUACGAGGGACUCGCGCGUAGCCUCCUACAGGAUUAAUACCUUGGUUCUCAAAAACUAAGGGAAAUACUUACGCUACUCUGCUGCAUCAUCCCUUCCUCUUCGGGGAAAAACCAACACAGUGCUCAAGAGGUAGCAGUGGUGUACCGGGAUUGCGAUGAAUCAAGAGUGACAUGUAUGAAAAAUUAUGAACGAUGGCUUUGCCACAAAUACGAUGUCAACUACAUGAUCAUGCAAAGCAAUAUGACAAUGAUGAUGCGUGUCAUAAUAAACAGAACGGUGGGAAGUUGCAUGGCAAUAUAUCUCGGAAUGGCUAUGGAAAUGCCAUAAUAGGUAGGUAUGGUGGCUGUUUUGAGGAAGAUAUAAGGAGGUUUAUGUGUGAUAGAGCGUAUCAUAUCACGGGGUUUGGAUGCACCGGCGAAGUUUGCACCAACUCUCAAUGUGAGAAAGGGCAAUGCACGGUACCGAAGAGGCUAGCAAUGAUGGAAGGGUGAGAGUGCGUAUAAUCCAUGGACUCAACAUUAGUCAUAAAGAACUCACAUACUUAUUGCAAAAAUCUACAAGUCAUCAUAAACCAAGCACUAUGCGUAUGCUCCUAGGGGGGUAGAUUGGUAGGAAAAGACCAUUGCUCGUCCCCGACCGCCACUCAUAAGGAAGACAAUCAAAGAACACCUCAUGUUUCAAAUUUGUUACAUAUCAUUUACCAUACGUGCAUGCUACGGGACUUGCAAACUUCAACACAAGCAUUUCUCAAAUACACAACUACUCAACUAGCACGACUUUGAUAUUAUUACCUCCGUAUCUCAAAACAAUCAUCAAGCAUCAAGCUUCUCUUAGUAUUCAAUGCACUCUAUAUGAAAGUUUUUAUUAUAUCCCUCUUGGAUGCCCAUCAUAUUAGGACUAGUUUCAUAACAAAAGCAAACUACCAUUCUGUUCUAAGGGACUCUCAAAAUAAUAUAAGUGAAUCAUGAGAGUUCAUCUAUUUCUAUAAAAUAAAACCACCACCAUGCUCUAAAAGAUAUAAGUGAAGCACUAGAGCAAAUGACAAACUACUCCAAAAGAUAUAAGUGAAGAUCAAUGAGUAGUCGAAUAAUUAUGCAACCAUGUGAAGACUCUCUAACAUUUAAUAAUUUCAGAUAUUGUUAUUUUAUCCAAGCAGCAAGCAAAACUAAAUAAAAUAAAAUGACUCUCCAAGCAAAACACAUAUCAUGUGGUGAAUAAAAAUAUAGCUCCAAGUGAAGUUACCGAUAGACGAGGACGAAAGAGGGGAUGCCUUCCGGGGCAUCCCCAAGCUUAGGCUUUUGGUUGUCCUUGAAUAUUACCUUGGGGUGCCUUGGGAAUCCCCAAGCUUAGGAUCUUUCCACACCUUGUUCCAUAGUCCAUCAAAUCUUUACCCAAAACUUGAAAACUUCACAACACAAAUCUUAACCAAAAACUCGUAAGCUCCGUCAGUAUAAGAAAAUAAAUCACCACUUAGGUACUGUUGUGAACUCAUUCUAAAUUCAUAUUGGUGUAAUAUCUACUGUAUUCCAACUUAUCUAUGGUUCAUACCCUCCGAUACUACUCAUAGGUUCAUCAAAAUAAGCAAACAACACAUUGAAAACAGAAUCUAUCAAAAACAGAACAGUCUGUAGUAAUAUGGAUCAAACGUAUACUUCUGGAACCCCAAAAAUUCUAAAAUAAAUUUCUGGACCUGAUUAAUUUAUCUAUUAAUCAUAUUCAAAAGGAAUUAACUAAAUAUCACUCUCCAAAUAAAAAUUGCAGCAAUUCUCGUGAGUGCUAAAGUUUCUGUUUUUUACAGCAUGAUUAUAAAGACUUCACCCAAGUCUUCCCAAAGGUUCUACUGGGCACAAACACUAAUUAAAACAUAAAACCACAUCCAAACAGGGGCUAGAUGAAUUAUUUAUUACUAAACAGGAGCAUAAAGAAAGGAACAAAAAUAAAAUUGGGUUGCCUCCCAACAAGCGCUAUCGUUUAACGCCCCUAGCUAGGCAUGAUGAUUUCAAUGAUGCUCACAUAAAAGAUAAGAAUUAAAACAUAAAGAGAGCAUCAUGAAGAAUAUUACUAGAGCAUUUAAGUCUAACCCACUUCCUAUGCAUUGGGAUUAUGUGAGCAAACAACUUGUGGGUACAAGAAUCAAUUUGCAUAGGAAGGUAAAACAAGCAUAACUUCAAAACUUUAAGCACAUAGAGAGGAAACUUGAUAUUAUUGCAAUUCCUACAAGCAUAAGUUCCUCCCUCAUAAUAAUUUUCAUUAGCAUCAUGAAUGAAUUCAACAAUAUAACCAGCACCUAAAGCAUUAUUUUCAUUAUCUAUAAGCAUAGAAAUUUUAUUACUCUCCACAUGAGCAAAAUUCUUCUCAUUCGGAAUAGUGGGAGUAUCAUAAGAAACUCGAAUACUAUAAAUUGUUUCCACAUUAAAAGAGUAAUGUUCAGAAAAGGGGUUAUCAUAAUCAUACAAGUUUUAUAAUCAUAAUCACUACUUUUUAUAGCAUAAGUACCAUCACAAUAAUCAUCAUAAGUAGGAGGCAUGCUAUCAUCAUUAUAAAUUUGCAUAUCAAAACUUGGGAGACUAAAAAUAUCAUCUUCAUUAAACGUAGCAUCCCCAAGCUUGAGACAAACAUUAGCUGCAGCAAAUAUAUUCUCAAAAACAUCAUUUUCAUCAAACAUAGCAUCCCCAAGCUUGGCCCUUUUCAUAUCAUAAGCAUAAUCACUCUCAUCAUUAAUAGUAUGGAUAGCACCAAUAGUAUAGCAAUUAUCAUAUUCUUCCAAGCAAGUGCCAAAAAGAUCUUCAAGAUCAUAAUAAGUAUCAUUAUCUUUCACAAUUAUAUUUUCAUGAGGCACAAUAGUAAUAGGAGCAGCAUUAUUUGGGGGAGAUAUCUUUUUACCUCUCUUCCUUUUUCUUUUCUUCUUCUUCACCACAUCAUGUGUGGGUUCAAUCCUCUUUUUGUAGCUCCUUAUUAAUGAGAUUGGUUGAAUAGGAGGCUCUUCCUCGUUACCUGAUUCAUCAUAAGAAAUAAUAGGAGGGUAUUGGGAAGUCUCUUCCCUUUCAUUAGUAUUCUCUUCAUCUUCUAUUUAUUUUCUUUUCUUCAUGUAGUUGGCAAUAUAAGGAUUUUCAAUACAAUUCACCGCACAAUACAUAUAAAUUUUCUCUAGAUCAAAAUCAAGAAAUCUACCAAGAUUAAACUUUGGAAUACCCUCAGUUAUACUUUUCAUUUCCUCAUACCCCAAAAGAAGACUAAGCUCUUUAUGAUGCUCAAGGGUAAUCAAAUUAUCACAAUUUUUGGGUACGAUUUGGUCAUGAAACAAUUUGCAUUGGAGAUUUAAAUGACCAUGUUCAUUGCAAAGUUCACAAGGGGCGCGAAAAAUAUUGAAUUUUUCAGCACAAACAUCAAGACUUUCUUGCAACAAUUUAGUUUCUAAAUACUUAUGCCUCUUGCAAUAUCUAUCUUCCCUAUUUGGUGUAUACUUGCAAACCCAAUGCACUCCACAAAAAUUGACAUGUUUAUAGGAGACAUUUUCAUCAUAACUAGUGCAAUCAUCAUUAGUACUACGGAUAUUCAAAGAGUUCAUACUAACAACAUUCCAAUCAUGCUCAUCAUUCAAAGAUUUAGUGCCAAACAUUUUAAUGCAUUCUUCUUAUAACACUUUGGCACAAUUUUCCUUUCCACCAUACUCACGGAAGAUAUUAAAAAGAUGAAGCGUAUGAGACAAACUCAAUGUUGGGGAACGUUGCAGAAAACAAAAAAAUUCCUACGGUUUCACCAAGAUCCAUCUAUGAGUUCAUCUAGCAACGAGUGAUCGGAUGCAUCUACAUACCUUGUAGAUCGUGAGCGGAAGCGUUCAAAGAAUGGGGAUGAGGGAGUCGUACUCGAUGUGAUCCAAAUCACCGGAGAUCCUAGCGCCGAACGGACGACACCUCCGCGUUCAACACACGUACGGUCAACGUGACGUCUCCUCCUUCUUGAUCCAGCAAGGGGAAGGAGAGGUUGAGGAAGAUGGGUCCAGCAGCAGCACGACGGCGUGGUGGUGGUGGAGAAGCAGUACUCCGACAGGGCUUUGCCGAGCUCUACGGAGGAGGAGGAGGUGUUGGAGGGGAGAGGGAGGCGCCAAGGGCAUGGGUGCGGCUGCCCUCCCUCCCCCCCUCUAUAUAUAGGGUCCCCAAGGGGGGGGCGCCGGCCCUGGAGAUUCAAUCUCCCAAGGGGCGCGGCCAAGGGGGGUGGAGUGCCCCCCAAGGCAAGUGGGGCGUGAAGGAAAUAUGCCCUAGAGGCAAUAAUAAAGUUAUUAUUUAUUUCCUUAUAAUCAUGAUAAAUGUUUAUUAUUCAUGCUAGAAUUGUAUUAACCGAAAACAUAAUACAUGUGUGAAUACAUAGACAAACAAGGUGUCACUAGUAUGCCUCUACUUGACUAGCUCGUUAAUCAAAGAUGAUUAUGUUUCCUAAUCAUGAACAAUGAGUUGUUAUUUGAUUAACGGGAUCACAUCAUUAAGAGAAUGAUCUGAUUGACAUGACCCAUUCCAUUAGCUUAGCACCCGAUCGUUUAGUAUGUUGCUAUUGCUUUCUUCAUGACUUAUACAUGUUCCUAUAACUAUGAGAUUAUGCAACUCCCGUUUACCGGAGGAACACUUUGGGUACUACCAAACGUCACAACAUAACUGGGUGAUUAUAAAGGAGUAUUACAGGUGUCUCCAAAGGUACAUGUUGGGUUGGCGUAUUUCGAGAUUAGGUUUUGUCACUCCGAUUGUCGGAGAGGUAUCUCUGGGCCCUCUCGGUAAUGCACAUCACUUAAGCCUUGCAAGCAUUGCAACUAAAUGAGUUAGUUGCGGGAUGGUGUAUUACGGAACGAGUAAGGAGACUUGCCGGCAACGAGAUUGAACUAGGUAUUGGAAUACCGACGAUCGAAUCUCGGGCAAGUAACAUACCGAUGACAAAGGGAACGACGUAUGUUGUUAUGCGGUCUAACCGAUAAAGAUCUUCGUAGAAUAUGUAGGAGCCAAUAUGGGUAUCCAGGUACCGCUAUUGGUUAUUGACUGGAGACAUGUCUCGGUCAUGUCUACAUUGUUCUCGAACCCGUAGGGUCCGCACGCUUAAGGUUACGAUGACAGUUAUAUUAUGAGUUUAUGCAUUUUGAUGUACCGAAGGUUGUUCGGAGUCCCGGAUGUGAUCAUGGACAUGACAAGGAGUCUCAAAAUGGUCGAGGCAUAAAGAUUGAUAUAUUGGAAGCCUAUGUUUGGAUAUCGAAAGUGUUCCGGGUGAAAUCGGGAUUUUACCGGAGAACCGGGAGGUUACCGGAACCCCCCGGGAGCUAAAUGGGCCAUGAUGGGCCUUAGUGGAAAAGAGAAGAGGCAGCCCUACAUGGGCCGCGCGCCCCUCCCCUCCCUUGGUCCGAAUAGGACAAGGAGAGGGGGCCGACCCCUCUCUCUCUUUUCCCCCCUCCGCGAAUCCUAUUCCAACUAGGAUUGGGGGGGGGGGGAAUCCUACCCCGAGAGGGAGUAGGACUCUCCUGGCGCGCCCUCCUUGGCCGGCCAGCCUCCUCCCUUUAGUCCUUUAUAUACGGAGGCAGGGGCACCCCAGAAACACACAAGUUGAUCCACGUGAUCUAUUCCUUAGCCGUGUGCGGCGCCCCCAGCCACCAUAGUCCUCGAUAAUACUGUACCGGAGUUUAGGCGAAGCCCUGCUGCUGUAGUGCAUCAUGAUCGUCACCACGCCGUCGUGCUGACGGAACUCUUCCCCGACACUUUGCUGGAUCGGAGUCCGAGGAUCGUCAUCGAGCUGAAUGUGUGCUAGAACUCGGAGGUGCCGUAGUUUCGUUGCUUGAUCGGUCGGAUCAUGAAGACGUACGACUACAUCAACCAAACGCUUCUGUUGUCGAUCUACUAGGUAUGUAGAUCACACUCCCCCCCCCUCGUUGCUAUGCAUCACAUGAUCUUGCGUGUGCGUAGGAAUUUUUUUGAAAUUACUACGUCCCCAACAGUGGCAUCCGAGCCUAGGUUUUAUAUGUUGAUGUUAUAUGCACGAGUAGAACACAAGUGAGUUGUGGGCGAUAUAAGUCAUACUGCCUACCAGCAUGUCAUACUUUGGUUCGGCGGUAUUGUUGGAUGAAGCGGCCCAGACCGACAUUACGCGUACGCUUACGCGAGACCGGUUCUCGCGACGUGCUUUGCACAGAGGUGGCUUGUGGGUGACAGUUUCUCCAACUUUAGUUGAACCAAGUGUGGCUACACCCGGUCCUUGCGAAGGUUAAAACGGAGUCAAAUUGACAAACUAUCGUUGUGGUUUUGAUGCGUAGGUGAGAUUUGUUCUUACUUAAGCCUGUAGCAGCCACGUAAAACUUGCAACAACAAAGUAGAGGACGUCUAACUUGUUUUUGCAGGGCAUGUUGUGAUGUGAUAUGGUCAAGACAUGAUGCUGAAUUUUAUUGUAUGAGAUGAUCAUGUUUUGUAACCGAGUUAUCGGCAACCGGCAGGAGCCAUAUGGUUGUCGCUUUAUUGUAUGCAAUGCAAUCGCGAUGUAAUGCUUUACUUUAUCACUAAAUGGUAGCGAUAGUCGUGGAAGCACAAGCUUGGCGAGACGACAAUGGUGCUACGAUGGAGAUCAAGGUGUCACGCCGGUGACGAUGGUGAUCACGACGGUGCUUCAGAGAUGGAGAUCACAAGCACAAGAUGAUGAUGGCCAUAUCAUAUCACUUAUAUUGAUUGCAUGUGAUGUUUAUCUUUUAUGCAUCUUAUCUUGCUUUGAUUGACGGUAGCAUUAUAAGAUGAUCUCUCACUAAAUUAUCAAGAAGUGUUCUCCCUGAGUAUGCACCGUUGCGAAAGUUCUUCGUGCUGAGACACCAUGUGAUGAUCGGGUGUGAUAGGUUCUACGUUCAAAUACAACGGGUGCAAAAUAGUUGCACACGCGGAAUACUCAGGUUAUACUUGACGAGCCAAGCAUAUACAGAUAUGGCCUCGGAACACGGAGACCGAAAGGUCGAGCGUGAAUCAUAUAGUAGAUAUGAUCAACAUAGCGAUGCUCACCAAUGAAACUACUCCAUCUCACGUGAUGAUCGGACAUGGUUUAGUUGAUUUGGAUCACGUGAUCACUUAGAGGAUUAGAGGGAUGUCUAUCUAAGUGGGACUUCUUAAGUAAUAUGAUUAAUUGAACUUAAAUUUAUCAUGAACUUAGUCCUGGUAGUAUUUUGCAAAUUAUGUUGUAGAUCAAUAGCUCGCAUUGUUGCUUCCCUGUGUUUAUUUUGAUAUGUUCCUAGAGAAAAUUGUGUUGAAAGAUGUUAGUAGCAAUGAUGCGGAUUGGAUCCAUGAUCUGAGGUUUAUCCUCAUUGCUGCAUAGAAGAAUUAUGUCCUUGAUGCACCGCUAGGUGACAGACCUAUUGCAGGAGCAGAUGCAGAUGUUAUGAACAUUUGGCUAGCUCAAUAUGAUGACUACUUGAUAGUUUAGUGCACCAUGCUUAAUGGCUUAGAAUCGGGACUUCAAAGACAUUUUGAACGUCAUGGACCAUAUGAGAUGUUCCAGGAGUUGAAGUUAAUAUUUCAAGCAAAUACCCGAGUUGAGAGAUAUGAAGUCUCCAACAAGGUCUAUAGCUAAAAGAUGGAGGAGAAUCGCUCAACUAGUGAGCAUGUGCUCAGAUUGUCUGGGUACUACAAUCGCUUGAAUCAAGUGGGAGUUAAUCUUCCAGAUAAGAUAGUGAUUGACAGAAUUCUCUAGUCACCAUCACCAAGUUAGUAGAACUUCCUGAUGAACUAUGAUAUGCAAGGGAUAACGGAAAUGAUUCCCAAGCUCUUCGUAAUGCGGAAAUUGACGAAGGUAGAAAUCGAGAAAAACAUCAAGUGUUGAUGGUAGACAAGACCACUAGUUUCAAGAAAAGGGCAGAGGGAAGAAGGGGAACUUCAAGAAGAACAGCAAGCAUGUUGCUACUCAAGUGAAGAAGCCCAAGUCUGGUCCUAAGCCUGAGACUAAGUGUUUCUACUGCAAAGGGACUGGUCACUGAAAGCGGAACUACCCCAAGUGAUUGGCAGAUAAGAAGGAUGGCAAAAUGAACAUAAGUAUAUUUGAUAUACAUGUUAUUGAUGUGUACUUUACUAGUGUUUAUAGCAACCCCUCAGUAUUUGAUACUAGUUCAGUUGCUAAGAUUAGUAACUUGAAACGGGAGUUGCAGAAUAAACAGAGACUAGUUAAGGGUGAAGUGACGAUGUGUGUUGGAAGUGGUUCCAAGAUUGAUAUGAUCAUCAUCGCACACUCCCUAUACUUUCGGGAUUAGUGUUGAACCUGAAUAAGUGUUAUUUGGUGUUUGUGUUAAGCAUGAAUAUGAUUUGAUCAUGUUUAUUAUAAUACGGAUAUUCAUUUAAGUAAGAGAAUAAAUUGUUGUUCUGUUUACAUGAAUAAAACCUUAUAUGGUUACACACCCAAUGAAAAUAGUUCAUUGGAUCUCGAUCGUAGUGAUACACAUAAUCAUAAUAUUGAAACCAAAAGAUGCAAAGUUAAUAAUGAUAGUGCAACUUAUUUGUAGCACUGCCAUUUAGGUCAUAUUGGUGUAAAGUGCAUGAAGAAACUCCAUGCUGAUGGAUUUUGGAAUCACUUGAUUAUGAAUCACUUGAUGCUUGAGAACCAUGCCUCAUGGUCAAGAUGACUAAGACUCCGUUCUCCGGAGAGAGCAACUGACUUAUUGGAAAUAAUACAUACUGAUGUAUGCGGUCCGAUGAGUGUUAAGGCUCACGGCAAGUAUCGUUAUUUUCUGAACUUCACAGAUGAUUUGAGCAAGAUAUGGGUAUAUCUACUUGAUGAAACAUAAGUCCUAAACAUUUGAAAAGUUCAAAGAAUUUCAGAGUGAAGUGGAAAAUCAUCAUGACAAGAAAAAAAAAUUUCUAUGAUCUGAUCGCGGAGACAAAUAUUUGAGUUACGAGUUUGGUCUUCAAAUAAAACAAUGUGGAAUAGUUUCACAAACUCAUGCCACAUGGAACACCACAGCAUAAUGGUGUGUCUGAACAUUAUAACCGUACUUUAUUAGAUAUGGUGCGAUCUAUGAUGUUUUUUUUUGAUCUACCACUAUCGUUUUGGGGUUAUGCAUUAAAGACAGCUGCAUUCACAUUUAAAAGGGCACCAUCUAAGUCCGUUGAGACGACACAAUCUGAACUGUGGUUUGGCAAGAAACCAAAGUUGUCAUUUCUUAAAGUUUGGGAUUGUGAUGCUUAUAUGAAAAGGUUUCAUCCUGAUAAGCUCAAAUCCAAAUAGGAGAAAUAUGUCUUCAUAGGAUACCCAAAGGAGACUGUUGGGUACACCUUCUAUCACAAAUCCGAAGGCAAGACUUUUGUUGCUAAAUUCGGAGUUUUUCUAGAGAAGGAGUUUCUCUCGAAAGAAGUGAGUGGGAGGAAAGUAGAACUUGAUGAGGUAACUGUACCUGCUCCCUUAUUGGAAAGUAGUUCAUCACAGAAAUCUGUUCCUGUGACUACUACACCAAUUCGUGAGGAAGCUAAUGAUGAUGAUCAUGUAACUUCAGAUCAAGUUACUACCAAAUCUCGUAGGUAAACCAGAGUGAGAUCCACACCAGAGUGGUACGGUAAUCCCAUUCUGGAAGUCGUGUUACUAGACCAUGACGAACUUGCGAACUAUGAGGAAGCGAUGAUGAGCCCAGAUUCUGCGAAAUGGUUUGAGGUCAUGAAAUCUGAGAUAUGAUCCAUGUAUGAGAACAAAGUAUGGACUUUGAUGGAUUUGCUCGAUGAUCGGCAAGCCAUAGAAAAUAAAUGGAUCUUCAAGAGGAAGACAGACGCUGAUAGUAGUGUUACUAUCUACAAAGCUAGAAUUGUCGCAAAAGGUUUUCGACAAGUUCAAGGAGUUGACUACGAUGAGAUUUUCUCACUCGUAUCUAUGCUUAAGUCUGUCCGAAUCAUGUUAGCAAUUGCCGCAUUUUAUGAAAUCUGGCAAAUGGAUAAACAAAACUGCAUUCCUUAAUGGAUUUACUAAAGAAGAGUUGUAUACGAUGCAACUAGAAGGUUUUGUCGAUCCUAAAGGUGUUAACUAAAUAUGCAAGCUCCAGCGAUCCAUCUAUGGACUAGUGCAAGAAUCUCAGAGUUGGAAUAUACGCUUUGAUAAGUUGAUCAAAGCAUAUAGUUUUAUGCAGACUUGCGGUGAAGCCUGUAUUUACAAGAAAGUGAGUGGGAGCACUACAACAUUUCUGAUAAGUAUAUGUGAAUGACAUAUUGUUGAUCGGAAAUAAUGUAGAAUUAUUCUGCAAAGCAUAAAGGAGUGUUUGAAAGGAGUUUUUUCAAAAAGGACCUCGAAGAAGCUGCUUACAUAUUGAGCAUCAAGAUCUAUAGAGAUAGAUCAAGACGCUUGAUAAGUUUUUUUUCAAUGAGUACAUACCUUGACAAGAUUUUAUAAUAGUUCAAAAUGGAACAGUCAAAGAAAGUGUUCUUGCCUGUGUCAUAAGGUGUGAAAUUGAGUAAGACUCAAAGCCCGACCACGGCAGAAGAUAGAAAGAGAAUGAAUGUCAUUCCCUAUGCCUCGGUCAUAGGUUCUAUAAAGUAUGCCAUGCUGUGUACCAGAUCUAUUGUAUACCCUACCAUUGAGUUUGGCAAGGGAGUACAAUAGUGAUCUAGGAGUAGAUCACUGGACAGCGGUCAAAAUUAUCCUUAGUGGAAUAAGGAAAUAUUUCUCAAUUAUGGAGGUGACAAAAAGGUUCGUCGUAAAAAGUUACAUCGAUGCAUGUUUUGACACAGAUCUGGAUGACUCUAAGUCUCGAUCUAGAUACAUAUUGAAAGUGGGAGCAAUAAGUUAGAGUAGCUCCGUGCAGAGCAUUGUUGACAUAGAAAUUCGCAAAAUACUUACGGAUCCGAAUGUGACAGACCUGUUGACUAAAAUUAUCUCACAAGCAAAACAUGAUCACACCUUAGUACUCUUUGGGUAUUAAUCACAUAGCGAUGUGAACUAGAUUACUGACUCUAGUAAACCCUUUGGGUGUUGAUCACAUAUCGAUGUGAACUAUGGGUGUUAAUCACAUGGUGAUGUGAACUAUUGUUGUUAAAUCACAUGGCGAUGUGAACUAGAUUAUUGACUCUAGUGCAGGUGGGAGACCGAAGGAAAUAUGCCCUAGAGGCAAUAAUAAAGUUAUUAUUUAUUUCCUUAUAAUCAUGAUAAAUGUUUAUUAUUCAUGCUAGAAUUGUAUUAACUGGAAACAUAAUACAUGUGUGAAUACAUAGACAAACAAAGUGUCACUAGUAUGCCUCUACUUGACUAGCUCGUUAAUCAAAGAUGAUUAUGUUUCCUAAUCAUGAACAAUGAGUUGUUAUUUGAUUAACGAGAUCACAUCAUUAAGAGAAUGAUUUGAUUGACAUGACCCAUUCCAUUAGCUUAGCACCCGAUCAUUUAGUAUGUUGCUAUUGCUUUCUUCAUGACUUAUACAUGUUCCUAUAACUAUGAGAUUAUGCAACUCCCGUUUACCGGAGGAACACUUUGGGUACUACCAAAGGUCACAAUGUAACUGGGUGAUUAUAAAGGAGUAUUACAGGUCUCUCCAAAGGUACAUGUUGGGUUGGCGUAUUUCGAGAUUAGGUUUUGUCACUCCGAUUGUCGGAGAGGUAUCUCUGAGCCCUCUCGGUAAUGCACAUCACUUAAGCCUUGCAAGCAUUGCAACUAAAUGAGUUAGUUGCGGGAUGAUGUAUUACGGAACGAGUAAAGAGACUUGCCGGCAACGAGAUUGAACUAGGUAUUGGAAUACCGACGAUCGAAUCUCGGGCAAGUAACAUACCGAUGACAAAGGGAACGACGUAUGUUGUUAUGCGGUCUGACCGAUAAAGAUCUUCAUAGAAUAUGUAGGAGCCAAUAUGGGCAUCCAGGUCCCGCUAUUGGUUAUUGACUGGAGACAUGUCUCGGUCAUGUCUACAUUGUUCUCGAACCCGUAGGGUCCGCACGCUUAAGGUUACGAUGACAGUUAUAUUAUGAGUUUAUGCAUUUUGAUGUACCGAAGGUUGUUCAGAGUCUCGGAUGUGAUCACGGACAUGAUGAGGAGUCUCGAAAUGGUCGAGACAUAAAGAUUGAUAUAUUGGAAGCCUAUGUUUGGAUAUCGGAAGUGUUCCAGGUGAAAUCGGGAUUUUACCGGAGUACCGGGAGGUUACCGGAACCCCCCGGGAGCUAAAUGGGCCAUGAUGGGCCUUAGUGGAAAAGAGAAGAGGCAGCCCUACAUGGGCCGCGCGCCCCUCCCCUCCCUUGGUCCGAAUAGGACAAGGAGAGGGGGCCGGACCCUCUCUCUCUUUUCCCUCCUCCGCGAAUCCUAUUCCAACUAGGAUUGGGGGGGGGGGGGAUCCUACUCCCAGAGGGAGUAGGACUCUCCUGGCGCGCCCUCCUUGGCCGGCCAGCCUCCCCCCUUUAGUCCUUUAUAUACGGAGGCAAAGGCACCCCAGAGACACACAAGUUGAUCCACGUGAUCUAUUCCUUAGCCGUGUGCAGCGCCCCCAGCCACCAUAGUCCUCAAUAAUACUGUAGCGGAGUUUAGGCGAAGCCCUGCUGCUGUAGUGCAUCAAUAUCGUCACCACGCCGUCGUGCUGACGGAACUCUUCCCCGACACUUUGCUGGAUCGGAGUCCGAGGAUCGUCAUCGAGUUGAACGUGUGCUAGAACUCAGAGGUGCCGUAGUUUCGGUGCUUGAUCGGUCGGAUCGUGAAGACGUACGACUACAUAAACCAAACACUUCCGUUGUCGAUGUACUAGGUAUGUAGAUCACACUCCCCCCCCCUCGUUGCUAUGCAUCACAUGAUCUUGCGUUUGCGUAGGAAAUUUUUUGAAAUUACUACGUUCCCCAACAGGGCGCCCCCCACCCUAGGGUUCCCAACCCUAGUCGCAGGGGGAAGGCCCAAGGGGGGCGCACCAGCCCACUAGGGGCUGGUUCCCCUCCCACUUCAGCCCAUGGGGCCCUCUGGGAUAGGUGGCACCACCCGGUGGACCCCCGGGACCCUUCCAGUGGUCCCGGUACAAUACCGGUGACCCCGAAACUUGUCCCGAUGGCCGAAAUAGCACUUCCUAUAUAUAAUUCUUUACCUCCGGACCAUUCCGGAACUCCUCGUGACGUCCGGUAUCUCAUUCGGGACUCCGAACAACUUUCUGGUUACUGCAUAUUCAUAUCCCUACAACCCUAGCGUCACCGAACCUUAAGUGUGUAGACCCUACGGGUUCGGGAGACAUGUAGACAUGACCGAGAUGGCUCUCCGGUCAAUAACCAACAGCGGGAUCUGGAUACCCAUGUUGGCUCCCACAUGCUCCUCGAUGAUCUCAUCGGGUGAACCACGAUGUCGAGGAUUCAAGCAACCCCGUAUACAAUUCCCUUUGUCAAUCGGUACGUUACUUGCCCGAGAUUCGAUCGUCGGUAUCCCAAUACCUCGUUCAAUCUCGUUACCGGCAAGUCACUUUACUCGUACCGUAAUGCAUGAUCCCGUGACCAGACACUUGGUCACUUUGAGCUCAUUGUGAUGAUGGAUUACCGAGUGGGCCCAGAGAUACCUCUUCGUCAUAUGGAGUGACAAAUCCUAGUCUUGAUCCGCGUCAACCCAACAGACACUUUCGGAGAUACCCGUAGUAUACCUUUAUAGUCAGCCAGUUACGUUGUGACGUUUGGUACACCCAAAGCACUCCUACGGUAUCCGGGAGUUACACGAUCUCAUGGUCUAAGGAAAGGAUACUUGACAUUGGAAAAACUCUAGCAAACGAACUAUACGAUCUUGUGCUAUGUUUAGGAUUGGGUCUUGUCCAUCACAUCAUUCUCCUAAUGAUGUGAUCUCGUUAUCAAUGACAUCCAAUGUCCAUAGUCAGGAAACCAUGACUAUCUGUUGAUCAACGAGCUAGUCAACUAGAGGCUUACUAGGGACAUGUUGGUGUCUAUUUAUUCGCACAUGUAUUACGAUUUCCUGAUAACACAAUUAUAGCAUGAAUAAAAUACAAUUAUCAUGAACAAGGUAAUAUAAUAAUAAUGCUUUUAUCAUUGCCUCUAGGGCGUAUUUCCAACAGUCUGCCGCUUGCACUAGAGUCAAUAAUCUAGUUACAUUGUGAUGAAUCGAACACCCAUGGAAUUCUGGUGUUGAUCAUGUUUUGCUCUAGGGAGAGGUUUAGUCAACGGAUCUGCUACAUUCAGGUCCGUAUGUACUUUACAAAUAUCUAUGUCUCCAUCUUGAACAUUUUCACGAAUGGAAUUGAAUCGACGCUUGAUGUGCCUGGUCUUCUUGUGAAACCUGGGCUCCUUGGCAAGUGCAAUAGCUCCAGUGUUGUCACAGAAGAGUUUGAUUGGCCCCGACGCAUUGGGUAUGACUCCUAGGUCAGUGAUGAACUCCUUCACCCAAAUUGCUUCAUGCGCUGCCUCAGAGGCUGCCAUGUACUCCGCUUCACAUGUAGAUCCCGCAGCGACGCUCUGCUUGCAAUUGCACCAGCUUACUGCCCCACCAUUCAAAAUAUACACUUAUCCGGUUUGUGACUUAGAGUCAUCCAGAUCUGUGUCGAAGCUAGCAUCGAUGUAACCCUUUACGACGAGCUCUUCGUCACCUCCAUAAACGAGAAACAUUUCCUUAGUCCUUUUCAGGUACUUCAGGAUAUUCUUCACCGCUGUCCAGUGUUCCUUGCCGGGAUUACUUUGGUACCUACCUACCAAACUUACGGCAAGGUUUACAUCAGGUCUGGUACACAGCAUGGCAUACAUAAUAGAACCUAUGGCUGAGGCAUAGGGGAUGACACUCAUCUCUUCUAUAUCUUCUGCCGUGGUCGGACAUUGAGCUGAGCUCAAUUUCACACCUUGCAACACAGGCAAGAACCCCUUCCUAGACUGAUCCAUAUUGAACUUCUUCAAUAUCUUAUCAAGGUAUGUACUUUGUGAAAGACCUAUGAGGCGUCUUGAUCUAUCUCUAUAGAUCUUGAUGCCUAAUAUAUAUGCAGCUUCUCCAAGGUCCUUCAUUGAAAAACUCUUAUUCAAGUAGGCCUUAAUGUUGUCCAAGAGUUCUAUAUCAUUUUCCAUCAAAAGUAUGUCAUCUACAUAUAAUAUGAGAAAUGCUACAGAGCUCCCACUCACUUUCUUGUAAACGCAGGCUUCUCCAUAAGUCUGCGUAAACCCAAACACUUUGAUCAUCUCAUCAAAGCGAAUGUUCCAACUCCGAGAUGCUUGCACUAGCCCAUAAAUCGAGGGUUGGAGCUUGCACACCUUGUCAGCAUUCUUAGGAUCGACAAAACCUUCCGGCUGCAUCAUAUACAAUUCUUCCUUAAGGAAACCAUUAAGGAAUGCCGUUUUGACGUCCAUUUUCCAUAUCUCAUAAUCAUAGAAUGCGGCAAUUGCUAACAUGAUUCGGACGGACUUUAGCUUCGCUACCGGUGAGAAAGUCUCAUCGUAGUCAACCCCUUGAACUUGUCGAUAACCCUUAGUGAAAAGCCGAGCUUUAUAGAUGGUCACAUUACCAUCCGCAUCUGUCUUCUUCUUAAAGAUCCAUUUAUUUUCUAUGGCUCGCCGCUCAACGGGCAAGUCAGUCAAAGUCCAUACUUUUUUUUCAUACAUGGAUCCUAUCUCGGAUUUCAUGGCUUCUAGCCAUUUGUCAGAAUCCGGGCCCGUCAGCGCUUUUUCAUAGUUCGGAGGUUCACCAUUGUCUAACAACAUGAUUUCCAAGACAGGGUUGCCGUACCACUCUGGUGCGGAACGUGUCCUUGUGGACCUACGAAGUUCAGUAGCAACUUGAUCCGAAGUUUCAUGAUCAUCUUCAUUAAUUUCCUCUCUAGUCGGUGCAGGCACCUCAGGAACAUUUUCUUGAGUUGUGCCAUUUUCCGGUUCAAGAGGUAAUACUUCAUCAAGUUCUACUUUCCUCCCACUUACUUCUUUCGAGAGAAACUCCUUCUCUAGAAAGGAUCCAUUCUUGGCAACAAAGAUCUUUGCCUUCGGAUCUGAGGUAGAAGGUAUACCCAAUAGUUUCUUUAGGGUAUCCUAUGAAGACGCAUUUUUCCGACUUGGGUUCGAGCUUUUCAGGUUGAAGUUUCUUGACAUAAGCAUCGCAUCCCCAAACUUUUAGAAACUAUAGCUUAGGUUUCUUCCCAAACCAUAAUUCAUACGGUGUCGUCUCAACGGAUUUCGACGGAGCCCUAUUUAAAGUGAAUGCGGCAGUCUGUAAAGCAUAGCCCCAAAAUAAUUGCGGUAAUUCGGUAAGAGUGAUCAUAGAUCGCACCAUAUCUAAUAGAGUGCGAUUACGACAUUCAGACACACCAUUACGCUGAGGUGUUCCAGGCGGCGUCAGUUGUGAAACUAUUCCACAUUUUCUUAAGUGUGUGCCAAAUUCGUGACUCAAGUAUUCUCCUCCAUGAUCUGAUCACAAGAACUUGAUUUUCCUGUCACGUUCAUUCUCAACCUCACUCUAAAAUUCCUUGAACUUUUCAAAGGUCUCAGACUUGUGUUUCAUUAAAUAGACAUACCCAUAUCUACUCAAGUCAUCAGUGAGGGUGAGAACAUAACGAUAGCCACCGCGAGCCCCAGCACUCAUUGGACCGCACGCAUCAGUAUGUAUGAUUUUCAAUAAGUUGGUUGCUCGCUCCAUUGUUCCUGAGAACAGAGUCUUGGUCAUUUUACCCAUGAGGCAUGGUUCGCACGUGUCAAAUGAUUCGUAAUCAAGAGACUCUAGAAGUCCAUCUGCAUGGAGCUUCUUCAUGCGUUUGACACCUAUGUGACCAAGGCGGCAGUGCCACAAGUAUGUGGGACUAUUAUUAUCAACCUUACAUCUUUUGGUAUUCACACUAUGAAUAUGUGUAGCAUUACGCUCGAGAUUCAUUAAGAAUAAACCAUUCACCAUCGGAGCAUGACCAUAAAACAUAUCUCUCAUAUAAAUAGAACAACCAUUAUUCUCGGAUUUAAAUGAGUAGCCAUCUCGUAUUAAACGAGAUCCUGAUACAAUGUUCAUGCUCAAACUUGGCACUAAAUAACAAUUAUUGAGGUUCAAAACUAAUCCCGUAGGUAAAUGUAGAGGUAGCGUGCCGACGGCGAUCACAUCGACCUUGGAACCAUUCCCGACGCGCAUCGUCACCUCGUCCUUCGCCAGUCUCCGCUUAUUCCGCAGCUCCUGCUUUGAGUUACAAAUGUGAGCAACUUCACCGGUAUCAAAUACCCAAGAGCUACUACAAGUACUGGUAAGGUACACAUCAAUUACAUGUAUAUCACAUAUACCUUUAUGAUGCCGGCCUUCUUGUCCGCUAAGUAUUUGGGGCAGUUCCGCUUCCAGUGACCACUUCCCUUGCAAUAAAAGCACUCAGUCUCGGGCUUGGGUCCAUUCUUUGGCUUCUUCCCGGCAGCUUGCUUGCCGGGCGCGGCAACUCCCUUGCCGUCCUUCUUGAAGUUCUUCUUACCCUUGCCUUUCUUGAACUUAGUGGUUUUAUUCACCAUCAACACUUGAUGUUCCUUUUUGACUUCUACCUCUGCUUAUUUCAGCAUUGCAAAUACUUCAGGAAUGGUCUUUUCCAUCCCCUGCAUAUUGAAGUUCAUCACAAAGCUCUUGUAGCUUGGUGGAAGCGACUAGAGGAUUCUCUCAAUGGCCGCGUCAUUUGGGAGAUUAACUCCCAGCUGAGUCAAGCGGUUAUGUAACCCAGACAUAGUGAGUAUGUGCUCACUGACAGAACUAUUUUCCUCCAUCUUACAGCUGAAUAACUUGUCGGAGACUUCAUAUCUCUCGACCCUGGCAUGAGCUUGAAAAACCAUUUUCAGCUCUUCGAACAUCUCAUAUGCUCCGUGUCUCUCAAAAUGCUUUUGGAGCCCCGGCUCUAAGCUGUAAAGCAUGCGGCACUGAACGAGGGAGUAAUCAUCGGAACGUGUCUGCCAAGCGUUCAUAACGUCUUGUUCUGCAGGGAGAACAGGUGCUUCACCUAGCGGUGCUUGUAGGACAUAAUCUUUCUUGGCAGCUAUGAGGAUGAUCCUCAGGUUCCGGACCCAGUCCGUAUAGUUCCUGCCAUCAUCUUUCAGCUUGGUUUUCUCUAGGAACGCGUUGAAGUUGAGGACAACAUUGGUCAUUUGAUCUACAAGACAUAUUGUAAAUAUUUUAGACUAAGUUCAUGAUAAUUAAGUUCAUCUAAUCAAAUUAUUCAGUGAACUCCCACUUAGAUAGACAUCCCUCCAGUCAUCUAAGUAUAACAUGAUCCGAGUUAACUAGGCCGUGUCCGAUCAUCACGUGAGACGGACUAGUCAACAUCGGUGAACAUCUUCAUGUUGAUCGUAUCUUCUAUACGACUCAUGCUCGACCUUUCGGUCUUCUAUGUUCCGAGGCCAUGUCUAUACAUGCUAGGCUCGUCAAGUCAACCUAAGUGUUUGCAUGUGUAAAUCUGUCUUACACCCGUUGUAUGUGAACGUUGGAAUCUAUCAUACCCGAUCAUCACGUGGUGCUUCGAAACAACGAACUGUCGCAACGGUGCACAGUUAGGGGGAACAUUUUCUUGAAAUUAUUAUGAGGGAUCAUCUUAUUUACUACCGUCGUUCUAAGUAAACAAGAUGCAAAAACAUGAUAAACAUCACAUGCAAUAAUAAUAGUGACAUGAUAUGGCCAAUAUCACAUAGCUCCUUUGAUCUCCAUCUUGGGGCUCCAUGAUCAUCUUGUCACCGGCAUGACACCAUGAUCUCCAUCAUCAUCGUGUCUCCAUGAAGUUGCUCGCCAACUAUUACUUCUACUACUAUGGCUAACACGUUUAGCAAUAAAGUAAAGUAAUUUACAUGGCGUUUCUCAAUGACACGCAGGUCAUACAAAAAAAUAAAGACAACUCCUAUGGCUCCUGCCGGUUGUCAUACUCAUCGACAUGCAAGUCGUGAUUCCUAUUACAAUAGCAUGAACAUCUCAUACGUCACAUAUAUAUCAUUCAUCAUUCAUCACAACUUUGGCCAUAUCACAUCACAAAACACUUGCUGCAAAAACAAGUUAGACGUCCUCUAAUUGUUGUUGCAAGUUUUACGUGGCUGAAAUAGGGUUCUAGCAAGAAUGUUUUCUUACCUACGUGAAAGCCACAACGUGAUUUGUCAACUUCUAUUUACCCUUCAUAAGGACCCUUUUCAUCGAAUCCGCUCCAACUAAAGUGGGAGAGACAGACACCCGCCAACCACCUUAUGCAACUAGUGCAUGUUAGUCGGUGGAACCGGUCUCACAUAAGCGUACGUGUAAGGUUGGUCCGGGCCGCUUUAUCCCACAAUACCGCUGAAGCAAAAUAAGACUAGUAGCGGCAAGAAAGUUGACAACAUCUACGCCCACAACAAAUUAUGUUCUACUCGUGCAAAGAGAACUACACAUAGACCUAGCUCAUGAUGCCACUGUUGGGGAACGUUGCAGAAAACAAAAAAAUUCCUACGGUUUCACCAAGAUCCAUCUAUGAGUUCAUCUAGCAAGGAGUGAUCGGAUGCAUCUACAUACCUUGUAGAUCAUGAGCGGAAGCGUUCAAAGAACGGGGAUGAGGGAGUCGUACUCGACGUGAUCCAAAUCACCGGAGAUCCUAGCGCCGAACGGACGGCACCUCCGCGUUCAACACACGUACGGUCAGCGUGACGUCUCCUCCUUCUUGAUCCAGCAAGGGGAAGGAGAGGUUGAGGAAGAUGGCUCCAGCAGCAGCACGACGGCGUGAUGGUGGUGGAGAAGCAGUACUCCGACUAGGCUUCGCCGAGCUCUACGGAGGAGGAGGAGGUGUUGGAGGGGAGAGGGAGGCGCCAAGGGCAUGGGUGCGGCUGCCCUCCCUCCCCCCUCUAUAUAUAGGGUCCCCAAGGGGGGCGCCGGCCCUGGAGAUCCAAUCUCCCAAGGGGCGGCGGCCAAGGGGGGUGGAGUGCCCCCCAAGGCAAGUGGGGCGCCCCCCACCCUAGGGUUCCCAACCCUAGGAGCAGGGGGAAGGCCCAAGGGGGGCGCACCAGCCCACUAGGGGCUGGUUCCCCUCCCACUUCAGCCCAUGGGGCCCUCCGGGAUAGGUGGCCCCACCCGGUGGACCCCCGGGACCCUUCCGGUGGUCCCGGUACAAUACCGGUGACCCCGAAACUUGUCCCGAUUGCCGAAAUAGCACUUCCUAUAUAUAAUUCUUUACCUCCGGACCAUUCCGGAACUCCUUGUGACGUCCAGGAUCUCAUCCGAGACUCCUAACAACUUUCGGGUUACUGCAUAUUCAUAUCCCUACAACCCUAGCGUCAUCGAACCUUAAGUGUGUAGACCCUACGGGUUUGGGAGACAUGUAGACAUGACCGAGAUGGCUCUCCGGUCAAUAACCAACAAUGGGAUCUAGAUACCUAUGUUGGCUCCCACAUGCUCCUCGAUGAUCUCAUCGGAUGAACCACGAUGUCGAGGAUUCAAGCAACCCCGUAUACAAUUCCCUUUGUCAAUCGGUACGUUACUUGCCCGAGAUUCGAUCGUCGGUACAAUACCUCGUUCAAUCUCGUUACCGGCAAGUCACUUUACUCGUACUGUAAUGCAUGAUCCCGUGACCAGACACUUGGUCACUUUGAGCUCAUUGUGAUGAUGCAUUACCGAAUGGGCCCAGAGAUACCUCUCCGUCAUACGGAGUGACAAAUCCCAGUCUUGAUCCGUGUCAACCCAACAGACACUUUCGGAGAUACCUGUAGUAUACCUUUAUAGUCACCCAGUUACGUUGUGACGUUUGGUACACCCAAAGCACUCCUACGGUAUCCGGGAGUUACACGAUCUCAUGGUCUAAGGAAAGGAUACUUGACAUUGGAAAAACUCUAGCAAACGAACUAUACAAUCUUGUGCUAUGUUUAGGAUUGGGUCUUGUCCAUCACAUCAUUCUCCUAAUGAUGUGAUCUCGUUAUCAAUGACAUCCAAUGUCCAUUGUCAGGAAACCAUGACUAUCUGUUGAUCAACGAGCUAGUCAACUAGAGGCUUACUAGGGACAUGUUGGUUUCUAUUUAUUCACACAUGUAUUACGAUUUCCGGAUAACACAAUUAUAGCAUGAAUAAAAGACAAUUAUCAUGAACAAGGAAAUAUAAUAAUAAUGCUUUUAUUAUUGCCUCUAGGGCAUAUUUCCAACACUCAAUUCCAUUUUUUAUAGUUUUCUUUUAUAAACUAAACUAGUGAUAAAACAAGAAACAAAAAGAUUCGACUUCAAGAUCUAAAGAUAUACCUUCAAGCGCUAACCUCCCCGGAACGGCGCCAGAAAAGAGCUUGAUGUCUACUACACAACCUUCUUCUUGUAGACGUUGUUGGGCCUCCAAGUGCAGAGGUUUGUAGGAUAGUAUAAAAUUUCCCUCAAGUGGAUGACCUAAGGUUUAUCAAUCCAUAGGAGGCGUAGGAUAAAUAUGGUCUCUCUCAAGCAACCCUGCAACCAAAUAACAUGGAGUCUCUUGUGUCCCCAACACACCCAAUACAAUGGUAAAUUGUAUAGGUGCACUAGUUCGGCGAAGAGAUGGUGAUACAAGUGGUAUAUUGAUGGUAGAUAAAGGUUUUUGUAAUCUGAAAAUAUAAAUACAGCAAAGUAACUAAUGAUAAAAGUGAGCGUACACGCUAUUGCAAUGCUAGGAAAAAAGGCCUAGGGUUCAUACUUUCACUAGUGCAAGUUCCCUCGACAAUAAUAACAUAAUUGAAUCACAUAAUUAUCCCUCAACAUGCAACAAAGUGUCACUCCAAAGUCACUAAUAGUGGAGAACGAACGAAGAGAUUAUGGUAGGGUAUGAAACCACCUCAAAGUUAUUCUUUCCAAUCAAUCCGUUGGGCUAUUCCUAUAAGUGUCACAAACAACCCUAGAGUUUGUACUAGAAUAACACCUUAAGACACAAAUCAACCAAAACCCUAAUGUCACCUAGAUACUCCAAUGUCACCUCAAGUAUCCGUGGGUAUGAUUAUACGAUAUGCAUCACACAAUCUCAGAUUCAUCUAUUCAACCAACACAUAGAACCUCAAAGAGUGCCCUAAAGUUUCUAUCGGAGAAUCACGACGAAACCGUGUGCCAACCCCUAUGCAUAGGUUCAUGGGAGGAACCCGCAAGUUGAUCACCAAAACAUACAUCAAGAGAAUCACGUGGUAUCCCAUUGUCACCACAGAUACGCAUGGCAAGACAUACAUCAAGUGUUCUCAAAUCUUUAAAGACUCAAUCCGAUAAGAUAACUUCAAAGGGAAAACUCAAUCCAUUACAAGAGAGUAGAGGGGGGAGAAAACAUCAUAAGAUCCAACUAUAAUAGCAAACUCACAAUACAUCAAGAUCGUACCACCUCAAGAACACGAGAGAGAGAGAGAGAGAGAGAGAGAGAGAGAGAGAGAGAGAUCAAACACAUAGCUACUGGUACAUACCCUCAGUCCCGAGGGAGAACUACUCCCUCCUCGUCAUGGAGAGCAUCGGGAUGAUGAAGAUGACCACCGAAGAGGGAUUCCCCCUCCGGCAGGGUGCUGGAACGGGUCUCGAUUGUCUUUCGGUGGCAACGAAGGCUUCUGGCGGCAGAACUUCCGAUCUAUUGUGAUCCCCGAUCGUUUUAGGGUAUAUGGGUAUAUAUAGGAGGAAGAAGUACGUCAGGGGAGCCACGAGGGGCCCAUGAGGGUCGAGGGCGUGCCCAGGGGGGUGGGCGCGCGCCCCUACCUCGUGGCUUCCUCGAAGCUUCCUUGACGUGGACUCCAAGUCUCCCGGGUUGCUUUCCUUCCAAAAAUAAGUUCCGUGAAGUUUCAAGUCAAUUGGACUCCGUUUGAUUUUCCUUUUCUGCGAUACUCUAAAACAAGGAAAAAAAAGAAGCUGGCACUGGGUUCUAGGUUAAUAGGUUAGUCCCAAAAAAUCAUAUAAAAUAGCAUAUAAAUGCAUAUGAAACAUCCAAGGUUGAUAAUAUAAUAGCAUGGAACAAUCAAAAAUUAUAGAUACGUUGGAGACGUGUCAACGCCGCGUGGGUCGGGCAUCGUGAGCUUACGGUAGGCAUAAUGUGGUACCGCGUUGAAUUGAGCGAACGCGGUUCGUCUGAGUAGUGCCUGAUAAUCACUGCGAAAGGGGACGAUGUCGAAGAUUAACUCUUCGGCACGGUAAUUGUCUGGUGAUCCGGAGACUACUUCAAGGGCGAAGGAGCCUGUACAGCUGGCCUCCAUACCUGGUAUGAUACCUCUGAAGGUGGUUUUAGUGGGAUUGAUCACCGAAUGAUCGAUGACCAUCUUGCGCACUGUGUCCUAGUAAAGUAGGUUUAGACUGCUCCCUCCGUCCAUAAGGACUCGCGUGAGGUGGAACCCGUCAAUUAUUGGGUCGAGGACUAGUGCGGCUGGAUUGCCCUGAUUGGUGUUAACCGGACGAUCCGUGCGGUUGAAGGUGAUCGGCCCUAGUUUAUAUUGUGGGACGACUGGUUCCGUUAAGUCGACAUCCCUAAGGGUGUGCGUCCGGUCCGGGUUGGGAGUGUAGGUGCCGUUUACUACGUUCACCGUUUGGAUUUGCGGGGGAAAUUUCUUUUGCCCUCCUGUACUCGAUGAUCUGGGCUCCUCGUCGCCAUCGUCGCUUUGAGACCCCUUAUCUUUGUUUUUGGCACCUGACCUGCCGGCUUGUUUGAAGAUCCAGCAUUCUCUGUUGGUAUGAUUGGCUGGUGUUCAUGCGGUGCCAUGAAUUUGGCAUGGGCGGUUGAGUAUGCGGUACAGGCUGGACGGACCCGAAUUUGGCAUGGGAGGGGAAAGCCAGGGUUCGUCCCGUUCGGGUUCGACCCGACCGAGCCACAAACAACGACCGAGCUGGGUGGGCCCGAGUCAGUGGCGUGGCGCGCGCGGGUAUGCCACCAUGUCACCUGACACGUGGGCCCGCUCGGUUAGAUUCAUGGUCAAUACGUGCUUAUACGGCUGUCAAACCGUUUUGCAACACUUAGGCUUAGAGCUGGUACUGAAUUGCAAAAAUUGUGUCUAAUGGUACUGAUUCGUUACGACGUGCCGAAGUGUAGUAGUUUCUUGCAAUUAACUCAAACUCUACGGUUAUAUCACCUCGAUGUGUGAGUCAAUGUGUUUGAACCAAUCAAGAGUUGCAUGUGAAUGUUUCAAGUGUGAUUAAUAGGUCCGUGUUAUAACAGCCACACCUUGCGAAAGAAGAUAGCAAACACCCAAUCAUGUCUAGUAGUUCGAUAUGGGCGCAACUAUGGGUAGCUUAUAGCGACACGGAAGCCAGCGUUUCCUAAAGAAACUCUCGGUUGGGCCGCCCUAGAGACAAAUUAUUUUUCUCUCAUUUUUUCUUAAUAUUAUUUAUUUCUAUUUUAAAAAAUAAAAGUAAAUAUAUUCCACAAACAAAUACUGAAAUUCUGAAAAAAUGUUGGUCCAUUGUUAAAAAAAUAUUGAUAGCAUUAAACAAAUCAUGGUAACAAAAUAAUCUACACAUAUUUAAAAAAUUGUACGUGAAAUUAUAAUGAAUGUUAAAUUUGUUUAAAAAUGUUCCUAAUGUAAUGUACAACAUGAAACAAAUUAUACAUCAAAACAUAUAUUUGAAAAUUGUUAAUUGUUUAUUUGAAAAAUGUUAAAUGUGUAUAGAAAAAAAGGUUCCUGAUAUAUAAGACAAAUGCAUGAAGUACAUGCAAUUUUUUUUACAUCCAAAGAUAUAUUUUAAAAAUAUUAAUCAUGUAUUUUAAAACUGUUAAAUGUUUAUAGAGAAAAAAUGCUCCUGAUGCAUACGAAACAAUUUCCAAUGUGUAUGAAAAAAUUAGACAUGAAAUAAGUAUUUUAAAAAAAAAUUAAUGAUUCUAUUUAAAAAUAUUUCUCAUGUAGAUGGAAAGAAAACUCGACUUAAAAAAGACUCAAAAAGAAAAAGAACGUACAGAGAGCAAAUUAGAAACAACUGAGUGAACUAGCGAUAUGCGAGAACACGUUAAUGGUCCAGCCCAUACAUGAGGACUCCAGAGGUGAGCCUGAAUAGGUGUGAUAUAGCUAUGACGAUUUGACACCCUUCAUAGCUUCACGAAUGCUAUAUCUCGCGCAAAGCGAGAUUAGCAUUUGCCACGCCUGAAGGUGCAAGAAUAGCAUCAGGUCGUUGUAAGGUUUGCAAUCCUACCAUCAGAGCUUCUAUCCGAUUUAAAUCAUGUUUCUGGCAACCUUGGGUCAUUCGCUCGCGCUCAAGCCAUUCGCUCACAGGUUCCACACACUAGUUUGGUUACUUUUUUUUCUUAUUUUCUUUCUUCACCGGUUUUCUUUCAUUUUUUGAAAAAAAAAAUUCAUCGGUUUUCUUUGUGUCUUUCAUGUUUUACUCUUGUUUUCCUUUUUUACUCGUUUAUCUAUCCUUUUUUUUCUUUGUUUCUUUCUCAGUGUUCUUUGUUUAGGGUUUAGGGAUUUCUUUGUUUUCCUUUCUUUUAAUGUCAACCUUUUGACAUAUAUUUUUUGUAUAUAUCAAAAAUAUUUUUGAUAGAGAGGUUUAACAGUUUUCAAAUACAUGAUUACCCUUUUUAAAGUUAUAUUUUUUGACAUCUACUUGUUCCAUAAACAUAGUGAUGGGGUUAUACAUAAGGGAUGGGCCCAAGUACACAUAUGUCCCAGCCAAAGGCCCAGGGUAUUCAAGGAUACGGUCCCAAAGACAAUGGGGCAUUGGAGAUACAAGCCCAAGGCAUCAGAUACAAGGGGAAUACUCGCUAAGGAGUCAAGUGUCUAUAGUCGGAUUACACACCCCCUGACAGACAAGACUCAAUAGUCGGUCAUGAGAAAGAUAUGAGCAGUAAGAUCAUCUACAGUCGGACAUCAGCAAGAUAGGAGCAGUCGGACCAUCUACAGUCGGCUACGUCCUAGGAUGAUGUGACCCUCAUGAUGCAUUCAUCGCCGUUACAUAACUGACUAGUUAAAUACGCCAGUUAGUAUUAAUAAUAGCCACGAACAGUCGAUCAUGCAUGUGACCAUCAAUAGUAUUUACACCAGCCUGUUAUGGCACUCCCUCCUAGCGCACUCCAUAUAAGACAAGAGUAGGACAUCACACGGAGGGUUGAACUCUCUCACAUUGUAACCUACGCCAAGAGCGAGAUCACACAGGAGUAGGGCGUUACCAACACCAUAGAGGGCCCAAACCUAUAUAAUUCCUUGUGUUUAAUCCCAUCUGCUUUACAUACCAAUUAGCUUAUAAUUGCCUCUACAUUCACAUCACCAUAGUAUUGUCAUGGUUAUAUCCAUGACAAGAACUAAUUUUUUUUACAUUAUAUAUAAAAAAAUAAUAUUUUUAGAUGCAUGGUUUCUUCCAUACACAUUAUACAUGUUUGUAUACAUAUCAGGACCAUUUAUAUAUACACAUUAAAAAAACUAAUUACAUGAUUACUUUUUUUAAAAUGUAUACUUUUAUGUCUAAUAUUUUCAUACAUACUGUACAUUUUUUGUACAUCAGGAACCUUUUUAUAUUUACAUUUAACAUUUUCAAAUACAUAAUUAAUAUUUUUUACACAUAUAUUUUUAUAUCUACUUUUCCCUUAAACAUUAUACAUUUUUUUAUACAUCAGGAACAUUUUUUAUAUACCAAUUCAACAGUUUUGAAAUACAUGAUUAACAUGUCUCAUAUAUAUGUUUGUGUCUAUUUUUUCAUACAAAAUAUACAGUUUUUUAUUAAUUAGAAACAUGUUUCUGUACAUGUUUAAUAUUUUCUUAUAAUGCGCAAUUAACAUUUUCAACUUUUCUGUAUAAAGUGAAUUUUACAAUAGAUAUAUUCAGAAUAUUUCAUAAAAAAGGCAAAGUAAAAAAACAAAAAAAAUGCAAAUAUGUGUAAAAGGAAGGAAGAAACCGUAGAAGGCAUGUGUAGGCGCUGUGGCGGCCCAAUAGGUCUGCUGCACAUCCUACUAUCUUGUGUCAAUCGAGACAUAGGCUUGCCCUCUUAAGGAGCAACUAACCAACGGUUACCCCUUGGCGAGCUCCUGCAAGGGUCAUUGUUGUGGUAUGAGAGCACGCCAAGUGGUCCGUCCAACUGCUGUCACAUGUCGUGUGUUAGGUGCUUCCUGUGGAUUUCAUUUUCAUUUUUUAUUUUUUGUACGCGUUUUCGGGUUUCUGAUUGUCUUUUCAAUGGGUUUUGGAUUUCUGCUUUUUCCAUGGUUUUCUCUAGAUCAUGAAAGAAAAAUAUCUUUUUAUUUUCUUAUGAAGCACAACCCUGCUUCUAAAAAAACAAUUUUAUGCUUUCACGAGAAGCACAAUUUUUGUUUCUCAUGUAAUCACAAAAUUGCUUGCAGCAGGCGCACCACAUGUGCUUCCAUGAUUAGCAUAGCUAUGCUUCCACGCGAAUCAAAUAUGUGCUUAUGCUACAAGCACAACCUAUGCUUCCAUAUGCUUCUCGAAAAGAGAAAAGGCACACCCUGUGUUUUCACGAGAAGUACAUUUGUGCAUCCCUGAGAACUGUAGCCUUGCUUCCGUGAGAAGCACAGUCUAUCUAUUACCUAAUAUUAAAAGAUAGAAGAUCUCAUAGUUCUCCAUCAGUCACCUCUUCAUAAACCGUUGGUUUUGUGUUAAUCUUAUAGAUUGACGGCCGAGAUUUAAAAAUAGAUUUGCACAGGAAAAAAAAGAUCCGCAUUGACGAUCCAUCGUAGGUAUCCAUCCAUCCAACUUUCUUUGUUCUGCCCACAUCACGCUUGGUAAAAAAAGAAAAAAAAUCAGAAACCCAUCGAUGCACGAUUGAGUAAGCCGGGAUAAAAAACAGCUCAAUAAAAUAUGGCCAGCCACGCGCGAUCUUAGGAGAAAAAUUGUUUGCCACAUGAUCUAUCUCCUAGCUACGCCGAUCCUCAACGGCGAUCAUGCCAAGAUGUUCGCCAGGAUCCGCAACUCCGUCGACCACUCGGGUGACAUGCCACAGCGACACAACAGGGCAGCAGCGAGUGACAUGGCCGGCUUGCCGGGCCGCGCGCUCUCCGGCUCCAGGUGCGCGCGGCACACCAGACAUGACGCACAUCCAGGUAGUAAUGCAACUGCCCUCGAAGAAGUGAUGCCGGCAUUACACGCACCGCGUUGAGGUUCUGCAGCCACACACUCCACCGACGUUGCCCUCGCCUUGCAGCCGCUCUUCCUCUUACAACUGGUGCUCCUGCAGCCAGUGGCGGAGACAGGGGGGACCAGCAGGGCCCUGGCCCCCCCUAACAGCAGAGAUAUAGUGCUAAUUUGCAGAUGAAUAGUGCUAAAAUUAGUGAUUAAUUUCUGUCAAAUGCAUGUUUUUCAUUGGCUUGGCCCUCCCUAAGCAGUUUUAACAUCAUUCGGCCUGGUUGAUACAAUUUUCCUGGCUCCGCCAUUGCCUCCAACUGCCCCAGCUACCCUGGGGCUGGGGCGACGAUGUCGGCGCCUCGCGCGCUCUGUAGGUGAAGGUGGGGAGCGCGGGGAUGUCCUUGAUGCUCGGCCUGAGGUGGGUUGCCAGAGGCGGGUCGUCGCCGGUGCGGUGGAGCUUGCGCCACUCAGACAAGAGCGACCGGCCAUAGCGGACGGCCACGUACAAUACGACACUGACAAGGACAAUGAUGAUGAUGUACAACAGCAUCAGGAAGGAGAACAACAUGCUCGUCCUUAGGGGACAUGCGCCGACGCGUCCGGCACUCCGACGCAAUGGUGGUGUAUGCGCCGGUCAACAUGCAGUCCAUGCACACGUCGUCAUGGGCGGUGGCGACUCGGCCUACAUCUCCCUCCUGCCCUAUCGGUUCGCCAUUCUCCCGAGCGUCCACAACGCACACUCGCCGGUGGCCGCCACUCUAGAAGUCGAGUCUAGACCGUUCGCCCCAGGGAUCGUAGCUCAGCGCUCAUGGAGCCCUGCUCCAGUGCUCCCCCUAACCUAAUUUUGAAGGAGUAUUUUUGUCCCCGCAAAUUUGUUUUUUUUCUGGCCCGCCGCCGCCCAGAUCCAAGCCCUGUCUAGUCCUGUAUAACCCAGAACGUAUACGUACAGUACCCUGGUUCGAAAAAAAAAACAUCACACGACCCCACGUCCACGUAAGACCUGCCGAAUCCAAUCAUUCACACGAGCAGCUCCAUCAAUCUUGCGAGCAUUGACGCAGCUCCAUAAGUCACGUAGUAGAUCUCCAGCGGCGGCUAUCUCGUCGCCGGCGAUCUCGUCGGACAGCGGGCGCGACAACGUCGUGAAUCUCUAACGAGCGCGCACAGGUACCGCAUCCCGCGUCCCCCCUCUAGUCUCGCUCGCGGCAACAUCGAACGAACUGCCGCCGCCAGUGGUAGUGGUUAACCUAGCGGGGCGGGUAACCUAGCUACCUGGCGGCGCAUGUGAUCGUGGAUCUUGUUCCGGUAGUGCUGCUCCUCGUGAUCUGGGUUCACGUAGCGUCGGUUGCCGUCGGCUGUGCGCACCACUGGUAUCGUUAUUUGAUGUGGCGGCUAACCUAGGUAUCCGACGGCAGAGGUAAUCACAGAUCAAGCUAGGUUUUGAGAUCGUGCAGUUCCUCGCGAUUGAAAGUGAUCGCGACGGGUGCCGUGGCCAUCUUCCUUACUAAGUUGGGCAGAUCUGAACGGCCUCGGUUGCGGUUGUUUACAUAACAUCCGUGAUCGUGUGCUAUGUGUUUUAUAUUUCAUCAUUGAUAAUGUUUGCACAUGUGAUGAUACAUAAUAUUGGUUGUAGGAAAUGGCGGACGAGGAGUUAACUGAUAUCAUGGUAGACAUGGAGUUUGGAGAACUGAUGAAAGACUGGAUAGAAGAUUGGUCAGAUGAUGAAAAUUCAGAUCGUGAAGAUCGGUCAGAGAAUGGGAACGAAUGGGACGAUCUUAUUGUGAGUGGCAUUGUCAUGUUGUAAUUUUUUGGUGGCAUCCGACAACAUUAAAUCUUUGUGUUGAAAAUUUAUAGAUCGAUGAGCUUGAUGAUGAUCAGGAAAACAACUCAGAGCUCUCGAAUGAAGAUUACAUUAGUCAGGUACGUAAGUGAAAAAGAUUGUUGGCAUGCAAAUUGAAUUUCUUCUGGAAUAUUAUAUGAUAAGUAAUUAUGUAUUUGUGUUGUAUUUUUCAGUUCAUUCUCGAAUGUCAUAAUGCGUAUGACUAUUACGGUGAAUCCGACGCGGAGACAGGCCUUAACAACGAAUCAUUAGAUGCACCUGGUUCUGGGGAGUCCGAGUCGUCGGUCAUCAUGAGUGAGGUAUGUGUGUAAUCAAUGUUCUAUGGAAGUAAGUAAUGUUAAACCUUAGAAAUAUGUUUUCAUGGUUGUGGUUUGAUUGUGUAGGUGACACAAAAUGAUGGGGCAAAGAAUGUCCAAGAUACUGCCAGUGCAGAUGAUAAGAGGGAUAUGUUCAUGCAGAUAAUGGAAAUGACCUUUAUGUCUCACGAUGCUGCGUAUGAUUUCUACAACAGCUAUGCUAGAGAUAAUGGUUUCAGCAUUAGAAAGAAUAAGGUCAGGUAUAGCAAAACAGAGUCACGUCAUAUGCGUUAUAGGCGGUUUGUUUGUUCAAGACAAGGGAAACGUGACAGCAAGUUGCUAACCGAGGAAGGACACAGCCGUAGGCUCAGAGCCGAGACACGCUGCUUUUGCGAAGCGCACCUGACCGUCAAGCUUGACCAAAAGCAUGGGGUUUGGUAUGUUGAAAGUUUUGAGGACAAGCAUAGCCAUAUGUUGGCAGGACCGGACGAGGUACCUUUUCUUUGGUCCCACAGAAAAAUCAAAGAGUACCAGAAGCAUGAGAUAAUGUCCACGGCUCGGAGAGCUCGGGAAUCCGGACAUAGUUGGUCCUCAAGAUAGAGGAAAGGUCGCGACAUUGUUCCUCCACCACUGCAAUAUGAUGGGUGACCGGUGGAGAGUUAAUCUCCCUUUGAUCGGGUUUAAGCCCAAUCCGAUCAUAGUCCGUAGCGACUCCCAAGGCGGCGAUGCGAUCCAAGAGCUCGUUUAAGGGGGCGAGCUCCAUUGGAUCCAUCUGUUCGGCGAGUGCCGAUUUGACGUGGAGGCUGUUUUCGAUGACCCGAGAAGUCAUCAUCGGCUCGGCGGCCGAACAUGCGGUCAUGAUGAAACCGCCUAGCCGGAGAGUUUGGCCGACAACCAAAGCUCCCCCAACAGUAGUACCGUCUUUAAAGACGAGACGAGACAUUCUUCCUUCUGGCAACGACACAGAGGAACUCUCAAUGAAAGCUUCAAUGUCGGUGUCAAAACCAGCGGAUCUCGGGUAGGGGGUCCCGAACUAUGCGUCUAAGGCGGAUGGUAACAGGAGGCAGGGAACACGAUGUUUUACCUAGGUUCGGGCCCUCUUGAUGGAGGUAAAGCCCUAUGUCCUGCUUGAUUAAUAUUGAUGAUAUGGGUAGUACAAGAGUAGAUCUACCAGGAGAUCAGAGAGGCUAAACCCUAGAAGCUAGCCUAUGGUAUGAUUGUAUGUUGUCCUACGGACUAAAACCCUCCGGUUUAUAUAGACACCGGAGGGGGCUAGGGUUACACAAGGUCGGUUACAAAGGAGAAGAUGUACAUAUCCGUAUUGCCUAGCUUGCCUUCCACGCCAAGUAGAGUCCCAUCCGGACACGAGACGAAGUCUUCAAUCUUGUAUCUUCAUAGUCCAACAGUCCGGUCAAAGGAUAUAAUCCGGCUGUCCGGAGCCCCUAAUUCAGGACUCCCUCAGGCCCCCUGUUGCUCCACCGACGUACUCCUUCCUCCUAUAUAUACCUAUGUACCCCCAAAUGAUCAGAUACGGAGCCAAAACCCUAAUUCCACCGUCGUAACUUUCUGUAUCCACCGCCGGAGGGGGCAUCGAUCAUGGAGGGCUUCUACAUCAACACCAUAACCUCUCCGAUGAAGUGUGAGUAGUUUACCUCAGACCUACGGGUCCAUAGUUAGUACCUAGAUGGCUUCUUCUCUCUUUUUGGAUAUCAAUACAAUGUUCUCCCCCUCUCUUGUGGAGAUCUAUUCGAUGUAAUCUUCUUUUUGCGGUGUGUUUGUUGAGACCGAUGAAUUGUGGGUUUAUGAUCAAGUCUAUCUAUGAAUAAUAUUUGAAUCUUCUCUGAAUUCUUUUAUGUAUGAUUGGUUAUCUUUGCAAGUCUCUUCGAAUUAUCAGUUUGGUUUGUCCUACUAGAUUGAUCUUUCUUGCAAUGGGAGAAGUGCUUAGCUUUGGGUUCAAUCUUGCGAAGUCCUUUCCCGGUGACAGUAGGUGCAGCAAGGCACGUAUUGUAUUGUUGCCAUCGAGGAUAACAAGAUGGGGUUUUCUUCAUAUUGCAUGAGUCUAUCCCUCUACAUCAUGUCAACUUGCUUAAGGCGUCACUCUAUUUUUAACUUAAUACUCUAGAUGCAUGCUGGAUAGCGGUCCAAGAGUGGAGUAAUAGUAGUAGAUGCAGGCAGGAGUCGGUCUACUUGUCUCGGAUGUGAUGCAUAUAUACAUGAUCAUACCUAGAUAUUCUCAUAACUAUGCUCAAUUCUGUCAAUUGCUCAACAGUAAUUUGUUCACCCACCGUAGAAUACUUAUGCUCCCGAGAGAAGCCACUAGUGAAACCUAUGGCCCCCGGGUCUAUCUUUAUCAUAUUAAUCUCCUACCACUUAGUUAUUUCCUUUGCUAUUUACUUUGCCUUUAUUUUACUUUGCAUCUUUAUCAUAAAAAUACCAAAAAUAUUAUCUUUAUCAUAUCUAUCAUAUCUCACUCUCGUAAGUGGCCUUAUAGGGAUUGACAACCCCUAUUUGCGUUGGUUGCGAGGAUUUAUUUGUUUUGUGCAGGUACGAGGGACUCGCGUGCAGCCUCCUACUGGAUUGAUACCUUGGUUCUCAAAAACUGAGGGAAAUACUUACGCUACUUUGUUGCAUCAUCACUUCCUCUUCGGGGAAAACCAACACAGUGCUCAAGAGGUAGCAAGAAGGAUUUCUGGCGCCGUUGCCGGGGAGGUCUACGCAAAAGUCAACAUACCAAGUACCCAUCACAUACCCUUAUCUCCCGCAUUACAUUAUUUGCCAUUUGCCUCUCGUUUUCCUCUCACCCACUUCACCCUUGCUGUUUUAUUCGCCCUCUCUCUCUCUAUCCUCCCUCUCUUUCUCUAUUUGCCUCUUUUUGCCCGCUUGCUUUUUGUUUGCUUGUGUGUUAGUUUGUUUGCUUGUCGUUAUGGCUAGUCCCUUACCUUCUCCGUUGUCUCCCAAGAAUGAAAUUUUAAAUUUUAAGCAAAGGGAGGGAGAAAAUCUAAAAGAUGCUUCGUAUAGAAUUUGCAAUGCUCAAAAUAGAUCAACUAGGAAGCAAUCUACUUCCGUUCUUCUUUGCAAUUUUUAUGUAGGCAUUACUCCUUGGCACCGUUAUGUUCUUGAUACUAUUACCGGAGGGAACUUUUUGGGUAGCCAUACUUUUGAUUCUUAAAAUGCUAUGUUAGAUUUAUUUGUUUCACCCCCUCUCUUGGUUAAUGGAACUAUAUUAACUUUGGAGCAUGUAAUGCAACGGCUUGAAAUUAUUGAAAAUAAGGUUGCUACCAUAGAAUUAAUUGAAAAUUUGGAUAUGGAUCUAAAGUAGGAGUUACUUUGAAAGAUAUUAAAGAAAAGGAACCCAUAGUUAAUGAGAAAAUAAAUCAUGAUUCCACUAGGAUCGAUAAACUUGAAGGUAUUAUUACCAACUUGGGAACCGCUUUUUCUUCUGUAAAGAAUACUCCAAGUCCUCCCAGUAAAAUUACCAAGCUUAUGUAUGUUCCUAAAAAUAAGGGUGAAUCCUCUAGUAAGGAAAAUGCGGAUCUCAAAUCUAGAAGUAUUCAUCCCAAUCUUUUUACUAUCAUUAAGGAACCAUUUGUUACAAAUGAGUUUUUUGAUGUUGUGCCUAAAAGUUUGAUAAUUAAUAAAAAGAAAGAAAUUCCUAAAGAUGGUAGAUGCCUCAUUGAAUAAUUACCUACCAAAGAUGGCAAUACUUAGAUCUAUCCCUGCUUGUUAUGCCUAGCUAGGGGCGUUAAACGAUAGCGCUUGUUGGGAGGCAACCCAAUUUUAUUUUUAUUCCUUGAGUUUUGCUCCUGUUUAGUAAUAGAUAAUUAUCUAGCCUCUGUUAUGAUUGUGUUUUUUGUGUUUAAAUUAGUGUUUGUGCCAAGUAGAACCGUUGGGAAGACUUGGGGAAAGUCUUGUUGAAUUUGCUGUAAAAACAGAAACUUUAGCGCUCACAAGAACUGCUGUCAUUUUUAUUUGAAAAGUGAUAUUUAGUUCAUUCUUUUUGCAUAUGAUUAAUAUAUAAAUUCCUCACGUCCAGAAAAUUAUUUUAGAAUUUUUGGGGUUCCAUAUCUUGCGCUAGCUACAGAUUACUACAGACUGUUCUGUUUUUGACAGAUUCUGUUUUUCGUGUGUUGUUUGCUUAUUUUGAUGAAUCUAUGGCUAGUAAAAUGGUUUAUAAACCAUAGAUAAGUUGGAAUACAGUAGGUAUAACACAAAUAUAAAUAAAUAAUGAGUUCAUUACAGUACUUUGAAGUGGUCUUUUAUUUUCUUUCGCUAACGGAGCUCACGAGAUUCUCUACUUUAAGUUUUGUGUUGUGAAGUUUUCAAGUUUUGGGUAAAGAUUUGAUGGAUUAUGGAACAAGGAGUGGCAAGAGCCUAAGCUUGGGGAUGACCAUGGCACCCCCAAGAUAAUCUAAGGACACCUAAAAGCCAAAGCUUGGGGAUGCCCCGGAAGGCAUCCCCUCUUUCGUCUACUUCUAUCGGUAACUUUACUUGGAGCUAUAUUUUUAUUCGCCACAUGAUAUGUGUUUUGCUUGGAGCGUCUUGUAUGAUUUGAGUCUUUUCUUGUUAAUUUACCACAAUCAUCCUUGCUGUACACACCUUUUGAGAGAGCCAUACAUUAUUUGGAAUUUCUUAGAAUACUCUAUGUGCUUCGCUUAUAUCUUUUGAGUUAUAUAAUUUUGCUCUAGUACUUCGCUUAUAUCUUUUAGAGCACGGUGGUGGAUUUGUUUUAUAUAAACUAUUGAUCUCUCAUGCUUCACUUAGAUCAUUUUUGAGAGUCUUAAUAGCAUGUUAAUUUGCUUAAAAUCCUAAUAUGCUAGGUAUUCAAAGUUAGUAAAAUUUCCUUAAGAGUGUUUUGAAUACUAAAGUUUGAUGCUUGAUGAUUGUUUUGAGAUAUGGAGAUAAUAAUAUCAAAGUCGUGCUAGUUGAGUAGUUGUGAAAUUGAGAAAUACUUGUGUUGAAGUUUGCAAGUCCCGUAGCAUGCACGUAUGGUAAACGUUAUGGAACAAAUUUGAAAGAUGAGGUGUUAUUUGAUUGUCUUCCUUAUGAGUGGCGGUCGGGGACGAGCGAUGGUCUUUUCCUACCAAUCUAUCCCCCUAGGAGCAUGCGCGUAGUACCGAGGUUUUUGAUGACUUGUAGAUUUUUGCAAUAAGUAUGUGAGUUCUUUAUGACUAAUGUUGAGUCCAUGGAUUAUACGCACUCUCACCCUUCCAUCCUUGCUUGCCUCUUCGGUACCGUGCAUUGCCCUUUCUCACAUUGAGAGUUGGCGCAAAGUUCGCCGGUGCAUCCAAACCCCGUGAUAUGAUACGCUCUUUCACACAUAAACCUCCUUAUAUCUUCCUCAAAACAGCCACCAUACCUACCUAUUAUGGCAUUUCCAUAGCCAUUCCGAGAUAUAUUGCCAUGCAACUUUCCAUCAUCCCGUUCAUCAUCACACAUUCAUUAUUGUCAUAUUGCUUAGCAUGAUCAUGUAGUUGAUAUAGUAUUUGUGGCAAACCCACCGUUCAUAAUUCUUUCAUACAUGUCACUCUUGGUCCAUUGCAUAUCCCGGUACACCGCCGGAGGCAUUCAUAUAGAGUCAUAUUUUGUUCUAAGUAUCGAGUUGUAAUUGUUCAGUUGUAAGAAAAAUGAAAGUGUGAUGAUCAUCAUUAUUAGAGCAUUGUCCCAGUGAGGAAAGGAUGAUGGAGACUAUGAUUUCCCCACAAGUCGGGAUGAGACUCCGGACGAAAAAAAAAGAAAAAAAGAGGCCAUAAAAAAAGAGAAAAGGCCCAAAUAAAAAAAGAGAGAGAAAAAGAGAGAAGGGACAAUGUUACUAUCCUUUUACCACACUUGUGCUUCAAAGUAGCACUAUGAUCUUCAUAGUAGAGAGUCUCUCAUGUUAUCACUUUCAUAUACUAGUGGGAAUUUUUCAUUAUAGAACCUGGCUUGUAUAUUCCAAUGAUGGGCUUCCUCAAGUGCCCUAGGUCUUCGUGAUCAAGCAAGUUGGAUGCACACCCACUAGUUUCUUUUGUUGAGCUUUCAUACAUUUAUAGCUCUAGUGCAUCCAUUGCAUGGCAAUCCCUACUUCUUGCAUUAACAUCAAUCGGUGGGCAUCUCCAUAGCCCAUUGAUUAGCCUCGUUGAUGUGAGACUUUCUCCUUUUUUGUCUUCUCCACAUAACCCCCCUCAUUAUAUUCUAUUCCACCCAUAGUGCUAUGUCCAUGGCUCGCGCUCAUAUAUUGCGUGAAAGUUUAUAGGUUUGAGAUUACUAAAGUAUGAAACAAUUGCUUGGCUUGUCAUCGGGGUUGUGUAUGAUGAGAGCAUUCUUGUGUGACGAAAAUGAAACCUGACUAAACCAUAUGAUUUUGUAGGGAUGAACUUUCUUUGGCCAUGUUAUUUUGAGAAAACAUAAUUGUUUAGUUAGUAUGCUUGAAGUAUUAUUAUUUUUAUGUCAAUAUGAACUUUUGUCUUGAAUCUUUCGAAUCUAAAUAUUCAUACCACAAUUAAGAAGAAUUACAUUAAAAUUGUGCCAAGUAGCACUCCGCAUCAAAAAUUCCGUUUUUUUCAUUUACCUACUCAAGGACGAGCAGGAAUUAAGCUUGGGGAUGCUUGAUACGUCUCCAACGUAUCUACAAUUUUUGAUUGCCCCAUGCUAUAUUAUCUACUGUUUUGGACAUUACUAGGCUUUAUUAUCCACUUUUAUAUUAUUUUUGGGACUAACCUAUUAACCGGAGGCCCAGCCCAGAAUUGUUGUUUUUUUGCCUGUUUUAGGGUUUCGAAGAAAAGGAAUAUCAAACGGAGUCCAAACGGAAUGAAACCUUCGGGAACGUGAUUUUUAGGAAGAUUAUGAUCCGGGAGACUUGGACCCUAUGUCAAGAAAAGAAACAGGAGGCCACGAGGUAGGGGGCGCGCCCCCCCCCCCCCCCCCAGGCACACCCUCCACCCUCGUGGGCCCCCUGUUUCUCCACCGACGUACUCCUUCCUCCUAUAUAUACCUAUGUACCCCCAAACGACCAGAUACGGAGCAAAAACCCUAAUUCCACUUCCGUAACUUUCUGUAUCCACGAGAUCCCAUCUUGGGGCCUGUUCCGGAGCUCCGCCGGAGGGGGCAUCGAUCACGGAGGGCUUCUACAUCAACACCAUAGCCUCCCCAAUGAAGUGUGAGUAGUUUACCUCAGACCUAUGGGUCCAUAGUUAGUACUUAGAUGGCUUCUCCUCUCUUUUUGGAUCUCAAUACAAUGUUCUCCCCCUCUCUUCUGGAGAUCUAUUCGAUGUAAUCUUCUUUUUGCGGUGUGUUUGUUGAGAUCGAUGAAUUGUGGGUUUAUGAUCAAGUCUAUCUAUGAAUAAUAUUUGAAUCUUCUCUGAAUUCUUAUGUAUGAUUGGUUAUCUUUGCAAGUAUCUUCGAAUUAUCAGUUUGGUUUGGCCUACUAGAUUGAUCUUUCUUGCAAUGGGAGAAGUGCUUAGCUUUGGGUUCAAUCUUGUGGUGUCCUUUCCCAGUGAGAGUAGGGGCAGCAAGGCACGUAUUGUAUUGUUGCCAUCGAGGAUAACAAGAUGGGGUUUUCUUCAUAUUGCAUGAGUCUAUCCCUCUACAUCAUGUCAUCUUGCUUAAGGCGUUACUCUGUUUUUAACUUAAUACUCUCGAUGCAUGCUGGAUAGCGGUCGAUGAGUGGAGUAAUAGUAGUAGAUGCAGGCAGGAGUCGGUCUACUUGUCCCGGACGUGAUGCCUAUAUACAUGAUCAUACCUAGAUAUUCUCAUAACUAUGCUCAAUUCUGUCAAUUGCUCAACAGUAAUUAGUUCAACCACCGUAGAAUACUUAUGCUCUUGAGAGAAGCCACUAGUGAAACCUAUGGCCCCCGGGUCUAUCUUUAUCAUAUUAAUCUCCUACUACUUAGUUAUUUCCUCUGCUAUUUACUUUGCCUUUAUUUUACUUUGCAUGUUUAUCAUAAAAAUACCAAAAAUAUCAUCUUUAUCAUAUUUAUCAGAUCUCACUCUCGUAAGUGGCCUUAUAGGGAUUGACAACCCCUGUUUGUGUUGGUUGCGAGGAUUUAUUUGUUUUGUGUAGGUACGAGGGACUCACGCAUAGCCUCCUACUGGAUUGAUACCUUGGUUCUCAAAAAAUGAGGGAAAUACUUACGCUACUUUGUUGCAUCAUCCCUUCCUCUUCGGGGAAAACCAACGCAGUGCUCAAGAGGUAGCAGAUAGGCAUCCAAGAUGGGUAUAAUAAAAACUAUCAUAAAAAGUGCAUUGAAUACUAUGAGAAGUGUGAUACUUGAUGAUUGUUUUGAGAUAUCAAGAUGGUGAUAUUAGAGUCAUGCUAGUUGAGUAAUUGUGAAUUUGAGAAAUACUUGUUCUAAAGUUUGUGAUUCCCCUAGCAUGGACAUAUGGUGAACCGUUAUGUGAUGAAGUCAGAGCAUGAUUUUUUAUUGAUUGUCUUCCUUAUGCGUGGCGGUCAGGGACGAGGCGAUGGUCUUUUCCUACCAAUCUACCCCCCUAGGAGCAUGCAAUGCACGUAGUACUUUGUUUCGAUAACUAAUAGAUUUUUGCAAUAAAUAUGUGAGUUCUUUAUGACUAAUGUUGAGUCCAUGGAUUAUACGCACUCUCACCCUUCCACCAUUGCUAGCCUCUCUAAUAUUGUGCACCUUUCGCUGGUAUCAUACAUCUACCAUAUACCUACCUCAAAACAGCCACCAUACCUACCUAUUAUGGAAUUUCCAUAGCCAUUCCGAGAUAUAUUGCCAUGCAACUUUCCACCGUUCCGUUUGUUAUGACACGCUUCAUCGUUGUCAUAUUUCUUUGCAUGAUCAUGUAGUUGACAUCGUAUUUGUGGCAAAGCCAUCUUUAUAAUUCUUUCAUACAUGUCUGUUGGGGAACGUUGCAGAAAACAAAAAUUUUCCUACAGUUUCACCAAGAUCCAUCUAUGAGUUCAUCUAGCAACGAGUGAUCGGAUAGCAUCUACAUACCUUUGUAGAUCACGCGCGGAAGCGUUCAAAGAAUGGGGAUGAGAAAUUCGUACUCGACGUGAUCCAAAUCACCGGAGAUCCUAGCGCCGAACGGACGGCACCUCCGCGUUCACGUACGGUCAGCGUGACGUCUCCUCCUUCUUGAUCCAGCAAGGGGGAAGGAGAGGUUGAGGAAGAUGGCUCCAGCAGCAGCACGACGGCGUGGUGGUGGUGGAGCAGCAGUACUCCGGCAGGGCUUCGCCAAGCUCGUGACGGAGGAGGAAAUGUGUUGGGGAGGGGAGGGGCUGUGCCUUGGAUGUCCUCUGCAGCCCUUCCCUCACCCCUCUAUUUAUAGGGGAAGGAGGAAGGGGGCCGGCCCCCUCUAGAUGAGAUCUAGAGGGGGGGCGGCGGCCAAGGGGAGGGGGGCUUGCCCCCCAAGCAAGGGGCGCACCCCCUUAGGGUUUCCCCCAACCCUAGGCGCAUGGGCCGUAGGGGGAGUGUGUUGGGUUUCGUUGUAAUUUCAAAAAAAUUCCUACGCACACGCAAGAUCAUGUGAUGCAUAGCAACGAGAGGAGAGUGUGAUCUACAUACCUAGUAGAUCGACAACGGAAGCGUUUGGUUGAUGUAGUCGUACGUCUUCACGAUCCAACCGAUCAAGCACCGAAACUACGUCACCUCCGAGUUCGAGCACACGUUCAGCUCGAUCACGAUCCCCGGACUCCGAUCCAGCAAAGUGUCGGGGAAGAGUUCCGUCAGCACGACGGCGUGGUGACGAUCUUGAUGCACUAUAGCAGCAGGGCUUGGCCUAAACUCCGCUACAGUAUUAUCGAGGACUAUGGUGGCUGGGGCGCCGCACACGGCUAAGGAAUAGAUCACGUGGAUCAACUUGUGUGUUUCUGGGGUGCCUCUGCCUCAGUAUAUAAAGGACCAAAGGGGGGAGGCUGGCCGGCCACAUAGGGCGCGCCAGGAGAGUCCUACUCCCUCUGGGAGUAGGAUCCCCCCCCCAAUCCUAGUUGGAAUAGGAUUCGCGGAGGGGGAAAAGAGAGAGGGGAGGCUGGCCACCUCUCCUUCUCCUAAUAGGACUAGGGGAGGGAGGGAGGCGCGCAUCCCAUCUUGGGCAGCCCCUUCUCUUUUCCGCCAAGGCCCACUAAGGCCCAUAUAGCUCGCGGGGGGUUCCGGUAACCUCCCGGUACUCCGGUAAAAUCCCGAUUUCACCCGGAACACUUCCGAUAUCCAAACAUAGGCUUCCAAUAUAUCAAUCUUUAUGUAUCGACCAUUUCGAGACUCCUCGUCAUGUUCGUGAUCACAUCCGGGACUCCGAACAACCUUCGGUACAUCAAAAUGCAUAAACUCAUAAUAUAAUUGUCAUCGUAACCUUAAGCGUGCGGACCCUACGGGUUCGAGAACAAUGUAGACAUGACCGAGACACAUCUCCAGUCAAUAACCAAUAGCGGGACCUGGAUGCCCAUAUUGGCUCCUACAUAUUCUACGAAGAUCUUUAUCGGUCAGACCGCAUAACAACAUACGUUGUUCCCUUUGUCAUCGGUAUGUUACUUGCCCGAGAUUCGAUCGUCGGUAUUCCAAUACCUAGUUCAAUCUCGUUACCGGCAAGUCUCUUUACUCGUUCUGUAAUACAUCAUUCCGCAACUAACUCAUUUAGUUGCAAUGCUUGCAAGGCUUAAGUGAUUUGCAUUACCGAGAGGGCCCAGAGAUACCUCUCCGACAAUCGGAGUGACAAAACCUAAUCUCGAAAUACGCCAACCCAACAUGUACCUUUGGAGACACCUGUAAUACUCCUUUAUAAUCACCCAGUAACGUUGUAACGUUUGGUAGUACCCAAAGUGUUCCUCCGGUAAACGGGAGUUGCAUAAUCUCAUAGUUAUAGGAACAUGUAUAAGUCAUGAAGAAAGCAAUAGCAACAUAUUAAACGAUCGGGUGCUAAGCUAAUGGAAUGGGUCAUGUCAAUCAGAUCAUUCUCUUAAUGAUGUGAUCCCUUUAAUCAAAUAACAACUCAUUGUUCAUGGUUAGGAAACAUAACCAUCUUUGAUUAACGAGCUAGUCAAGUAGAGGCAUACUAGUGACACUUUGUUUGUCUAUGUAUUCACACAUGUAUUAUGUUUCCGGUUAAUACAAUUCUAGCAUGAAUAAUAAACAUUUAUCAUGAUUAUAAGGAAAUAAAUAAUAACUUUAUUAUUGCCUCUAGGGCAUAUUUCCUUCAGUCUCCCACUUGCACUAGAGUCAAUAAUCUAGAUUACACUGUAAUGAUUCUAACACCCAUGGAGCCCUGGUGUUGAUCAUGUUUUGCUCGUGGAAGAGGCUUAGUCAACGGGUCUGCAACAUUCAGAUCCGUAUGUAUCUUGCAAAUUCUAUGUCUCCCACCUGGACUAGAUCCCGGAUGGAAUUGAAGCGUCUCUUGAUAUGCUUGGUUCUCUUGUGAAAUCUGGAUUCCUUUGCCAAGGCAAUUGCACCAGUAUUGUCACAAAAGAUUUUCAUUGGACCCGAUGCACUAGGUAUGACACCUAGAUCGGAUAUGGACUCCUUCAUCCAGACUCCUUCGUUCGCUGCUUCCGAAGCAGCUAUGUACUCCGCUUCACAUGUAGAUCCCGCUACGACGCUUUGUUUAGAACUGCACCAACUGACAGCUCCACUGUUCAAUGUAAACACAUAUCCGGUUUGCGAUUUAGAAUCGUCCGGAACAGUGUCAAAGCUUGCAUCAACGUAACCAUUUACGACGAGCUCUUUGUCACCUCCAUAUACGAGAAACAUAUCCUUAGUCCUUUUCAUGUAUUUUAGGAUGUUCUUGACGGCUGUCCAGUGAUCCACUCCUGGAUUACUUUGGUACCUCCCUGCUAGACUUAUAGCAAGGCACACAUCAGGUCUGGUACACAGCAUUGCAUACAUGAUAGAUCCUAUCGCUGAUGCAUAGGGAACAUCUUUCAUAUUCUCUCUAUCUUCUGCAGUGGUCGGGCAUUGAGUCUUACUCAAUUUCACACCUUGUAACACAGGCAAGAAUCCUUUCUUUGCUUGAUCCAUUUUGAACUUCUUCAAAAUUUUGUCAAGGUAUGUUGUUUGUGAAAGUCCAAUUAAGCGUCUUGACCUAUCUCUAUAGAUCUUUAUGCCUAAUAUGUAAGCAGCUUCACCGAGGUCUUUCAUUGAAAAACUCUUAUUCAAGUAUCCCUUUAUGCUAUCCAGAAAUUCUAUAUCAUUUCCAAUCAGUAAUAUGUCAUCCACAUAUAAUAUCAGAAAUGCUACAGAGCUCCCACUCACUUUCUUGUAAAUACAGGCUUCUUCGAAAGUCUGUAUAAAAUAAAAUGCUUUGAUCACACUAUCAAAGCAUUUAUUCCAACUCCGAGAGGCUUGCACCAGUCCAUAAAUGGAUCGCUGGAGCUUGCACACUUUGUUAGCUCCUUUUGGAUCGACAAAACCUUCUGGUUGCAUCAUAUACAACUCUUCUUCCAGAAAUCCAUUCAGGAAUGCAGUUUUGACAUCCAUUUGCCAAAUUUCAUAAUCAUAAAAUGCGGCAAUUGCUAACAUGAUUCGGACAGACUUAAGCAUCGCUACGGGUGAGAAGGUCUCAUCGUGGUCAACCCCUUGAACUUGUCGAAAACCUUUUGCGACAAGUCGAGCUUUGUAGACAGUAACAUUACCGUCAGCGUCAGUCUUCUUCUUGAAGAUCCAUUUAUUCUCAAUUGCUUACCGAUCAUCGGGCAAGUCAACCAAAGUCCAUACUUUGUUCUCAUACAUGGAUCCCAUCUCAGAUUUCAUGGCUUCAAGCCAUUUUGCGGAAUCUGGGCUCACCAUCGCUUCUUCCUAGUUCGCAGGUUCAUCAUGAUCUAGUAGCAUGACUUCCAGAACAGGAUUACCGUACCACUCUGGUGCGGAUCUUACUCUGGUUGAUCUAUGAGGUUCAGCAGUAUCUUGAUCUGAAGUUUCAUGAUCAUUAUCAUUAGCUUCCUCACUAACUGGUGUAGGUGUCACUGAAACAAUUUUCUGUGAUGUACUACUUUCCAAUAAGGGAGCAGGUACAGUUACCUCGUCAAGUUCUACUUUCCUCCCACUCACUUCUUUCGAGAGAAACUCCUUCUCUAGAAAGUUUCCGAAUUUAGCAACAAAAGUCUUGCCUUCGGAUCUGUGAUAGAAGGUGUGUCCAAUAGUUUCCUUUGGAUAUCCUAUGAAAACACAUUUCUCUGAUUUGGGUUCGAGCUUAUCAGGUUGAAGCUUUUUCACAUAAGCAUCGCAGCCCCAAACUUUCAGAAACGACAACUUUGGUUUCUUGCCAAACCACAGUUCAUAAGGCGUCGUCUCAACGGAUUUUGAUGGUGCCCUAUUUAAAGUGAAUGCGGCCGUCUCUAGAGCGUAUCCCCAAAAUGAUAGUGGUAAAUCAGUAAGAGACAUCAUAGAUCGCACCAUAUCUAGUAAAGUACGAUUACGACGUUCGGACACACCAUUACGCUGUGGUGUUCCGGGCGGCGUGAGUUGCGAAACUAUUCCACAAUUUUUCAAAUGUACACCAAACUCGUAACUCAAAUAUUCUCCUCCACGAUCAGAUCGUAGAAACUUUAUUUUCUUGUUACGAUGAUUUUCAACUUCACUCUGAAAUUCCUUGAACCUUUCAAAUGUUUCAGACUUAUGUUUCAUUAAGUAGAUAUACCCAUAUCUGCUUAAAUCAUCUCUGAAGGUGAGAAAAUAACGAUAUCCGCCACGAGCCUCAAUAUUCAUCGGACCACAUACAUCUGUAUGUAUGAUUUCCAACAAAUCUGUUGCUCUCUCCAUAGUACCGGAGAACGGUGUUUUGGUCAUCUUGCCCAUAAGGCACGGUUCGCAAGUACUAAGUGAUUCAUAAUCAAGUGGUUCCAAAAGUCCAUCAGAAUGGAGUUUCUUCAUGCGCUUUACACCGAUAUGACCUAAACGGCAGUGCCACAAAUAAGUUGCACUCUAAUUAUCAACUCUGCAUCUUUUGGCUUCAACAUUAUGAAUAUGUGUGUUACUACUAUCGAGAUUCAACAAGAAUAGACCACUCUUCAAGGGUGCAUGACCAUAAAAGAUAUUACUCAUAUAAAUAGAACAACCAUUAUUCUCUGAUUUAAAUGAAUAACCGUCUCGCAUCAAACAAGAUCCAGAUAUAAUGUUCAUGCUUAACGCUGGCACCAAAUAACAAUUAUUUAGGUCUAACACUAAUCCCGAAGGUAGAUGUAGAGGUAGUGUGCCGACUGCGAUCACAUCGACUUUGGAACCGUUUCCCACGCGCAUCGUCACCUCGUCCUUAACCAAUCUUCGCUUGAUCCGUAGUCCCUGUUUCGAGUUGCAAAUAUUAGCAACAGAACCAGUAUCAAAUACCCAGGUGCUACUGCAAGCAUUAGUAAGGUACACAUCAAUAACAUGUAUAUCACAUAUACCUUUGUUCACCUUGCCAUCCUUCUUAUCCACCAAAUACUUGGGGCUGUUCCGCUUCCAGUGACCAGUCUGCUUGCAAUAGAAACACUCAGUUUCAGGCUUAGGUCCAGGUUUGGGUUUCUUCUCUUGAGUAGCAACUUGCUUGCCGUUCUUUUUGAAGUUCCCCUUCUUCUUCCCUUUGCCCUUUUUAUUGAAACUAGUGGUCUUGUUGACCAUCAACACUUGAUGCUCCUUCUUGAUUUCUACCUCCGCGGCUUUCAGCAUCACGAAGAGCUCGGGAAUAGUCUUGUUCAUCCCUUGCAUAUUAUAGUUCAUCACGAAGCUCUUGUAGCUUGGUGGCAGUGAUUGAAGAAUUCUGUCAAUGACGCGAUCAUCUGGAAGAUUAACUCCCAAUUGAAUCAAGUGAUUAUUAUACCCAGACAUUUUGAGUAUAUGCUCACUGACAGAACUGUUCUCCUCCAUCUUGCAGCUAUAGAACUUAUUGGAGACUUCAUAUCUCUCAAUCCGGGCAUUUGCUUGAAAUAUUAACUUCAACUCCUGGAACAUCUCAUAUGCUCCAUGACGUUCAAAACAUCGUUGAAGUCCCGAUUCUAAGCCGUAAAGCAUGGCACACUGAACUAUCGAGUAGUCAUCAGCUUUGCUCUGCCAGACAUUCAUAACAUCCGGCGUUGCUCCUGCAGCAGGGCUGGCACCCAGCGGUGCUUCCAGGACGUAAUUCUUCUGUGCAGCAAUGAGGAUAAUCCUCAAGUUAUGGACCCAGUCCGUGUAAUUGCUACCAUCAUCUUUCAACUUUGCUUUCUCAAGGAACGCAUUAAAAUUCAACGGAACAACAGCACGAGCCAUCUAUCUACAAUCAAACAUAAACAAGAAAGAUACUAAUCAGGUACUAAGUUUCAUGAUAAAUUUAAGUUCAGUUAAUCAAAUUAAUUAAAGAACUCCCACUUAGAUAGACAUCCCUCUAAUCCUCUAAGUGAUUACGUGAUCCAAAUCAACUAAACCAUAACCGAUCAUCACGUGAGAUGGAGUAGUUUUCAAUGGUGAACAUCGUUAUGUUGAUCAUAUCUACUAUAUGAUUCACGCUCGACCUUUCGGUCUCCGUGUUCCGAGGCCAUAUCUGUAUAUGUUGGCUCGUCAAGUAUAACCUGAGUAUUCCGCGUGUGCAACUAUUUUGCACCCGUUGUAUUUGAACAUAGAACCUAUCACACCCGAUCAUCACGUGGUGUCUCAGCAUGAAGAACUUUCGCAACGGUGCAUACUCAGGGAGAACACUUCUUGAUAAUUUAGUGAGAGAUCAUCUUAUAAUGCUACCAUCAAUCAAAGCAAGAUAAGAUGCAUAAAAGGAUAAACAUCACAUGCAAUCAAUAUAAGUGAUAUGAUAUGAGCAUCAUCAUCUUGUGCUUGUGAUAUCCAUCUCCGAAGCACCGUCGUGAUCAGCAUCGUCACCGGCGUGACACCUUGAUCUCCAUCGUAGCAUCGUUGUCGUCUCGCCAAGCUUGUGCUUCUACGACUAUCGCUACCGCUUAGUGAUAAAAGCAAAGCAUUACAUCGCGAUUGCAUUCCAUACAAUAAAACGACAACCAUAAGGCUCCUGCCAGUUGCCGAUAACUCGGUUACAAAACAUGAUCAUCUCAUACAAUAAAAUUCAGCAUCAUGUCUUGACCAUAUCACAUCACAACAUGCCCUGCAAAAACAAGUUAGACGUCCUCUACUUUGUUGUUGCAAGUUUUACGUGGCUGCUAUGGGCUUAAGCAAGAACCAAUCUUACCUACGCAUCAAAACUACAACGAUAGUUUGUCAAUUUGACUCCGUUUUAACCUUCGCAAGGACCGGGCGUAGCCAUACUCGGUUCAACUAAAGUUGGAGAGACAGUCGCCCGCAAGCCACCUAUGUGCAAAGCACGUCGGGGGAACCGGUCUCGCGUAAGCGUACGCGUAAUGUUGGCCGGGUCGUCUCGUCCAACAAUGCCGCCGAACCAAAGUAUGACAUGCUGGUAGGCAGUAUGACUUAUAUCGCCCACAACUCACUUGUGUUCUACUCGUGCAUAUAACAUCAACAUAAAUAACCUAGGCUCGGAUGCCACUGUUGGGUUUCGUAGUAAUUUCAAAAAAAUUCCUAUGCACACGCAAGAUCAUGUGAUGCAUAGCAAUGAGAGGAGAGUGUGAUCUACAUACCUAGUAGAUCGACAACGGAAGCAUUUGGUUGAUGUAGUCGUACGUCUUCACGAUCCAACCGAUCAAGCACCGAAACUACGGCACCUCCGAGUUUGAGCACACGUUCAGCUCGAUGACGAUCUCCGGACUCUGAUCCAGCAAAGUGUCGGGGAAGAGUUCCGUCAGCACGACGGCAUGGUGACGAUCUUGAUGCACUACAGCAGCAGGGCUUCGCCUAAACUCCGCUACAGUAUUAUCGAGGACUAUGGUGGCUGGGGCGCCGCACACGGCUAAGGAAUAGAUCACGUGGAUCAACUUGUGUGUUUCUGGGGUGCCUCUGCCUCAGUAUAUAAAGCACCAAAGGGGGGAGGCUGGCCGGCCACAUAGGGCGCGCCAGGAGAGUCCUACUCCCUCUGGGAGUAGGAUUCCCCCCCCCCCCAAUCCUAGUUGGAAUAGGAUUCGCGGAGGGGGAAAAGAGAGAGGGGGGCCGGCCACCUCUCCUUCUCCUAAUAGGACUAGGGGAGGGAGGGAGGCGCGCAUCCCAUCUUGGGCAGCCCCUUCUCUUUUCCACUAAGGCCCACUAAGGCCCAUAUAGCUCUCGGGGGGUUCCGGUAACCUCCCGGUACUCCGGUAAAAUCCCGAUUUCACACGGAACACUUCCGAUAUCCAAACAUAGGCUUCCAAUAUAUCAAUCUUUAUGUCUCGACCAUUACUAGACUCCUCGUCAUGUCCGUGAUCACAUCCGGGACUCCGAACAACCUUCGGUACAUCAAAAUGCAUAAACUCAUAAUAUAACUGUCAUCAUAACCUUAAGCGUGCGGACCCUAUGGGUUCAAGAACAAUGUAGACAUGACCGAGACACGUCUCCGGUCAAUAACCAAUAGCGGGACCUGGAUGCCCAUAUUGGCUCCUACAUAUUCUACGAAGAUCUUUAUCGGUCAGACCGCAUAACAACAUACGUUGUUCCCUUUGUCAUCGGUAUGUUACUUGCCCGAGAUUCGAUCGUCGGUAUUCCAAUACCUAGUUCAAUCUUGUUACUGGCAAGUCUCUUUACUCGUUCUGUAAUACAUCAUUCCGCAACUAACUCAUUUAGUUGCAAUGCUUGCAAGGCUUAAGUGAUGUGCAUUACCGAGAGGGCCCAGAGAUACCUCUCCGACAAUCGGAGUGACAAAACCUAAUCUCGAAAUACGCCAACCCAACAUGUACCUUUAGAGACACCUGUAAUACUCCUUUAUAAUGACCCAGUAACGUUGUGACGUUUGGUAGUACCAAAAGUGUUCCUCCGGUAAACGGGAGUUCAUAAUCUCAUAUAGGAACAUGUAUAAGUCAUGAAGAAAGAAAUAGCAACAUACUAAACGAUCGGGUGCUAAGCUAAUGGAAUGGGUCAUGUCAAUCAGAUCAUUCUCUUAAUGAUGUGAUCACGUUAAUCAAAUAACAACUCAUCGUUCAUGGUUAGGAAACAUAACCAUCUUUGAUUAACGAGCUAGUCAAGUAGACGCAUACUAGUGACACUUUGUUUGUCUAUGUAUUCACACAUGUAUUAUGUUUCUGGUUAAUACAAUUCUAGCAUGAAUAACAAACAUUUAUCAUGAUUAUAAGGAAAUAAAUAAUAACUUUAUUAUUGCCUCUAGGGCAUAUUUCCUUCAGAGUGGCGCCCCAGCCCACUUUGGGCUGGAUCCCUUCCUCAUACAGCCCAUAAGGCCCUCCGGGAGAGGUGGCCCCUCCGAGUGGACCCCCGGAACCCCUCCGGUGGCCCCGGUACAAUACCGUUAUGCCCCCGAACCUUUCCGGUGACCGUAUGACAACUUCCCAUAUAUAAUUCUUUACCUCCGGAUUAUUCCGGGACUUCGAACAACUUUCGGAUUACUGCAUACUCAUAUCUAUACAACCCUAGCAUCACUGAACCUUAAGUGUGUAGACCCUACGGGUUCGGGAGACAAUCAGACAUGACCGAGACGACUCUCUGGUCAAUAACCAACAGUGGGAUCUGGAUACCCAUGUUGGCUCCCACAUGCUCCUUGAUGAUCUCAUCGGAUGAACCACGAUGUCGAGGACCUAAUCAAUCCCGUACUCAAUUCCCUUUGUCAAUCGGUACAUUACUUGCCCGAGACUCGAUCGUCGAUAUCCCAAUACCUUGUUCAGUCUCGUUACCAGCAAGUCACUUUACUCGUACCGUAAUGCAUGAUCCCGUGAUCAACCACUUGAUCACAUUGAGCUCAUUAUGAUGAUGCAUUACCGAGUGGGCCCAGAGAUACCUCUCCGUCAUACGGAGUGACAAAUCCCAGUCUCGAUUCGUGCCAACCCAACAGACACUUUCGGAGAUACCUGUAAUGUACCUUUAUAGUCACCCAGUUACCUUGUGACGUUUGGCACACCCAAGGCACUCCUACGGUAUCCGGGAGUUGCACGAUCUCAUGGUCUAAGGAAAUGAUACUUGACAUCCAGAAAAGCUACAGCAAACGAACUACACGAUCUUUGUGCUAUACUUAGGUUUGGGUCUUGUCCAUCACAUCAUUCUCCUAAUGAUGUGAUCCCAUUAUCAAUGACAUCCCCAUGUCCAUAGCCAGGAAACCAUGACUAUCUGUUGAUCAACGAGCUAGUCAACUAGAGGCUCACUAGGGACACAUUAUGGUCUAUGUAUUCACACAUGUAUUACGAUUUCCGGACAAUACAAUUAUAGCAUGAAUAAUAGAAAAUUAUCAUGAACAAGGAAAUAUAAUAAUCAUUUUAUUAUUGCCUCUAGGGCAUAUUUCCAACAGUCUCCCACUUGCACUAGAGUCAAUCAUCUAGUUACAUUGUGAUGAAUCGAACACCCAUGGAAUUCUGGUGUUGAUCAUGUUUUGCUCUAGGGAGAGGUUUAGUCAACGGAUCUGCUACAUUCAGGUCCGUAUGUACUUUACAAAUCUCUAUGUAUCCAUUUUGAACACUUUCACGAAUGGAGUUGAAACGACGCUUGAUAUGCCUGGUCUUCCUGUGAAACCUGGGCUCCUUGGCAAGGGCAAUAGCUCCAGUGUUGUCACAGAAGAGAGUCAUCGGGCCCGACGCAUUGGGUAUGACUCCUAGGUCGGUAAUGAACUCCUUCACCCAGACUGCUUCGUGUGCUGCCUCCGAGGCUGCCAUGUACUCCGCUUCACAUGUAGAUCCUGCCACAAUGCUUUGCUUGCAACUGCACCAGCUUACUGCCCCACCAUUCAAAAUAUACACGUAUCCGGUUUGUGACUUAGAGUCAUCCAGAUCUGUGUCGAAGCUAGCAUCAACGUAACCCUUUACGACAAGCUCUUCGUCACCUCCAUAAACGAGAAACAUUUCCUUAGUCCUUUUCAGGUACUUCAGGAUAUUUUUGAUCGCUGUCCAGUGUUCCAUGUCGGGAUUACUUUGGUACCUUCCUACCAAACUCACGGCAAGGUUUACAUCAGGUCUGGUACACAGCAUAGCAUACAUGAUAGACCCUAUGGCUGAGGCAUAGGGGACGACACUCAUCUUUUCUCUAUCUUCUGCCGUGGUCGGGCAUUGAGCCAAGCUCAAUCUCGUACCUUGCAAUACAGGCAAGAACCCCUUCUUUGACUGAUCCAUUUUGAACUUCUUCAAUAUCUUGUCAAGGUACAUACUCUAUGAAAGACCAAUGAGGCGUCUCGAUCUAUCUCUAUAGAUCUUGAUGCCUAAUAUAUAAGCAGCUUCUCCAAGGUCCUUCAUUGAAAAACACUUGUUCAAAUAGGCCUUUAUGCUUUCCAAGAAUUCUAUAUCAUUUCCCAUCAACAGUAUGUCAUCCACAUACAAUAUGACAAAUGCUACAGAGCUCCCACCCACUUUCUUGUAAAUGCAAGCUUCUCCAUAAGUCUGCAUAAACCCAAACGCUUUGAUCAUCUCAUCAAAGCGAAUGUUGCAACUCCGAGAUGCUUGCACCAGCCCGUAAAUCGAGCGUUGGAGCUUGCACACCUUGUCAGCAUUCUUAGGAUCGACAAGACCUUCCGGUUGCAUCAUAUACAAUUCUUCCUUAAGGAAACCAUUAAGGAAUGCCGUUUUGACGUCCAUUUGCCAUAUUUCAUAAUCAUAGAAUGCGGCAAUUGCUAACAUGAUUCGGACGGACUUCAGCUUCGCUACGGGUGAGAAAGUCUCAUCGUAGUCAACCCCUUGAACUCGUCGAUAACCCUUAGCGACAAGCCGUGCUUUAUAGAUGGUCACAUUACCAUCCGCGUCUGUCUUCUUCUUAAAGAUCCAUUUAUUUUCUAUGGCUCGCCGAUCAACGGGCAAGUCAGUCAAAGUCCAUACUUUGUUUUCAUACAUGGAUCCUAUCUCGGAUUUCAUGGCUUCCAGCCAUUUGUCGGAAUACGGGCCCGCCAUCACUUCUUCAUAGUUCAAAGGUUCACCGUUGUCUAACAACAUGAUUUCCAAGACAGGGUUGCCGUACCACUCUGGUGAGGAACGUGUCCUUGUGGACCUUCGAAGUUCAGUAGGAGCUUGAUCAGAAGUAUCUUGAUCAUCAUCAUUAACUUCCUCUCUAAUUGGUGCAAGCACCACAGGAACAUUUGCCUGAGUUGCGCCACUUUCCGGUUCAAGAGGCAAUACUUCAUCAAGUUCUACUUUCCUCCCACUUACUUCUUUCGAGAGAAACUCCUUCUCUAGAAAGGAUCCAUUCUUGGCAACAAAGAUCUUGCCUUCGGAUCUGAGGUAGAAGGUAUACCCAAUAGUUUCUUUAGGGUAUCCUAUCAAGACGCAUUUUUCCGACUUGGGUUCGAGCUUUUCAGGUUGAAGUUUCUUGACAUAAGCAUCGCAUCCCCAAACUUUUAGAAACGACAGCUUAGGCUUCUUCCCAAACCAUAAUUCAUACGGUGUCGUCUCAACGGAUUUCGACGGAGCCCUAUUUAAAGUGAAUGCAGUAGUCUCUAAAGCAUAGCCCCAAAAUGACAGCGGUAAAUUGGUAAGAGACAUCAUAGAUCGCACCAUAUCUAAUAGAGUGCGAUUACGACGUUCGGACACACCAUUACGCUGAGGUGUUCCAGGCGGCAUGAGUUGUGAAACUAUUCCACAUUUUCUUAAGUGUGUACCAAAUUCUUGACUCAAGUAUUCUCCUCCACGAUCUGAUCGCAAAAACUUGAUUUUUCUGUCAUGUUGAUUCUCAACCUCACUCUGAAAUUCCUUGAACUUUUCAAAGGUUUCAGACUUGUGUUUCAUUAAGUAGAUAUACCCAUAUCUACUCAAGUCAUCAGUGAGGGUGAGAACAUAACGAUAGCCACCACGAGCCUCAACAUUCAUUGGACCGCACACAUCAGUAUGUAUGAUUUCCAAUAGGUUGGUUGCUCGCUCCAUUGUUCCUGAGAACGGAGACUUGGUCAUCUUACCCAUGAGGCAUGGUUCACACAUGUCAAAUGAUUCGUAAUCAAGAGACUCUAAAAGUCCAUCUGUAUGGAGCUUCUUCAUGCGUUUGACACCUAUGUGACUAAGGCGGCAGUGCCACAAGUAUGUGGGACUAUCAUUAUCAACCUUACAUCUUUUGGCAUUCACACUAUGAAUAUGUGUAGCAUUACGCUCGAGAUUCAUUAAGAAUAAACCAUUCACCAUAGGAGCAUGACCAUAAAACAUAUCUCUCAUAUAAAUAGAACAACCAUUACACUUGGAUUUAAAUGAGUAGCCAUCUCGUAUUAAACGAGAUCCUGAUACAAUGUUCAUGCUCAAACUUGGCACUAAAUAACAAUUAUUGAGGUUCAAAACUAAUCCCGUAGGUAAAUAUAGAGGUAGCGUGCCGACGACGAUGACAUCGACCUUGGAACCAUUCCCGACGCGCAUUGUCACCUCGUCCUUCGCCAAUCUCCGCUUAUUCCGCAGCUCCUGCUUUGAGUUACAAAUGUGAGCAACUGCACCGGUAUCAAAUACCCAGGAGCUACUACGAGUAUUGGUAAGGUACACAUCAAUUACAUGUAUAUCACAUAUACCUUUCGUUUUGCCGGCCUUCUUGUCCGCUAAGUAUUUGGGGCAGUUCCGCUUCCAGUGUCCACUUCCCUUGCAAUAAAAACACUCAGUCUCGGGCUUGGGUCCAUUCUUUGGCUUCUUCCCGGCAGCUUGCUUACCAGGCGCGGCAACUCCCUUGCCGUCCUUCUUGAAGUCCUUCUUACCCUUGCCUUUCUUGAACUUAGUGGUUUUAUUCACCAUCAACACUUGAUGGUCCUUUUUGACUUCUACCUCUGCUGAUUUCAGCAUUGCAAAUACUUUAGGAAUGGUCUUUUCCAUCCCCUGCAUAUUGAAGUUCAUCACAAAGCUCUUGUAGCUUGGUGGAAGCGACUGGAGGAUUCUGUCAAUGACCGCGUCAUCCGGGAGAUUAACUCCCAGCUGAGUCAAGCGGUUAUUUAACCCAGACAUAGUGAGUAUGUGCUCACUGACAGAACUAUUUUCCUCCAUCUUACAGCUGAAGAACUUGUCGGAGACUUCAUAUCUCUCGACCCGGGCAUGAGCUUGGAAAACCAUUUUUAGCUCUUCGAACAUCUCAUAUGCUCCGUGUCGCUCAAAACGCUUUUGGAGCCCCGGUUCUAAGCUGUAAAGCAUGCCGCACUGAACGAGGUAGUAAUCAUCAGCACGUGUCUGCCAAGCGUUCAUAACGUCUUGGUUCUGUGGGACGGGUGCGUCACCUAGCGGUGCUUCUAGGACAUAAUCUUUCUUGGCAGCUUUAUAGUUGCUGCCAUCGUCUUUCAGCUUGGUUUUCUCUAGGAACGCAUUGAAGUUGAGGACAACGUUGGCUAUUUGAUCUACAAGACAUAUUGUAAAUAUUUUAGACUAAGUUCAUGAUAAUUAAGUUCAUCUAAUCAAAUUAUUCAAUGAACUCCCACUUAGAUAGACAUCCCUCCAGUCAUCUAAGUAUAACAUGAUCCGAGUUGACUAGGUCGUGUCCGAUCAUCACGUGAGACGGACUAGUCAACAUCGGUGAACAUCUUCAUGUUGAUCGUAUCUUCUAUACGACUCAUGCUCGACCUUUCGGUCUUCUGUGUUCCGAGGCCAUGUCUGUACAUGCUAGGCUCGUCAAGUCAACCUAAGUGUAUUGCGUGUGUAAAUCUGUCUUACACCCGUUGUAUGUGAACGUUGGAAUCUAUCACACCCGAUCAUCACGUGGUGCUUCGAAACAACGAACUGUCGCAACGGCGCACAGUUAGGGGGAACACUUUCUUGAAAUUAUUAUGAGGGAUCAUCUUAUUUACUACCGUCGUUCUAAGUAAACAAGAUGCAAAAACAUGAUAAACAUCACAUGCAAUCAAAUAAUAAUAGUGACAUGAUAUGGCCAAUAUCACAUAGCUCCUUUGAUCUCCAUCUUGGGGCUCCAUGAUCAUCUUGUCACCGACAUGACACCAUGAUCUCCAUCAUCAUGAUCUCCAUCAUCGUGUCUCCAUGAAGUUGCUAGCCAACUAUUACUUCUACUACUAUGGCUAACGCGUUUAGCAAUAAAUUAAAGUAAUUUACAUGGCGUUUCUCAAUGACACGCAGGUCAUACAAAAAAUAAAGACAACUCCUAUGGCUCCUGCCGGUUGUCAUAAUCAUCGACAUGCAAGUCGUGAUUCCUAUUACAAGAACAUGAUCUCAUACAUCACAUAUAUAUCAUUCAUCAUUCAUCACAACUUUGGCCAUAUCACAUCACAAAUCACUUGCUGCAAAAACAAGUUAGACGUCCUCUAAUUGUUGUUGCAAGUUUUACGUGGCUGCAAAAGGGUUCUAGCAAGAACGUUUUCUUACCUACGUAAUAGCCACAACGUGAUUUGUCAACUUCUAUUUACCCUUCAUAAGGACCCUUUUCAUCGAAUCCGCUCCAAAUAAAGUGGGAGAGACAGAAACCCGCUAGCCACCUAAUGCAACUAGUGCAUGUCAGUCGGUGGAACCAGUCUCACGUAAGCAUACGUGUAAGGUCGGUCCGGGCCGCUUCAUCCCACAAUACCGCUAAAGCAAGAUAAGACUAGUAGCGGCAAGAAAGUUGACAACAUCUACGCCCACAACAAAUUGUGUUCUACUCGUGCAAGGAGAACUACGCAUAAACCUGGCUCUGAUACCACUGUUGGGGAACAUUGCAGAAAACAAAAAAUUUCCUACGAUUUCACCAAGACCCAUCUAUGAGUUCAUCUAGCAACGAGUGAUCGGAUUGCAUCUACAUACCUUUGUAGAUCACGCGCGGAAGCGUUCAAAGAACGGGGAUGAGAAAGUCGUACUCGACGUGAUCCAAAUCACCGGAGGUCCUAGCGCCGAACAGACGGCACCUCCGCGUUCAACACACGUACGGUCAGCGUGACGUCUCCUCCUUCUUGAUCUAGCAAGGGGGAAGGAGAGGUUGAGGAAGAUGGCUCCAGCAGCAGCACGACGGCGUGGUGGUGGUGGAGCAGCAGUACUUCAGCAGGGCUUCGCCAAGCUCGUGACGGAGGAGGAGAUGUGUUGGGGAGGGGAGGGGAUGUGCCUUGGAUGUCCUCUGCAGCCCUCCCCUCACCCCUCUAUUUAUAGGGGAAGGAGGAAGGGGGCCGGCCCCCUCUAGAUGAGAUCUACAGGAGGGGCGGCGGCCAAGGGGAGGGGGGCUUGCCCCCCAAGCAAGGGGGCGCCCCCCCUUAGGGUUUCCCCCAACCCUAUGCGCAUGGGCCCUAGGGGGAGUGGCACCCCAGCCCACUUUGGGGUGGAUACCUUCCUCAUACAGCCCAUAAGGCCCUCCGAGAGAGGUGGCCCCUCCUGGUGGACCCCCGGAACCCCUCCGGUGGCCCCGGUACAAUACUGAUACGCCCCCGAACCUUUCCGGUGACCAUAUGACAACUUCCCAUAUAUAAUUCUUUACCUCCGGAUUAUUCCGGAACUCCUCGUGACGUCCAGGAUCUCAUCCGGGACUCCGAAAAACUUUCGGAUUACUGCAUACUCAUCUAUACAACCCUAGCGUCACCGAACCUUAAGUGUGUAGACCCUACGGGUUUGGGAGACAAGCAUACAUGACCGAGAUGACUCUCUGGUCAAUAACCAACAGCGGGAUCUGGAUACCCAUGUUGGCUCCCACAUGCUCCUCGAUGAUCUCAUCAGAUGAACCACGAUGUCGAGGACCUAAUCAAUCUCGUACUCAAUUCCCAUUGUCAAUCGGUACGUUACUUGCCCGAGACUCGAUCGUCGGUAUCCCAAUACCUUGUUCAGUCUCGUUACCGGCAAGUCACUUUACUCGUACCGUAAUGCAUGAUCCCAUGAUCAACCACUUGAUCACAUUGAGCUCAUUAUGAUGAUGCAUUACCGAGUGGGCCCAGAGAUACCUCUCCGUCAUACGGAGUGACAAAUCCCAGUCUCGAUUUGUGCCAACCCAACAGACACUUUCGGAGAUACCUGUAAUGUACCUUUGUAGUCACCCAGUUACGUUGUGAUGUUUGGCACACCCAAGGCACUCCUACGGUAUCCGGGAGUUGCACAAUCUCAUGGUCUAAGGAAAUGAUACUUGACAUCCAGAAAAGCUAUAGCAAAUGAACUACACGAUCUUUGUGCUUUGCUUAGGUUUGGGUCUUGUCCAUCACAUCAUUCUCCUAAUGAUGUGUUCCCAUUAUCAAUGACAUCCCCAUGUCCAUAGCCAGGAAACCAUGACUAUCUGUUGAUCAACGAGCUAGUCAACUAGAGGCUCACUAGGGACACAUUAUGGUCUAUGUAUUCACACAUGUAUUACGAUUUCCGAACAAUACAAUUAUAGCAUGAAUAAUAGACAAUUAUCAUGAACAAGGAAAUAUAAUCAUCAUUUUAUUAUUGCCUCUAGAGCAUAUUUCCAACAAUGUCACUCUUGGUUCAUUGCACAUCCCGGUACAACGCCGGAGGCAUUCACAUAGAGUCAUAUUUUGUUCUAAGUAUCGAGUUGUAAUUUUUGAGUUGUAAAGUAAAUAAAAGUGUGAUGAUCAUCAUUAUUAGAUCAUUGUCCCAUGUGAGGAAAUGAUGAUGGAGACUAUGAUUCCCCAGAAGUCGGGAUGAGACUCGGGAUGAAAAAGAAAAAAAAGAAAAAAAGAGGCCAUAAAAAGAGAGAAGGCCCAAAAAGAAAAAAUAAUGAGAGAAAAGAGAGAAGGGACAAUGCUAAUAUCCUUUGACCACACUUGUGCUUCAAAGUAGCACCAUGAUCUUCAUGAUAGAGAGUCUCCUAUGUUGUCACUUUCAUAUACUAGUGGGAAUUUUACAUUAUAGAACUUGGCUUGUAUAUUCCAAUGAUGGGCUUCCUCAAAAUGCCCUAGGUCUUCGUGAGCAAGCAAGUUGGAUGCACACCCACUUAGUUUCUUUUUGAGCUUUCAUAUACUUAUAGCUCUAGUGCAUCCGUUGCAUGGCAAUCCCUACUCACUCACAUUGAUAUCUAUUGAUGGGCAUCUCCAUAGCCCGUUGAUACACCUAGUUGAUGUGAGACUAUCUUAUCCUUUUUGUCUUCUCCACAACCACCAUUCUAUUCCACCUAUAGUGCUAUGUCCAUGGCUCACGCUCAUGUAUCGCGUGAAGAUUGAAAAAGUUUGAGAACAUCAAAAGUAUGAAACAAUUGCUUGGCUUGUCAUCGGGGUUGUGCACGAUUUAAAUACUUUGUGUGAUGAAGAUAGAGCAUAGCCAUACUAUAUGAUUUUGUAGGGAUAACUUUCUUUGGCCAUGUUAUUUUGAGAAGACAUCAUUGCUUUGUUAGUAUGCUUGAAGUAUUAUUAUUUUUAUGUCAAUAUUAAACUUUUGUCUUGAAUAUUUCGGAUCUGAACAUUCAUGCCACAAUAAAGAAAAAAUAUAUUGAGAAUUAUGCUAGGUAGCAUUCCACAUCAAAAGUUCUGUUUUUAUCAUUUACCUACUCGAGGACGAGUAGGAAUGAAUCUUGGGAUGCUUCAUACGUCUACAACAUAUCUAUAAUUUGUGAUUGUUCCAUGCUAUUAUAUUAUCUGUUUUGGAUGUUUAAUGGGCUUUAAUAUACAUUUUUAUAUUAUUUUUGGGACUAACCUACUAACCAAAGCCCCAGUGCAAAUUGCUUUUUUUUGCCUAUUUCAGUGUUUCGCAGAAAAGGAAUAUCAAACGGAAUCCAAACGGAAUGAAACCUUCGGGAGAGUUAUUUAUAGAACAAAUGUGAUCCAGGAGACUUGAGUGGAUGUCAAGAAAGAAGCGAGGAGGCCACUGAAGGAAAUAUGCCCUAGAGGCAAUAAUAAAGUUAUUAUUUAUUUCCUUAUAAUCAUGAUAAAUGUUUAUUAUUCAUGCUAGAAUUGUAUUAACCGGAAACAUAAUACAUGUGUGAAUACAUAGACAAACAAAGUGUCACUAGUAUGCCUCUACUUGACUAGCUCGUUAAUCAAAGAUGGUUAUGUUUCCUAACCAUGAACAAUGAGUUGUUAUUUGAUUAACGAGGUCACAUCAUUAGUUGAAUGAUCUGAUUGACAUGACCCGUUCCAUUAGCUUAGCAACCGAUCGUUUAGUAUGUUGCUAUUGCUUUCUUCAUGACUUAUACAUGUUCCUAUAACUAUGAGAUUAUGCAACUCCCGUUUGCCGGAGGAACACUUUGGGUGCUACCAAACGUCACAAUCUAACUGGGUGAUUAUAAAGGAGCAUUACAGGUGUCUCCAAAGGUAGAUGUUGGGUUGGCAAAUUUCGAGAUUAGGAUUUGUCACUCCGAUUGUCGGAGAGGUAUCUCUGGGCCCUCUCGGUAAUGCACAUCACAUAAGCCUUGCAAGCAUUGCAACUAAUGAGUUAGUUGCGAGAUGAUGUAUUACAAAACGAGUAAAGAGACUGGUUGGUAACGAGAUUGAACUAGGUAUUGUAUAUCGACGAUCGAAUCUCGGGCAAGUAACAUACCGAUGACAAAGGGAACAACGUAUGUUGUUAUGCGGUCUGACCGAUAAAGAUCUUCGUAGAAUAUGUAGGAGCCAAUAUGGGCAUCCAGGUCCCGCUAUUGGUUAUUGACCAGAGACGUGUCUCGGUCAUGUCUACAUUGUUCUCGAACCCGUAGGGUCCGCACGCUUAAGGUUACGAUGACAGUUAUAUUAUGAGUUUAUGCAUUUUGAUGUACCGAAGGUUGUUCGGAGUCCCGGAUGUGAUCACGGACAUGACGAGGAGUCUCGAAAUGGUCGAGACGUAAAGAUUGAUAUAUUGGAAGCCUAUGUUUGGAUAUCGGAAGUGUUCCGGGUGAAAUCGGGAUUUUACCGGAGUACCGGGANNNNNNNNNNNNNNNNNNNNNNNNNNNNNNNNNNNNNNNNNNNNNNNNNNNNNNNNNNNNNNNNNNNNNNNNNNNNNNNNNNNNNNNNNNNNNNNNNNNNNNNNNNNNNNNNNNNNNNNNNNNNNNNNNNNNNNNNNNNNNNNNNNNNNNNNNNNNNNNNNNNNNNNNNNNNNNNNNNNNNNNNNNNNNNNNNNNNNNNNNNNNNNNNNNNNNNNNNNNNNNNNNNNNNNNNNNNNAAGGUGGCCGCGCGCCUCCCCCUCCCCCUAGUCCUAUUAGGACUAGGAGAGGUGGUCGGCCCCCCUUCUCUCUCUUCCCCCCUCGGGGAAUCCUAGUCCAACUAGGAUUGGGGGGGGAGUCCUACUCCCGGAAGGAGAAGGACUCCUCCUGCGCCCUCCUCCUGGCCGGCGCCCCCCUCCCCCUUGGCUCCUUUAUAUACUAAGGCAGAGGCACCCCAGAAACACACAAGUUGAUCCACGUGAUCUAUUCCUUAGCCGUGUGCGGUGCCCCCAGCCACCAUAUUCAUCGAUAAUACUGUAGCGGAGUUUAGGCGAAGCCCUACUGCUGUAGUGCAUCAAGAUCGUCACCACGCCGUCGUGCUGACGGAAUUCUUCCCCGACACUUUCCUGGAUCGGAGUCCGGGGAUCGUCAUCGAGCUGAACGUGUGCUCGAACUCGGAGGUGCCGUAGUUUCGGUGCUUGAUCGGUUGGAUCGCGAAGACGUACGACUACUUCCUCUACGUUGUGUCAACGCUUCCGCAGUCGGUCUGCGUGGGUACGUAGAAAGCACUCUCCCCUCUCGUUGCUAUGCAUCACCAUGAUCUUGCGUGUGCGUAGGAAUUUUUUUGAAAUUACUACGAAACCCAAAAGUCGCAUCCGUGCCUAGGUUAUUUAUGUUGAUGUUAUAUGCACGAGUAGAACACAAGUGAGUUGUGGGCGAUAUAAGUCAUACUGCCUACCAGCAUGUCAUACUUUGGUUCGGCGGCAUUGUUGGACGAGACGACCCGGACCAACCUUACGCGUACGCUUACGCGAGACCGGUUCCCCCGACGUGCUUUGCACACAGGUGGCUUGCGGGCGACUGUCUCUCCAACUUUAGUUGAACCAAGUAUGGCUACGCCCGGUCCUUGCGAAGGUUAAAACGGAGUCUAUUUGACAAACUAUCGUUGUGGUUUUGAUGCGUAGGUGAGAUUGGUUCUUGCUUAAAGCCCGUAGCAGCCACAUAAAACUUGCAACAACAAAGUAGAGGACGUCUAACCUGUUUUUGCAGGGCAUGUUGUGAUGUGAUAUGGUCAAGACAUGAUGCUGAAUUUUAUUGUAUGAGAUGAUCAUGUUUUGUAACCGAGUUAUCGGCAACUGGCAGGAGCCUUAUGGUUGUCGUUUUAUUGUAUGCAAUGAAAACGCGAUGUAAUGAUUUACUUUAUUACUAAGCGGUAGUGAUAGUCGUGGAAGCAUAAACUUGGCGAGACGACAACGAUGCUAUGAUGGAGAUCAAGGUGUCACGCCGGUGAUGAUGGUGAUCACGACGGUGCUUCGGAGAUGGAGAUCACAAGCACAAGAUGAUGAUGGCCAUAUCAUAUCACUUAUAUUGAUUGCAUGUGAUGUUUAUCCUUUUAUGCAUCUUAUCUUGCUUUGAUUGACGGUAGCAUUAUAAGAUGAUUUCUCACUAAAUUACCAAGAAGUGUUCUCCCUGAGUAUGCACCGUUGUGAAAGUUCUUCGUGCUGAGACACCACGUGAUGAUCGGGUGUGAUAGGUUCUACGUUCAAAUACAACGGGUGCAAAACAGUUGCCCACGCGGAAUACUCAGGUUAUACUUGACGAGCCAAGCAUAUACAGAUAUGGCCUCAGAACACGGAGACUGAAAGGUCGAGCGUGAAUCAUAUAGUAGAUAUGAUCAACAUAACGAUGUUCACCAUUGAAAACUACUCCAUCUCACGUGAUGAUCGGUUAUGGUUUAGUUGAUUUGGAUCACGUAAUCACUUAGAGGAUUAGAGGGAUGUCUAUCUAAGUGGGAGUUCUUUAAUUAAUUUGAUUAACUGAACUUAAAUUUAUCAUGAAACUUAGUACCUAAUUAGUAUCUUGCUUGUUUAUGUUUGAUUGUAGAUAGAUGGCUCGUGUUGUUGUUCCGUUGAAUUUUAAUGCGUUCCUUGAGAAAGCAAAGUUGAAAGAUGAUGGUAGCAAUUACACGGACUAGGUCCGUAACUUGAGGAUUAUCCUCAUUGCUGCACAGAAGAAUUACGUCCUGGAAGUACCACUGGGUGCCAGGCCUGCUGCAGGAGCAACGCCGGAUGUUAUGAACGUCUGGCAGAGCAAAGCUGAUGACUACUCAAUAGUUCAGUGUGCCAUGCUUUACGGCUUAGAAUCGGGACUUCAACGACGUUUUGAACGUCAUGGAGCAUAUGAGAUGUUCCAGGAGUUGGAGUUAAUGUUUCAAGCAAAUGCCCAGAUUGAGAGAUAUGAAGUCUCCAAUAAGUUCUAUAGCUGCAAGAUGGAGGAGAACAGUUCUGUCAGUGAGCAUAUACUCAAAAUGUCUGGGUAUAAUAAUCACUUGAUUCAAUUGGGAGUUAAUCUUCCAGAUGAUUGCGUCAUUGACAGAAUUCUUCAAUCACUGCCACCAAGCUACAAGAGCUUCGUGAUGAACUAUAAUAUGCAAGGGAUGAACAAGACUAUUCCCGAGCUCUUCGCGAUGCUGAAAGCUGCGGAGGUAGAAAUCAAGAAGGAGCAUCAAGUGUUGAUGGUCAACAAGACCACUAGUUUCAAGAAAAAGGGCAAAGGGAAGAAGAAGGGGAACUUCAAAAAGAACGGCAAGCAAGUUGCUACUCAAGAGAAGAAACCCAAACCUGGACCUAAGCCUGAAACUGAGUGUUUCUAUUGCAAGCAGACUGGUCACUUGAAGCGGAACUGCCCCAAGUAUUUGGCAGAUAAGAAGGAUGGAAAGGUGAACAAAGGUAUAUGUGAUAUACAUGUUAUUGAUGUGUACCUUACUAAUGCUCGCAGUAGCACCUGGGUAUUUGAUACUGGUUCUGUUGCUAAUAUUUGCAACUCGAAACAGGGACUACGGAUCAAGCGAAGAUUGGUUAAGGACGAGGUGACGAUGCGCGUGGGAAACGGUUCCAAAGUCGAUGUGAUCGCAGUCGGCACACUACCUCUACAUCUACCUUCGGGAUUAGUAUUAGACCUAAAUAAUUGUUAUUUGGUGCCAGCGUUAAGCAUGAACAUUAUAUCUGGAUCUUGUUUGAUGCGAGACGGUUAUUCAUUUAAAUCAGAGAAUAAUGGUUGUUCUAUUUAUAUGAGUAAUAUCUUUUAUGGUCAUGCACCCUUGAAGAGUGGUCUAUUCUUGUUGAAUCUCGAUAGUGGUAACACACAUAUUCAUAAUGUUGAAGCCAAAACAUGUAGAGUUGAUAAUGAGAGUGCAACUUAUUUGUGGCACUGCCGUUUAGGUCAUAUCGGUGUAAAGCGCAUGAAGAAACUCCAUUCUGAUGGACUUUUGGAACCACUUGAUUAUGAAUCACUUGGUACUUGCGAACCGUGCCUUAUGGGCAAGAUGACAAAACACCGUUCUCCGGUACUAUGGAGGGAGCAACAGAUUUGUUGGAAAUCAUACAUACAUAUGUAUGUGGUCCGAUGAAUAUUGAGGCUCGUGGCGGAUAUCAUUAUUUUCUCACCUUCACAGAUGAUUUAAGCAGAUAUGGGUAUAUCUACUUAAUGAAACAUAAGUCUGAAACAUUUGAAAGGUUCAAGGAAUUUCAGAGUGAAGUUGAAAAUCAUCGUAACAAGAAAAUAAAGUUUCUACGAUCUGAUCGUGGAGGAGAAUAUUUGAGUUACGAGUUUGGUGUACAUUUGAAAAAUUGUGGAAUAGUUUCGCAACUCACGCCACCCGGAACACCACAGCGUAAUGGUGUGUCUGAAUGUCGUAAUCGUACUUUACUAGAUAUGGUGCGAUCUAUGAUGUCUCUUACUGAUUUACCGCUAUCGUUUUGGGGAUACGCUCUAGAGACGGCCGCAUUCACUUUAAAUAGGGCACCAUCAAAAUCCGUUGAGACGACGCCUUAUGAACUGUGGUUUGGCAAGAAACCAAAGUUGUCGUUUCUGAAAGUUUGGGGCUGCGAUGCUUAUGUGAAAAAGCUUCAACCUGAUAAGCUCGAACCCAAAUCGGAGAAAUGUGUCUUCAUAGGAUAUCCAAAGGAAACUAUUGGAUACACCUUCUAUCACAGAUCUGAAGGCAAGACUUUUGUUGCUAAAUUCGGAAACUUUCUAGAGAAGGAGUUUCUCUCGAAAGAAGUGAGUGGGAGGAAAGUAGAACUUGACGAGGUAACUGUACCUGCUCCCUUAUUGGAAAGUAGUACAUCACAGAAAAUUGUUUCAGUGACACCUACACCAGUUAGUGAGGAAGCUAAUGAUAAUGAUCAUGAAACUUCAGAUCAAGAUACUGCUGAACCUCGUAGAUCAACCAGAGUAAGAUCCGCACCAGAGUGGUACGGUAAUCCUGUUCUGGAAGUCAUGCUACUAGAUCAUGAUGAACCUGCGAACUAGGAAGAAGCGAUGGUGAGCCCAGAUUCCGCAAAAUGGCUUGAAGCCAUGAAAUCUGAGAUGGGAUCCAUGUAUGAGAACAAAGUAUGGACUUUGGUUGACUUGCCCGAUGAUCGGUAAGCAAUUGAGAAUAAAUGGAUCUUCAAGAAGAAGACUGACGCUGACGGUAAUGUUACUGUCUACAAAGCUCGACUUGUCGCAAAAGGUUUUCGACAAGUUCAAGGGGUUGACUACGAUGAGACCUUCUCACCCGUAGCGAUGCUUAAGUCUGUCCGAAUCAUGUUAGCAAUUGCCGCAUUUUAUGAUUAUGAAAUUUGGCAAAUGGAUGUCAAAACUGCAUUCCUGAAUGGAUUUCUGGAAGAAGAGUUGUAUAUGAUGCAACCAGAAGGUUUUGUCGAUCCAAAAGGAGCUAACAAAGUGUGCAAGCUCCAGCGAUCCAUUUAUGGACUGGUGCAAGCCUCUCGGAGUUGGAAUAAAUGCUUUGAUAGUGUGAUCAAAGCAUUUUGUUUUAUACAGACUUUCGGAGAAGCCUGUAUUUACAAGAAAGUGAGUGGGAGCUCUGUAGCAUUUCUGAUAUUAUAUGUGGAUGACAUAUUACUGAUUGGAAAUGAUAUAGAAUUUCUGGAUAGCAUAAAGAGAUACUUGAAUAAGAGUUUUUCAAUGAAAGACCUCGGUGAAGCUGCUUACAUACUAGGCAUAAAGAUCUAUAGAGAUAGAUCAAGACGCUUAAUUGGACUUUCACAAACAACAUACCUUGACAAAAUUUUGAAGAAGUUCAAAAUGGAUCAAGCAAAGAAAGGAUUCUUGCCUGUGUUACAAGGUGUGAAAUUGAGUAAGACUCAAUGCCCGACCACUGCAGAAGAUAGAGAGAAUAUGAAAGAUGUUCCCUAUGCAUCAGCGAUAGGAUCUAUCAUGUAUGCAAUGUUGUGUACCAGACCUGAUGUGUGCCUUGCUAUAAGUCUAGCAGGGAGGUACCAAAGUAAUCCAGGAGUGGAUCACUGGACAACCGUCAAGAACAUCCUGAAAUACAUGAGAAGGACUAAGGAUAUGUUUCUCGUAUAUGGAGGUGACAAAGAGCUCGACGUAAAUGGUUACGUUGAUGCAAGCUUUGACACUGAUCCGGACGAUUCUAAAUCGCAAACCGGAUACGUGUUUACAUUAAACGGUGGAGCUGUCAGUUGGUGCAGUUCUAAACAAAGCGUCGUAGUGGGAUCUACAUGUGAAGCGGAGUACAUAGCUGCUUCGGAAGCAGCGAACGAAGGAGUCUGGAUGAAGGAGUUCAUAUCCGAUCUAGGUGUCAUAUCUAGUGCAUCGGGUCCAAUGAAAAUCUUUUGUGACAAUACUGGUGCAAUUGCCUUGGCAAAGGAAUCCUGAUUUCACAAGAGAACCAAGCACAUCAACAGACGCUUCAAUUCCAUCCAGGAUCUAGUCCAGGUGGGAGACAUAGAGAUUUGCAAGAUACAUACGGAUCUGAAUGUUGCAGACCCGUUGACUAAGCCUCUUCCACGAGCAAAACAUGAUCAGCACCAAGGCUCCAUGGGUGUUAGAAUCAUCACAGUGUAAUCUAGAUUAUUGACUCUAGUGCAAGUGGGAGACUGAAGUAAAUAUGCCCUAGAGGCAAUAGUAAAGUUAUUAUUUAUUUCCUUAUAAUCAUGAUAAAUGUUUAUUAUUCAUGCUAGAAUUGUAUUAACCGGAAACAUAAUACAUGUGUGAAUACAUAGACAAACAAAGUGUCACUAGUAUGCCUCUACUUGACUAGCUCGUUAAUCAAAGAUGGUUAUGUUUCCUAACCAUGAACAAUGAGUUGUUAUUUGAUUAACGAGGUCACAUCAUUAGUUGAAUGAUCUGAUUGACAUGACCCGUUCCAUUAGCUUAGCACCCGAUCGUUUAGUAAGUUGCUAUUGCUUUCUUCAAGACUUAUACAUGUUCCUAUAACUAUGAGAUUAUGCAACUCCCGUUUGCCGGAGGAACACUUUGGAUGCUACCAAACGUCACAACGUAACUGGGUGAUUAUAAAGGAGCAUUACAGGUGUCUCCAAAGGUAGAUGUUGGGUUGGCGUAUUUCGAGAUUAGGGUUUGUCACUCCGAUUGUCGGAGAGGUAUCUCUGGGCCCUCUCGGUAAUGCACAUCACAUAAGCCUUGCAAGCAUUGCAAUUAAUGAGUUAGUUGUGAGAUGAUAUAUUACAGAACGAGUAAAGAGACUUGCCGGUAACGAGAUUGAACUAGGUAUUGGAUACCGACGAUCGAAUCUCGGGCAAGUAACAUACCGAUGACAAAGGGAACAACGUAUGUUGUUAUGCGGUCUGACCGAUAAAGAUCUUCGUAGAAUAUGUAGGAGCCAAUAUGGUCAUCCAGGUCUGGCUAUUGGUUAUUGACCGGAGACGUGUCUCAGUCAUGUCUACAUUGUUCUCGAACCCGUAGGGUCCGCACGCUUAAGGUUACGAUGACAGUUAUAUUAUGAGUUUAUGCAUUUUGAUGUACCGAAGGUUGUUCGGAGUCCCGGAUGUGAUCACGGACAUGAUGAGGAGUCUCGAAAUGGUCGAGACGUAAAGAUUGAUAUAUUGGAAGCCUAUGUUUGGAUAUCGGAAGUGUUCCGGGUGAAAUCGGGAUUUUACCGGAGUACCGGGAGGUUACCGGAACCCCCCNNNNNNNNNNNNNNNNNNNNNNNNNNNNNNNNNNNNNNNNNNNNNNNNNNNNNNNNNNNNNNNNNNNNNNNNNNNNNNNNNNNNNNNNNNNNNNNNNNNNNNNNNNNNNNNNNNNNNNNNNNNNNNNNNNNNNNNNNNNNNNNNNNNNNNNNNNNNNNNNNNNNNNNNNNNNNNNNNNNNNNNNNNNNNNNNNNNNNNNNNNNNNNNNNNNNNNNNNNNNNNNNNNNNNNNNNNNNNNNNNNNNNNNNNNNNNNNNNNNNNNNAAGGAGAAAGGGGCAGCCCAAGGUGGCCGCGCGCCUCCCCCCUUCCCCUAGUCCUAUUAGGACUAGGAGAGGUGGCCGGCCCCCCUUCUCUCUCUUUCCCCCUCGGGGAAUCCUAGUCCAACUAGGAUUGGGGGGGAGUCCUACUCCCGGAAGGAGAAGGACUCCUCCUGCGCCCUCCUCCUGGCCGGCGCCCCCUCCCCCUUGGCUCCUUUAUAUACUAAGGCAGAGGCACCCCAGAAACACAUAAGUUGAUCCACGUGAUCUAUUCCUUAGCCGUGUGCGGUGCCCCCAGCCACCAUAUUUCUCGAUAAUACUGUAGCGGAGUUUAGGCGAAGCCCUGCUGCUGUAGUGCAUCAAGAUCGUCACCACGCCGUUGUGCUGACGGAAUUCUUCCCCAACACUUUGCUGGAUCGGAGUCUGGGGGUCGUCAUCGAGCUGAACGUGUGCUCGAACUCGGAGGUGCCGUAGUUUCGGUGCUUGAUCGGUUGGAUCGCGAAGACGUACGACUACUUCCUCUACGUUGUGUCAACGCUUCCGCAGUCGGUCUGCGUGGGUACGUAGACAGCACUCUCCCCUCUCAUUGCUAUGCAUCACCAUGAUCUUGCGUGUGCGUAGGAAAUUUUUUGAAAUUACUACGAAACCCAACAGCCACGAGGCAGGACGGCGCACCUAGGGGGUAGGCCCGCCCUCCACACUCGUGGGCCCCUUGCAGCUCCACUGACGUACUUCUUCCUCCUAUAUAUACCCAUAUACCGCGAAAACAUCCAGGAGCACCACGAAACCCUAUUUCCAUCGCCACAACCUUCUGUACCCGUGAGAUCCCAUCUUGGGGCCUUUUUCGACGCUCCGCCGGAGGGGGAAUUGAUCAUGGAGGGCUUCUACAUCAACACCAUAGCCUCUCCGAUGAUGUGUGAGUAGUUUACCACAGACCUUCGGGUCCAUAGUUAUUAGCUAGAUGGCUUCUUCUCUCUCUUUGGAUCUCAAUACAAAGUUCUCCUCGAUUCUCUUGGAGAUCUAUUCGAUGUAAUUUCUUUUUGCGGUGUGUUUGUCGAUAUCCGAUGAAUUGUGGGUUUAAUCAAGAUUAUCUAUGAACAAUAUUUGAUUCUUCUCUGAAUUCUUUUAUGCAUGAUUUAAAUAUCUUUGCAAGUCUCUUCGAAUUAUCAAUUUGGUUUGGCCUACUAGAUUGAUCUUUCUUGCAAUGGGAGAAGUGCUUAGCUUUGGGUUCAAUCUUGCGGUGUCCUUUCCCAGUGACAGCAGGGGCAGCAAGGCACGUAUUGUAUUAUUGACAUCGAGGAUAAAAAGAUGGGGUUUAUAUCAUAUUGCUUCAGUUUAUUCCUCUACAUCAUGUCGUCUUGCCUAAUGUGUUACUCUGUUCUUAUGAACUUAAUACUCUAGAUGCAUGCUGGAUAGCGGUCGAUGUGUGGAGUAGUAGUAGUAGAUGCAGAAUCGUUUAGGUCUACUUGUCGCGGACGUGAUGCCUAUAUACAUGAUCAUGCCUAGAUAUUCUCAUAAUUAUUCGAUUUUCUAUCAAUUGCUCGACAGUAAUUUGUUCACCCACCGUAGAAUUUGCUAUCUUGAGAGAAGCCACUAGUGAAACCUAUGGCCCCCGGGUCUAUCUUCCAUCAUAUCUAUUUUCUAUUUCUAUCAUAGUUUAUUUUUGCAAUCUUUACUUUCCAAUCUAUACCAUAAAAAAUACCAAAAAUAUUUAUCUUAUUAUCUCUACAGAUCUCACUUUGUAAGUGACCGUGAAGGGAUUGACAACCCCUUUAUCGCGUUCGUUGCAAGGUUCUUGUUUGUUUGUGCAGGUACUAGGCAAAUUUCGUGUUACCUCCUACAGGAUUGAUACCUUGAUUCUCAAAAACUGAGGGGGAAAUACUUACGCUAUUGUGCUGCAUCACCCUUUCCUCUUCAAGGGAAAACCAACGCUUGCUCAAGAGUUAGCAGAUGCCAAUUCAAAUAAUCAUCAAAAUAAUUCUCCUACACGCGUUAUUCAGAUGGAGAAGAAGCGGUUGGCGUGGACAUUUCGUUUCUUAUCGAUGUCCAAGAGAAAAGCUACUAGGAAGUUCGUCCGCGCGGUGGAUUAUAAGUUUAAGUCUGUUACAUGAUACGUCCAUUUUGUAUCAUGUUUUCUUACUAUUAUUUAUAAUGUUUUAUCCAUAAUAAUGCUUUUUGGAGUAAUUCUAAUGUCUUUUCUCUCAUAAUUUGCAGUGUACACACAAAGAGGGAGAAUUUCGGCAGCUGGAAAUCUUGACCUGGGAAAGCUACAUCAGGCUACCUAUUCUGCACAACUCCAAACAAGCUGAAACUUGACAAUGAUUUUUUAUGGAAUAUAUAAGAAAUACUGGAGGAAAUAACUACCAUAGGGGGCCCAUCAGGUGGGCACAACCCACCUGGGCACGCUAGGGAGCCCAGGCAUGCCCUGGUGGGUUGUGCUCACCCAGGCCCACCUCUGGUGCCCAUCUUCUGGUAUAUAAGUCAUUUUAACCUAGAAAAAAUAAGGAUAAGGCUUUUGGGACGGAGCGCUGCCGUCUCGAGGCGGAACUUGGGCAGGAGCACUUUUGCCCUCCGGCGGAGCGAUUCCGCCNNNNNNNNNNNNNNNNNNNNNNNNNNNNNNNNNNNNNNNNNNNNNNNNNNNNNNNNNNNNNNNNNNNNNNNNNNNNNNNNNNNNNNNNNNNNNNNNNNNNNNNNNNNNNNNNNNNNNNNNNNNNNNNNNNNNNNNNNNNNNNNCAUCGUCCUCAUCAUCACCAACAACUCUCCCAUCUUGGGGAGGGUUAUCUCCAUCAACAUCUUCAACAACACCAUCUCAUCUCAAACCCUAGUUCAUCUCUUGUGUUCAAUCUUGUUACCGGAACUAUAGAUUGGUGCUUGUGGGUGACUGGUAGUGUUGAUUACAUCUUGUAGUUGAUUACUAUAUGGUUUAUUUGGUGGAAGAUUAUAUGUUCAGAUCCAUUAUGCUAUUUAAUACUCCUCUGAGCAUGAGCAUGUUUAUCAUUUGUGAGUAGUUACUUUCGUUCUUGAGGUUACGGGAGAAAUCAUGUUCCAAGUAAUCCUGUGAACUUCAUAUGUGUUCGAUAUUUUGAUAUUAUGUAUGUUGUGAUUCCCUUAGUGGUGCCAUAUUUGAACGUCGACUACAUGACACUUCACCAUAUUUGGGCCUAAGCGAAUGCAUUGUGGAGUAGCAAUUAGAUGAUGGGUUGCUAGAGUGACAGAAACUUAAAUCCCAGUUUAUGCGCUAUUCCGUAAGGGACCGAUUGGAUCCAAAAGUUUAAUGCUAUGGCUAGAAUUUAUUCAUAAUACUUUUCUCAUAGUUGCGGAUGCUUGCGGGAGGGUUAAUCAUAAGUAGGAGGUUUGUUCAAGUAAGAACAUCACCUAAGCACCGGUCCACCCACAUAUCAAAUUAUCAAAGUAGCGAACACAAAUCGAACCAACAUGACAAAAGUGACUAGAUGAAAAUCCCGUGUAGCCUCAAGAACGCUUUGCUUAUCAUAAGAGACCGUUUUGGCCUGUCCUUUUGCCUCAAAAGGAUUGGGAUACCUUGCUGCACUUUUGUCACUACUAUUGUUACUUGUUACAAAUUAUCUUGCUAUCAAACUACUUUGCUACUUACAAUUUCAGCACUUGCAAACAUUACCUUACUGAAAACUACUUGUCAUUUCCUUCUGCUCCUUGUUGGGUUUGACACUCUUACUUAUCGAAAAGAGCUAUAAUUGAUCCCCUAUACUUGUGGGUCAUCAUUACAACAUCCAAUCAUCCAUAUAAUCUCUGUGUUUCUUCUGUUUUCUACCAGUCAUAUUUCAUAUGUGCAUCAGAGGAAAAAUGCUUUCAGCGGGCAUGUUGGAGUGCACAUACCAAGUUCCCAGAUUGCAAAUAUGAUCCUGGGCUCCUAGCCAUUAAUAUGUUUAAUUCCACAUUUUCUUCAUCUAAUUUCUAAAUGACUAGACAACCUGUUAUACUCUUAUAGAAUUAUGAGCCGCCCAAACCAUGUUUCUCUUGGUCUAAUUUCUAAAUGAUAAUGUGCAACAUCUAUCUCCUUGUGAACCUUUUUUUUCUUCCGACUGUAUCCCCUGGUGAACCUAUCUUACGAUAAGAUUUUUUAGGGCAUUUUUUGAUGAUUUUUUCCUAUAGCCCUUAAAUAAAAUCAAAUAAAAUCAAGUGCAACUCACAGUAAGUUUUCUGCUCCUAGCUAGUUGUAAAGAACAAGUUCAAUUCAGUCUGAUUUAGUUCUUGACAUGACCGUGCUGCCAGCAACUCCUUUUCUCUAGCUAGCACAAUAAUUGUACUUGUUUGAUGUAAAGGACAUAAAUACAAAGAAAUAAAUUGGAAGCUUAUUUCAAAUUAACUAGCUAGUGGUGUUUGUGAAGUUCAAGAAAAAUCUAGUCUUUUUCUCGACAAAUAAGUUGACAUGCAAGGAAUCAAUGAAUGUAUUUGCAAGAAAGCAAACAUAAUUAUCGAUAAAAUUGGUUGUGAUUGUCACUAUAGACAAUGGUAGUAGCUAAUUGGAACUAGAUACAAACCAAUAAAAAACAAGAUCUCAAAUCUCCAACCAAUAAAGAGUUCAACCCAAAUUUUACAAUUACACUAUUAUAUUUAAAUAGUGAUUAUUGUAAUACAUGGCUAAUUAAUUAAUGCACUAGGUUGCGCUUGUGACCAGGCAAGACAAACUUAUGAACUUGCAUGCAUGGCAAUCAGAUCGACAUCCACACAAUGCCGAUAUGAACAUUUUCUUAAUACACCUUUAUUUGUAUUUUAUUUCAGAAUUUAAACAACUAGUUUGAGCGGGUCACACAUGACGUUGUGUGACACUUUAUUUGUCACCGCUACAUUGACAUAUCCAUCGACUAAACAACGGUGAUCCAACUAUAUAUUACUAGAGAUCUUUUCUUAUCAGUAGACACCAACUCCGAUGCCAACGCCUAAUGGCACACUAGUGGUGGUUUCGUACAACGGCACAUUGACACUGCACAUUGUUGGCAGGGUACGGAGUGCAAUGGAAGUCAUCACCUCAAGCUGAGCUAUCUGGUGUGGCUGCAAAAAGGUACCAUGUGCCAAUUGUUGUUGUUGAGGUUGUUGCCCGAGUUGCUGCUGCAACUGCUGUUGGGGUUGGGAGACACAUUGGCCCAACUGUUGGGGUUGUUGUUGCUGAUAUUGGAUGAUACUCUGACCCUGUUGUUGUUGUUGUUGUUGCUGCUGCUGCUGCUGCAGGAUGAUAGAGUAGAUGAUAGCACGGAUUGACUCAUGGCGGGAUUGCUCGGGGAUUUGCCGCAACUGCUGGCAACAUUGUUGCUGCAUCACAUGGCAAAUGCUCUGCUGCAACAUUUGUGACCUAGCAAGACAUCGCUGCAUUGCCACAGGGAUGCACUGCUGCUGGAGGAAUACCUUGCAUGGGUUUAGCUGCUGCAAAACAGAUGGAUGAAUAACUGGUAUUUGUUGUUGCUGUGAAAAUGGUGGUUGUUGUUGCUGCGAAAAUGGUGGUUGUUGCUGCUGUGAAAUUGGUGGCUGUUGUGAAAAUGGUGGUUGUUGUUGCUGUGUAAAUGGUUGUUGUUGUUGUUGUUGCUGCUGCUGCUGCUGUGAAAUUGGUGGCUGUUGUGAAAACGAUGGUUGUUGUUGCUGUGUAAAUGGUGGUUGUUGUUGUUGCUGCAAAAAUGGUGGUUGUUGUUGCUGCGAAAAUGGUNNNNNNNNNNNNNNNNNNNNNNNNNNNNNNNNNNNNNNNNNNNNNNNNNNNNNNNNNNNNNNNNNNNNNNNNNNNNNNNNNNNNNNNNNNNNNNNNNNNNNNNNNNNNNNNNNNNNNNNNNNNNNNNNNNNNNNNNNNNNNNNNNNNNNNNNNNNNNNNNNNNNNNNNNNNNNNNNNNNNNNNNNNNNNNNNNNNNNNNNNNNNNNNNNNNNNNNNNNNNNNNNNNNNNNNNNNNNNNNNNNNNNNNNNNNNNNNNNNNNNNNNNNNNNNNNNNNNNNNNNNNNNNNNNNNNNNNNNNNNNNNNNNNNNNNNNNNNNNNNNNNNNNNNNNNNNAAUUGUGGUUGUUGUUGCUGUGAAAAUGGUGGUUGUUGCUGCUGUGAAAUUGGUGGCUGUUGUGAAAACGGUGGUUGUUGUUGCUGCAAAAAUGGUGGUUGUUGUUGUUGUUGCGAAAAUGGUGAUUGCUGUUGCUGCGAAAAUGGUGGUUGUUGUUGCUGUGAAAAUGGUGGUUGUUGUUGUUGCUGUGAAAUUUGCGCAACGGCACUUGCCGCCGCAAGAGCGAGGAGGGCAAAGACGAGGAAGGUCUUCAUUGUGGAUUGGUGUUAACUAGUGUUGUUUGGCUUUGAUGCUUGUGCUUG